AAGUAAAUCAAUCUACAUGGCUUCAGGUCCCGAAUUUUGACUGGAAAAAUGCAACAUUACUCUGACUGAGCCUCAAACUAAGUUUAGUUAACAUUUCAAUUUCCUAUGCAAUUACGUAUAAUCACUAACACAUAUAAAUAUACUAGUUAGAAUGAUACAAUUAUAAGUACAAAGAAAAGAAAGGGGAAAGAAAAGUUUAUAAGCAAGGGUGUCCUUUACAAUAAUUUUUCUAUCGGUCAAUGAUGUAUUGAUGAAAUUAUAGUUUAUAGAUUCUCAAAAGAUAUAUCAAAUUCUAUAUCUAAAUAGAAAUGGACAAUUAUUUAGGAAGAAGGCUAAUAAUUUUUUUUUUNNNNNNNNNNNNNNNNNNNNNNNNNNNNNNNNNNNNNNNNNNNNNNNNNNNNNNNNNNNNNNNNNNNNNNNNNNNNNNNNNNNNNNNNNNNNNNNNNNNNNNNNNNNNNNNNNNNNNNNNNNNNNNNNNNNNNNNNNNNNNNNNNNNNNNNNNNNNNNNNNNNNNNNNNNNNNNNNNNNNNNNNNNNNNNNNNNNNNNNNNNNNNGACGGUAUUGAAUGGUUCUCUUUUAUAUGAAUGUAGACUUGUAGUUGUAGACCUUGUCUUUUUCUUUGUUAAAUUAUUAUAUUACAAUAUAUACUAACAUCAUUUUUAAAAUUUAUCAAGAGCUGAUAUCUAUGUAAUUAUAGCGUUGUUCAAGUCUGUCAAGUAUAGUUGGAAAAUUUAUGUCUAAUAUGGAGACACUUACUGUAGAUUUAUAAAACUAAAGUCUCUAUUUAGAAGUCCUCAGGAGCCUGAUCGAGUGAUUUUUAAAAAGUUUUAAUUUGACUAAUUACCCGAGUUCAAAUUUGGAGAAAGAUAAAAAUUAAAGAUUGAUCGUACCUUUUUAAUACUUAGAAAAUAAAAGCCUUUAUCCCGUACAUAAAUGUAAAAGAUGAAAAUUUGAAUUUGUAGCUAUAGGGCAUGAAUUUGUACCAACAAAUCAAACCUUGUCAUGUGGCAAAAUGAAUUAAAAAAACCAGCUACGAUCCAUGGUGACAAGUAAACCAAGCAAGAGAAGACACAAAUAAAUGACAAGGACAAUUAACAGGGACGGGACAUAGGACCUUUCAUCAAUAUUAGUUAAUUUAUAAAUUUAUUGUAAAUUUGUGUGAUUAAUGAUGCUUAUAAAAGAGUUAGGAAAUACAUUUAGCGAUACAAAAAUUAUUAGAAAAACACAUAUAUUUAUUGCAAGAAUGAGAACAACGCAAGAAAUAAGUUUAUUAAUAUAAAUCAUUAAAAUUGUACCAAAAAAAUUAUUUAUGAAUUUCUUUUGUAUUUUAUUGAUAGAAAAGAUAAAAAUUUGAAUAACUUGAUGAAAACAAGCAAGUAUAAUUGUGAAGCAAAUAAACCAUGAAGGCAGGAAAUUAUGAUUUGUUGUUGAUUGUUACUAUAUACCAAUUUGUAACUUUCUUGUACAAGUGGCAAUGUAAUAAUAUAUUAACAUACUUUUCUUUCAAUUACUACAAACCAUAAUACUUUUUAACAAUAAGUUAAAAUAGUAGUAAGAUUUUAGCUCCAAAAUGAUUUCAAUUUAUUGAUACAUAUAUAAUUGAAUUAUUUGAUAAAAAUAAGUCUCUAACUCCAACUUUAAAAAAGAAAAUAAAAAAAAUUAAAUUGGAGACAUAUGUGAAAAUAAAAUAAAAACUCUAUUAAUACAUGAAAAACUAAGAAAAAAUUUAAGGCGUAUUAAUGAAUUUUUUUUAGAUUAGACCGGAUUCCACCCACUGAUGAUCAAAUAUAGCAUCAUGAGGGGAUCCUAUAACAAUGAAGAGAAGAGAAAGAUACUAGGAAAGUAUUAUUUCUCUCAAAAAUUCCUCAGUCAUGCAAAAACAUCAUCUCAGAAAAUUCUCACAAAUGAGUUAGAAAAAAGAAUUUGAGCAAUUAAACCCUUCUGAUAAUCUAAAUGUUGACUAGAGUUUAAGUGUUCUUAACAGACAUUGAACUGACACUAGAAGCUCUUGAAGCUCAAAUUAAAGACAACAAAAGGAAAAUCAAAACCGGUCGUUUAAGGGUAAUGUAAAUCUUGUCAUCUUCUACAGCUGAUUAUCACAAUUAGAGUCAUCUAACUUCUAUACAAUUAGAGCAAGAUGGAAUGGUGAUGGUGUUGGAAAAAUAUGUUCUUUAAAAGCAUGUGUGUUUAUUUAAUUGUAAUAAAUAAUUUUUCUGAUUAAUAAAAUAAAUGAGGUAUUUUAUUCAAGUAUCUUAAUUGCAUUAAUAUUUUGAGUAAAGUCAAUUUAAUCAUAUUAUAUGUAUUUAUAUGAUCACCAUGUGGAUUCACAUAAGACAUAAACAUAAGUUAUCUUAUGAUUAAAUAAAUUAAGUUCGCAAUUGAUAAAUAAAGUUGAGCACUUUAUUUAGGUAUAGACUGUAAUAAAUUCAUUGAAUGAUUUGUCUUAAUCAUGUAUGAAUUUAUUGAUAUAAUACGACUAUAUUUAAUAGGAUCACACAUGAAAUUUAAUUAACUUUGUAAUAACUGUCAGACUUAUUAAAUCUCAUAGGCAUUGAUUUUACUGUAAUUUUAAUCUUGAGUUAGUUAUAAUUUCAUAAUUGUAAUUGUUAUUCCAUUUGAGUUACCAAUAAACACGACCCACACUUGUAGUCAAGAUUACCCGGUAUCUUGGUGGGAGUAAUUAUGAGUAUUGAAAUUAUAGAUUAACAAUAUAAAAUUUAUACAACACAUCUUUUGAUGUGUUUUCGGCACUUGAUCAUAAAAUUCUCUAGGCAGAGUAUGUCAACAUACUUAAUAUGUUGAAAAUGAUCAUUAAAGGAAACCAGUAAGUAUCAAAUAAUAAGAUAUAAUUAAAUUAAUUGGACAAUUAAGAUAUCGAUUUAAUUCACGAUGUGGUACAAAAGAUUAUGCAGUAAAGAAAUCAAUGUGGUCUGGGUCGAAUUAUUAUUCGGAAACACUAUCAUAGAUAUCAUACAAUUAUAGAGAUCAAUUCCAAUCUUUUAAUGGAGUAGAUUUGGAAUUAAAUAAUUGGGCUAGUUUAAUUACAAACCUAAUUAUUGUAGCUACUAUUGUAUGUACCGAUAUGAUCCCCAGGUUAGCUCAUUUAAUUGAUUGCACCGCUACUGCAUUAAUAAGCAAGAUACUUAGCUAUUUUGGUUAAAAACCUAAAUAUAUUAUUUAGUGAAAGACUCUAUUUAAUAUGCUAGUGUGAAAUGGGCCUUAUGUUAUUUUACAAGGUGGGCUCCUAUAACACAAGAACAAGUAACAACACUUUUGGUUUUAUUAUUUUUUAAUUUAAAUCAAAUGUGAUUUAAUAGAAUUAAAAAUAUAUAUAAAUAUGGAGCCUAAGGUUUUUACCAAAGAGAGAUAUAAAAUGGAUUGUUUUCUCUAAAGAAACAAAGAGCAGCCACAUUAUACAUAUAAGAGAAAAAUAUUUUUUCUCUCUACUUUUGAGAGGAAUAUUUUCUCUUGCUAGUUGCUUUUAGUGGUGAUAAAGGCGCCCACACGUCAAGUGCAAAUAAAACUUGAGUCAUAACCUGGAAGAUCAUUGGUGACAGAUUGUGAUCUAACAAGAUUGGUGGUGACGGAUCGUGAUCUGGGAGCCUAAAUUAAUUCAGCGAAAAAGCAAAAUCAAAUUGUCAAGAUAUGAUUUUGCAUAUUACAAAUUCUUAUGUAUUGUAUGAGAUCAGUCCAAAAGUUUUAUUAAAAAAAAAUUAAUUUUUACCCAUCAGAUGGUAAGAUAUAUAAAUCAAUAUUUUAGAAUACUUGAGGUCCAACUACCGUGCACUUUUUGCCCAUAUACGAGUUGGCCAUUAGAUCUAAACUGUAAGUUGUCUACUUGUUGUAAUGGAACAUGGAUGCAUUUUAUUUGUUUUUUAACAUUGAUGUCCAGAUUAUUUUCUGGGAAAAAAGUCAAAGGUUUCAAAAUUUGACAAAUAAUUUUGUAUUAUUUCAAAUUUUUACACUUUGGUCGAUUGACCUCUUUGACUGUAAAAAUUAGAGAUAGUGUAAGGACAAUGACCUAUGAAAAAAUUGAAUACAAAAUAUUUUUUUUGGUAAAAACAUAAUUCAUAUUUUAUUUAUAAUAAAUAAUCUAAUGUUGCAUUUAUUAAAUUGCAAUCGAAAUGGACAUGAAUGAGAAUGAGUUGGAAUGAGAAUGGAAAAUGAGAAUGGAAAAUGAGAAUCAGAAUAAGUUGUUUACUUGAACUGUAGGAAUCAAAAUCGAAAUGAGUUGAAUUGACAUUAAUGUGUUUAUUUUGUCUUGGAAUUGGAAUUGGAAUUGGAAUGAAUUAGAUUGUUUCAAAUUAUUAAAAAAUCCUUAAUAAUAACGACAAUAAUAUUCAUUAAAACAAUAAAAUUAAUAAAUUUUAAUAAAAUAAUAUUAAAAUAAUAAUGAUAAUGACAAUAUUAUUAUUAUGAUAAUAUUAAUAAAAAUAAAAAUAAUAAUUAAUAUAAUUAAAAUAAUAAAGUACAUUUUAAUAAUAAUGACAUUAUUGAAAAUACUAAUAAUAAUUAAUAAAUUUUAAAUAAUAUUAAUAUUAUGUCAUUAAUGACAGUAGUAAUAACAAUUAAAAUCUNNNNNNNNNNNNNNNNNNNNNNNNNNNNNNNNNNNNNNNNNNNNNNNNNNNNNNNNNNNNNNNCAGACAGUAGUAAUAACAAUUAAAAUAAUAAAAUAAAUAAAUUUUAAUAAUUAUAAUUAUUUAAUUUCAUUAUUAUUAUUAUUAAAUAAUAAAAGACAUAUUUGGAAAUAAUACAAACUUUUGGGUAUUUUUAUAAAUUCUGUAGGAACCAAAAUAAAAAUGAUAAAAGUUGAUUGAGGGUAAUUUGGGGAUUAUAAAAAUGUAAAGGAAGUAAAAUGAAAAAUUUAGGAAAUAGUAGAUUGAUUCCCAAGCAUUCCCUAUUCCCAAAUUUGGGUGGGGCCCAUAUUUCAUUUUGAUUUCUAUAUUUAUUUUGCGAAGUAAACGUUGUUAAUAAUUCUGAUUUUAGAUUCCGAUUCCCUAAUCUGUGAAGUAAACACUGCAUAAAUAUGGAAUAAAAAUAUAUUAAUUUAUCAAAAAUAUUAAUCUAUUUUUAGAAACGAUAAAAUAUAUUUAAUCUAAAAAAUUAAUUUAAAUAUAUACUAAAAAAUUAAUUUACCAAUGUCAUUAACAUAUGACUAGUAAUGAUAGUGUAAAAAAUUUCAUACUAAUCAACUAUAAUCCAGGAUCCAAGAAUAGAUAAUAGAAGCAUAUACGAUUUAUAUAUUAAAAUUUUAAAGUCUUUAAUUUUUUUAAUUUUCAAAAAAUAUGAGAGACGCACUGUAAAUAGCCAAAAAUGGGGGUUCGGUGCAUCACUAUAGUUUUGUCCUAUUUGAUCAUUUUUUUGUCAAAUAUAUCAUACUUGGUAAAUCUCAUGUGUAUUAAAUUUGUGUGUCUGUGUGUGCACACGCCUGCGGGUAAAGUUUAAGAUCUUUGACAUUUUUUUAAGUUGUUAUACCAUAUGAUGUGAUAAUGUAAUAGGUUUUUUUGGACUUCAAUAAAAUCCAAUAUUCUAGAUUUAAUAAUAUACGUACGCAUACAUAUACAUAUAUGUAUGUAUAUAUGUAAGUAUGUAUGUAUACUUACUAAUUGCUACAUGAUAUAAUAUUAUAAUUAUACAAAAUUAUAAGGUAUUUUCCUCUUAGAGAGAAUAUCAUUUAAUAUGUUAUAUGAAAUGAAAUUUAUAUUAGUAGAUGAAAUGGAUUAAAAAGCAAAAGAAUGAUGAUAAGUUAGAAAUAUAUUCGGAGCUUGCUAUGUUACAGCUUCUCUGCAAGUAACAUAGCAAUUGGAAUCUUCCACGGAUGUUGGUGCUGAUGCAACCUAGGCAGGGGAGCUGUUGAUUCAAGGUCAAAAUGCCAAGGCUGUUAGUUGUAGAGGUGAGUAAAAAAACCGUGGUCUUAAAAAUAUCGAAUUGAAUCGGCGGUUUUUUUUUAAUUCGGAUCAAUUUUUAUUUAAAAAAAAUUCAAAAUAUAUCAUUUAUAAAAAAAAAUCAAAAUAUCGAUUCGAUAUUUAGUUCACUCAGCUGAACUGAGGAGAGAGAAAAACCGUGCAAAUGCAUGCAAUAGGAGUUGGCUAUAGUUGGAUCUGUAAGUUACAGAAUCUGUAACUUAGCCAGCUCCUAUUCAUAUAUAUCAAACAGUGGUGUAAAAUCUUCCGUACAAAAUUUUGAUAGUGGGGCGCCGACAAAUAUUUCCAGCGGGUUGACAGCCACUAAAUUCUUAGUGUCCACGUAUUAGGCUAUACUACUCCCACGUGGCACCUUCCAGUGGUCCAGAGAUGACGAGUUGUUCUAACCACCCGCUCCCAAAAUCUUUAUCUUUCCUUUAUUCAACCUUUUUUAUUUUCUUUUUGUUAAAGAAAUUUAUUAGCUUUAAUUUUGACAAAUGUUCUUAGAAAAUUAUCAAGUACCCUAUAAUUUGGCCUAUUUUCAUAAAAUUUCCAAUUGGCAAAAAUGGUUAGAAACGUGGUUAUGAUUACCGUAAUUCAAGAACAUCAUGGCCUACGGUCUGAGCACCGUAGAUGAUUAGAUUUUAUUAAUUUUGUUUAAUUUUUCAACUACUUGACCAUAUCCAAUAACAUCAUCAUCUUUAGAGAUUUUUGUUUAUUUUUCCUACUUAUGGGGAUAUUUGAUAAUAUGUCAAACUAUAAGGGUAAUCAACAAUUUUUUUCCUUUUUUUUUUUUCUCUUUUCUUUCUCUUUUAACAUUUCAAUAUUUCACUAUACUCUUUUAAAUAAAAAGAAUAAAUUGAAUAAGCAAACUUUUUAUUACUACAACAACCAUGUUCCAAGUGUCAAGGACAAAAAUUAGAAGCUGCAUUUCAUUGUUCAUUUUCUGAUUCUGUGACAAACUUAUGAAAACAAAAUGGCUAAAAUGCUGCUCAGCUACCCAUCAGCAGCCACUUUGAAAUAUGGAAGUUAUGUCCAAAAAGGUGAUUUGAGGAAAGCAAAUGGUACUUAUGUAGUGCAUUGCUGCAGUUUUUCAUCAGCUAAGGAAGUGGGAUUGAUGGGUAAUAAAGUUGAGGAAGAUGCAAAAGUGCCUUUUAAAGAGAAAAAGAAUGAUAUUAAUAAGCAGUUUGAGUAUUUGGUAAGUGAGUAUGGUUGGAAAGUGAGGAAGUUGGUUAGAGUGGGUGAAGAGAUGAGAGAAGUUGCUUUUAUUCAAGCAGAAGCAUUUCAUAAUCCUGUGGCCCUCUUCAAUGAUGUUUUCUUUGAAUUCUUUAAGGUUUGAAUCAAUUCUUUACCCUUGUGUACUUUCUAUAUUCUAUUUUAAUUCUUAGUUAUGUUUGCUUCUAGCUUUUGUAUCUUUGCCUUUUGAUAUUGGUGCUUUUCAAGUUCUAUGUAGAAUGAAAAAUCACUUUUUAACUUUUUUCUGCUCUACACAGGCAGAAGUGCUUUCUGGACUUCUUUACAAACUGAGAAACUCACCCCCGGACAGGUAAAUGCAGAAAAACAAAUUCUCUGUCCGAACGUCCGUACUUUACAAUAUGCAGAAUAAUUGAAGUAAUAAAUUGUUGUUUUACUAGAAUUAAUAGUCCAUAAUUUUUCAUUUUACUGCGAAAUAAUCCUGUAAUGUUUAAAAAUAUGGACAUUCUCACUAGAGAAUGACUUGGUAAACAAGUCUUAAUGCGAAUUUGAAUAAUAUAAUGUUGUUUUAUACACUAUUGGGGCACCAGAUGUUGGCAUGGUAUUGUAAUUGGACCAACGAAAUGAAACAUGAAGAAAAAUGUUUGUGAAUAGAAUUAGAUUGUCUUCACAGGUAUGCGUGUUUGGUAGCUGAGCAUUCAAAUCCAAAUGACAAUAUUGAGCCACAAAGGAAACUUGUGGGUGUAGUAGAUGUCACAGUUUUGAGAGAUGAUCCUGUUCUUCAACAUCUCCGGGGAGCAGAAGAAUACCUCUACAUCUCUGGCCUCGCCGUUUCAAAACGUUUCAGGUUUCAUAUUCUACUUUACCCAUAUAGCUAGUCAAUAACUCUGUGUGUACUGUGUUGUUUAUACAUUGAAAUUGACCAAAGGCUCUUAUGGUAACAAAUAGGAGACAGAAAAUAGCUACUGCGUUGAUGAAAGCCUGUGAGGUGCUUGCCGUUCUCUGGGGUUUUGAAUACCUUGUUCUCCGAGCUUACGAAGAUGAUUAUGGUGCUCGAAGACUGUAUUCGAAUGCAGGAUACCGAGUUGUUUCAAGCGAUCUGCCAUGGUUUUCUACCUGGAUUGGACGAAAACGCCGAGUUCUUAUGAUCAAGCGUUCCGAUCAUAAUUUGCUUAAUUGAAAACCUUCAAUAUACCUGCAUUUUGCCUCACCUGUACAUUCAUGUGCAAUGCCAUAGAAAUGAAAAGAACAAAGUUGCAAGUGCUUGCAAAUCAUUUUCUGAUGCUUGUGGCAGAAUAUUAAACUGAUUGAACAUGAUAUUACGAUUUUCUUGAUGUAACAAGAUGGAAUUAAGUAGAUAUUGGAAUAGGUGGAAGCUACAAUCAUACAUGAUCACGAAAAAAUCACAAGCAUAAGUACAUAAAAACAAUCUAAGUAGCCUAAAUUUAUGAUCAAAUCACAAUAAAAUGUUUUCUUAUAACAUCAAACAUUACAUAUAUAACACAUCAAAAACCUAUGUCAUCUUAUGGGUAAACCUAAUCCUUCAGAGUAAAUAAAAAAUCAUAAUAUAUUCGGGAAACUUUUUGCCAGCAUGUGAACUUUUGAGUCAUAUUUGCUUGAAAUUUGAACAUUCAAAGAUAAGCUACAGGUAUUAGAAAAAUAACUACAAAGAAAUCUUCCCCGAUUUGUCAGAAGAGUUGUCAGGAGACUUGUCAGUGCAUGGAUCGGCAUCAGCAAGCAUCUUGACGACCUCUCUCAUAGGAGGGCGUAGAUUUGGAAGCUUGGUAGUGCAUACAACAGCAAUCUUCAAAAGCUUGAUCAUGUCCUCUUUGAUAGAUUCUGAUGCAACUUCACAGUCUAGAACCUUGAGGACAUUUUCGUGGUUAUUGAGAUGAGUUGAAACCCAAUAAACAAUAUCUUUCCCAUCUCCAUACUCCUCUUCAACAGGUUUUCUUCCAGUAACUAAUUCGAGUAGCACCACACCAAAGCUAAAUACAUCACUCUUUUCACUAACUUUACAAGUGUAUGCAAGCUCUGCCAAGAAAAAUUAGAUGCAGAUUUAUUAAGAACAGCUCAAAUAUUAGUCAAGUUCAAAUUGGAAAUAACAAAAAAAAAGGACAUUAAUUCAAGAGAUAUGAAACCGAAUAGAAUUGGGGGCAGGGGAUGAGGAGAAUAAUAGCUUGCUAAACAAGUUUUAAAACUAACCAGGGGCAAUAUAACCAUGAGUUCCAGCAAAGCAGCUAUAAUCUGACACCUUAGGAGAAUUUUCUGCGAUCUUUGCAACUCCAAAAUCAGCAAUUUUUGGCUCAUAAUCCUCAUCAAGCAAUAUGUUGCUCGAUUUUAUAUCUCGAUGUAUAAUAGGAGGCGAACAAUCAUGGUGCAGAUAAGCAAUUCCUUUGGCAGCUCCUAAAGCAAUUUUGUAUCUCCGAAACCAAUCUAGUUCUGGUUUCCCUUCUUUUACCCGUUUGUGAAGGGCUUGAAACAGAUUACCAUUAGGCAUGUACUCUAAAACCAGAAAACUCGAUCCUCCUUUCAGUAAACAAGCAUAAAGCUUCAGUAUGUUUCUGUGCCGGAUUUUGCCCAAGAUCUCCAUUUCUGCUGCGAAAACCUUUACUCCGUCGCCUUUCCAUAGUUGCUUUACGGCCACUGUGCCCGCAUUUUUCUUCAAAUCCAGGCGAUAAACUUUUCCUGUACCACCACUUCCAAUCAGAUUGUCUUCUUCCAAAUUACAUAUUUGCUCAGCAUCAAUGUCAAUAUGGUGGAAAGAGGCAAGCUUCCAUUUUGAACUUACUUCUUUCUCCCCAUUCUCCAUAUCAGCUGAAAGCUUGAAAUUUUUGUAACUCACAAGCAGCAACCCAGCUAGAAAAGCUGCCAAAGCAACUGCAAUGAUACAGAACAAAACCAGUUUAUCUUUAAAUCCUCCUUUCUGUUUCUGUAUUGCAGGGCAAGCAGUCAGUUUUGAAUUCAUAAGCAUUUUAGUGCUUUGUUCUAGGCAGAGUCCUUCAUUACCGGCAAAGGCUCCGUCUCCUCCCAUCCUUAAAAAAUCCAAUGGAACACUUCCAGACAACUGGUUUUCCGACAAAUCAAUAGAACUUAACUUCAAUUUCAUCAAAUUAUCAGGAAUAGAACCCGUCAGUUUGUUUCCAGAAAGAUUCAAAGCGUUCAAAGAGCUCAGUAGUGAAAGAGAACGAGGAAUAUUGCCACUCAAAGAAUUCCGAGCAAGAUUCAAGUCCACAAUUCUAGCACAAUCACCCAUUUCAUUCGGUAUUGAUCCUGUUAAUGCAUUUUCUUCCAAAUGCAAGGAAGAUAACUGCCUUAGAGCACCGAGAGCAGAAGGUAUUUUACCCGAGAAAUUAUUGUUAGUCAAGAUAAGCCUCUCCAAGUUUGUUAACCUGCCAAGUUCUGAUGGAAGCUCACCUGAAAAUCUAUUGUUUUGCAAAACCAAUUGACUUAAGCUAGUGGACAACCCAAUUAGAGGCGAUAUCCCUCCAGUAAAGUCAUUAUCACCAAAAUCAAGCAUACCUACAUUAGGCAAUGCCCAAAGUCCAUCGGGAAUCUUCCCAGACAAAUGAUUGUCACUGAUUCUCAACCUCUGAAUAGUUUUACAGUCAGCAUAAGAAUCUGGCACCUCCCCAGAAAAAUUAUUGCUCAAAGCAAGUAAGUUCAACAAUUUCCUUUUUUCACACAAGUAUUUGGGGAAACUACCAGAAAAUUGAUUUUCUGAUAUGUCAACAUCAGUCAGUGCAGUAUACCGGCCCAAAUUCUCUGGAAAUGGGCCAGAAAAUCUGUUUCCAUAAAUUGAGAAUGCAAAAAGCUUUCGCAUAUCCCCAAAACCAGAAGGGAAUUCUCCAGAAAAGUUAUUCUUAAAGCAUUGAAAAACCGUCAAGUUCUUCAAAUUUCCAAUCUCCUCAGGCAAUUUCCCAUACAUCUGGUUUGAAGAGAUAUCAAAUUCUUGCAAAAGAGUAAGGUUGCCAAGCUCUGCCGGAAGUUCCCCAGUCAAAUUAUUUGCAUAAAGCUCAAUCUUCCAAAGCUUCUGCAACUUCCUAAUGGAUCUCGGGAAUUCCCCAGAAAUCUUGUUUCUACAUAUGUCAAGUGUGCCUAACUCCCUCAGUUCAGAAAUGGAUUCUGGAAUCCGUCCCCUUAAAUUGCAAUGAGCCAGAAACAGGUAUGUCAAAUUUUUCAAAUUCCCAAUACUCUCCGGAAUUUCAGCCUCAUCAUACACAUUAUCCCCUAUACUCAAUGAAACUAGCUGGGUUAAAUUGACCACCCAACGGGGGAAUCUACCAGUGAAGUAGUUGAUUGACAAAUCAAAAAUUUCCAAGUUUUUCAAAGCGGAAAGAUCUGGUACUGAUCCAACCAUUGCAUUUCCCGUAACAUUCAGUACUUUGAGAUUGCUACAAUUGCUUAGCUCCAAAGGAAGCUUCCCAGACAGAACAUUGAAAGGCAGCGAAAGGACGGCGAGACUUUGUAACGCUGAAAUGGAACUUGAAAUUUCACCAGACAAAGACUUGUUGUCAAAUGAUAUUUCGGUGACUCUCCCAGUGACCGAAUCGCAAGUAAUCCCCGAGAACCCGCAUGGAGAAUCAGCUGACUCUUUCCAGGAAUCUAAGACCCCAUGAGGAUCUUUCAGCUUGCUUUUGAACUGAAUAAGGGCUUGUGUUUCAACAUUCAAGGACAGCGAUGGCGGGAAAACAGAGACCAGAAUGAAACAUAACAGAGCUAGCAAACGGAAGCAGAGAAAUGGGAUUUUGGCCAUUGUCAAAAAACCAAGUGGCAAAUUUUGGUCAUUUAAACAAAGGAUGUCGCCACAAGAUCAAUAAACUCGAUUAAUGACCAUGGCAGAAACAACUGAAAAGAAGAAGAUUCAAAAUAAAAUCAUAAUCUAUUGACCACCCAAAUUAGAUUAUACCUUUGAAAUACAAUAAAAAUAAAUAAAUAAAUCACAUAAAAUAAAGUUUAUCUAUAAAAAAAUUGACGUUCAAACGUCAAUUUUGUUUUUAGCUGUGGAUUUUGGUGUGAUUCCUGUUGAUCAUUAUAAAAUUAUAUCUAAGAAAGAGACUAUUAAUUAUAUGUACUAUGCUUUGAAGUUACUCUACUCAUUGCAUUGUUUUGCAUUUUGGCUAUAUAAAUUUAGCAUCAAGAAAAGUUAACAAUUAGAAAGAAAUAAAAAUAAUGGUAACAAUUGAAUCUUGCUUUUAAAUACAGUUUAAAAACUUUUGUAAAAACUAAUAAUUUUCAUUAGUUUUCUGGGUUAGCAUGUCCCCUAUACUGAAAACCAAAUCUAACUUUUAGGUUUCUUUUUACUAUUAGAAUAGUUAAUUAUACAUUACCUUACUAUUUUUUAUUUUUUAAAUACCAAUAAAAAAAGUGAAUUGAAUGAAGACUCAUAAGAGAGGGUAAAAAGGCGAUAAACUUACCUGAAUUCUGAUAAGGUAGUAAAAUUUGAUGACUUUCAAGUUUCUUCUCUAGAGAAUUCUGAAACUACAACACAAAUUACAAGCUAUUAAGCCAACAAGAAAAGAAAUAAAGUAUGAAUAAAAUUUUUAAGAAAUCCUCUGUUUUUUUUCUCUUUAAUGGAUCAAAGAAAGAAAAUAUAUACCCAGAAAUGGAAAUCUCGUGCAGUAACUUGACUUAAUGACUAGUUGUUUUGUCUUAUAACCCCUGGAAUUCUUCAACAAAAUGAAAGAACUGGGGAAGUGGGGUUGCCACCGCACUAAAAAGCUGUAUAGUUGUUUGUUUGUUUUCCAAGAAAAUAUAUAACCGACCUUAGAAACAGCACCAAAAGCUGGAAUUUUUCUAGAGAAAAUGAAAAUCUUUGUUCAGGCCACCGAGAGAAAGAGAGUGUGUGUGCAUGUUGUUGUUGUUGUUGUUGUUGGUACACGAGAAUUGAGAAGCAAUUAAGCUCAAAUUCCCAAAAGAGGGGGGAGAAAAAAAAAAGGAAAAGAAAAGCUCCAAAUUUUCUCCUGAGAAAAGCAAUUAAUUAUUAACUGUUUGAAGAAGGUUUCUUAGCAGCUGCUCAAAGAAGAAAAUGAGAGAGAGAGAGAGAGAGAGAAGUUGGAGGGAGAAAGAACAUUGGAUCUUAGAAGCAGAAGCAAAGGGACAAAAGUGCUCCCAUGAGAAGUCUUUGGCAGUGUUUGUUGUUACACUGUUCAGUCACCGUGGUGGUGGGAAAAGGUUAACAUCAUCAAAUUCAUUAUUGAUUGGACUGAUGUUUUGGUAUUUUAUCACUUAGAUCCUUCACGUCUUGCAUUUCUGCUAAAUAAAACUUAACUUAUGACUUUUGAUUGAAUAAGUCAUAACUUUUGUUUCAUGUUUAACACACGAGAUUACGAGUGCUUCCCUAAUGCCAACCCCUAAUGCCAAGUGCUAACAUAAUAAGAUAUGAUUAUCAUAUCAGUACAAAUUUAAUUACUCAAUGCUAAGUGCUAACAUAAUAAGAUAUGAUUAUCCGAUCAAUAUAAAUUUUAGUGUAAAAUACAUAAAUAUAUGUAUUUAUUUUAUGGAAUUAAUUAAAAGGUACACAUGACAAUAAUUCAAUAAAAAAGAGUGCGUGCAUUAACAACAUAUAAGAUUUUAUAUUAUUAAGACUAGCUAAUUACUUAAUUAUAACUUUUGUUAUAUUUGUCUAUAUGCAUAUGAAAGGAAGGGAAUGUGCCCCUAAGCUAAUUAUGUAUUCCGUUUACUGAAGGUAAUUUUGAUAUUUGUAAAUACCAUUAGAGACUAUUACCAUAUGUAAUUUUUAUUUAUAUAACGUUACAUAAUGUCACAUUUACAUUUUAUGGCUAAAUUAAAGAAUUAUCUCUAAAUUUGAGUGACAGUGAGAUUUUUCAUUUUAUUAUCAUGAUGUAUUUUUUUCUCUCAUUUUGCUCUAAUGCUUUAAAUAAUUAAUAAAAGAAAAAAAUUGACUGUGGGGACUCUUUUAAGAAAUACUACAACUUAUUACUAUUAAACACUAAUAUACUAAAAAAUAGGGUGAUCAGUGAUAAAUUUUGCCGUAUUAGUCUAGAUUGAUUUUACUUUGAAGAUAUGUUGGAUUUUCCUUUUAAUUCAGUCAAAACCGAAAAAGACAAUAUGGUGUAAGAAAACGAUUAAACUUAAACGAGUAGUAAUUUUACGGUAAUAAUCAAAUGAAAGCUAAACGAAAAUAGAAAUAACAUAAAAUAUUUGUAACUGCCGUUUGGUAUGAAAUGUGGAUCUAAUCAAUAUGUCCAUAGUAAGAAAUAAUGCGCUUUUUUUUUUCUUCAUCAUUAUCUAAGUUAUUUCUUGUUAUAGAUUUUUUUUUUCAUAAAGCAUAAAUAAAUAAACAAUUAUACUUUCGUACUUUAAUUUACGAGUGAGAGUAUCUUAAAAUGAUUUGUUGACUCAAAAUUUUGACACGAAUUUUAAGAUUUUAAUUUCUUCUAAUUCAAUGAUGGAUUAAUUAAACUCAGUAAAUACUAAUUUUGACUUUGAAUAUCUAUUAUUAGUUUAUUUAAAGUCUCAAGGGUAUGAGUACUUGUAGGAUACAAGUACUCAAACUCAAACUCAUUCCCUGGUUAUUUAAUUUUAGUCAUUUUUUCUUCUACUCAUUAACUUUUAUUUGCUAUUUUUUUUCCACUUAUUAGCUUUAAUUUGCUAUUAUAGAUUUGAGAAAAAAGAAGCUCAAAAUUAUAUUUUAGUGUCACGAAAAUGACAUAAAAUAAAAAUCAAAACUAAAUUUUUUUUAAAAAAAAAAGGAAAUCAAUUUUGCUUUCCCUUAUUGAAACCUAAAUCAAUUAAGUCUCUAAUACACAAACAUAAUAUCCUAAUAUGACAUAUUUUCUCGUGGCAUAUGUAGCUCAUAAUCAUGAUAUUAAUAUUGCUUUACAAUGUUCUCUCUCUUUCUUUUUUUUUAAUAUGUCUCCUGGAUGUCGAGAAAUUAGAAAAAUAAAAAAUCCUAUCUUAUGAAUUAAAAAAAAAAAGUACAACUUAAUAUCGUAAAUAUUCAAAUUCUAAUAAAAAUAACAAAAUUAAUUAAUCCAAUCAUGAAUUUAAUUAUUUAUACAUAUGUUGUUUCACUACAUGCGAUUGUUUCAUUUUUUUUAUUAGCCCUACAGCAGUGACUUACAACAAGCGAAUAAUCAAAGUUUACAUAAUAUUGUAUAAAAAAAUAUGUUUUUCAUUAUCAAAUUCAAAAAUCGAUUUGUAAUUUGGCCUAUAAUUGAUUGCAUUUAAAAGCAACCAAUUAUUAUUCACAUUUUUCCUUCUCUGUUUCUGCUAAAAAUUUUAAAAAUUAGUAAUAAUCAUGGUUUAUUGGGAUUCCAGUCAGUCAAUCCAUUAUUAAUUGGUGUGAUUAAUGUCUUUCAAUAAUUACUCAAAAAAUGGAAGAAGAAAUUAAACUUGACAAACUUCUGCCACUUAAGACACUGCCGACACAUUAGUGGAAAUUGGAUUUUGAUGUUUUAUCAUCCCCCAAUAGAAUUUUUUUUUUUUUUUAAAUUGACAAAAAUUAGAGUUUUAUAUUUGAUUUAUGAAGAAAGUAGGAUUAGUCUUAAUCUUUGUCUUAUUUACUUCUUGUUGAGUUAGUUUAGUUUAUUGUUUAGUUUUAUUUUUUCCUUUUUGAGUGUUUAGUUAGUCGUAGCAGAUCUAAUUUCAAAAAUAUUUUUUUAAUUGAAUAAUUAAACAAUUUUAUGUAAAAUUAAUCCUACUGUAUUUAACAGUAACGUGAUGUAACUGAUCCAUCAAUUUUAUGGAAGUGUUAUCCACUGGAAACAAACCCUUAAAAUUAAAAUAUAUUCUAAAUAAUAUUACUAUUUUGCAGUUCCUGUAAUACGUUGAAUUGAAGAAAUAUUUAACAAUUUAAUUAUUUGAAGUGUGCGAUUAACAAUGAAAUUUAAUAAGAUCAUGUUGUUUGUUUUAUUAAUUAGUUCCAUUGUGCAGUUGAGAAUAUUGAUUAGAAAACUACCGACCGUGUGUGACCGUCCAAUCAUGAAAAGAAUCAAGAAGCAUUAUAUAAUAAUAUAAGGUCAUGAUGAAGAUGUCAAGUGAGAAGGAAAUUCAAUCGAACGGCCAACGUUUUUCAAUCUCGUUUUACUCAUGUAUUCAAUGCGACUCUCUCCCCGUCGCUAGAAGAUAAAUUUUGGGUGAUUUCGACUUUUACAUAUGUAUAUAUUUUUUUCUUUUUUCUUUUUAUUACGUACGCCUCUUAAUUAAUUAAAUAAUAGUAAAUAAACAGAUGAACAAAACUAGACAAAUUUGGACAGUAUUAGAACACAACUUAAAUAUCUUGCCCAAGAAAAAGUAGUCUACAUAUGCCCAAAUUUUCUUACAGAAAUUUGGGCACACAUUCGAUGCAAAUUCAUGUCAGUUAGUGACAACUGGGGCUUCCAUAAUUUUGGUUUAUAUACGAUGGGCCAAAGCUAUAAAUGUUUCCACUUGACAGUUGAUAGUAACACACACAAUAUCUUUAUCACAAGUGCCCAUACAUUUAACACGUAUUGCAUAUUCUUUUUGUAGGAGCAAAAUGGGCAAACGGAAAGUACAAAAAUAAGUUCAUUUUAGCUUAUAAAGUGGUCUUUUUCUUAGCUGUCCCAAGUCCAAACUAUCCACAACCACUCAUUUUGUUCUUUGUAGGCAUAAAAUUAGUGUAAGAAUAUUUAAAGGUAUAAUUAGAGUCAAAAUUUAGUAACACCAACAUAGUAAAAGAAAAUGGACCAAAUCUAGAGUAAUUGUCAACUCGUUUGAAAUAAAUUAUGAAAUUAAUCAACAACUCCUUAUUUGAGUUAAUCCCAAAGACUGAGUUCAAGUCAAAAUCUUUAGUAUUAAAUUUUUGAAUUUGAAUUUAGUUUUAGAACGGCAAAGGCAGGUCUCAACCAACAUUGAGUUAGGUUUCAAGUCUGCAUGGUGAGCUUAUUUUUUAUUACCAAUAUUGUGUUUUACUCUCUAAUAUAAUGUUAAAAUAAUAAUAGUAAUGAGCUCGAAAGGGUCAAACAAAAAGAUAUACGCACGCAGCAAUUAAAUUUUGAAAAACCUAUUAUUAGAAACAAAAUUUGCUUGAAAAUUAGAAAUCAAGUGGCGGUGAAUGUGAGAUAAUCUACUCAUGCUAUUAAUAUGAUCAACUAUUAUAUAAUAGAAAAUCAUUUGUGAAAAAAGGCACACAAAUCACAUGGUACAUGACCGUCAUCGGAGUCAUCGAGAAAGAAGAUAAUUAAAAAUGGCUCUCGACCAACGAGCAGGAGACAGAAAAUUAUUAAUUUGCUUAAAAGAUAGCAGUUGUUUAUCUGUUUUUAAGCAUUACAGCUGUAUUUUGUGCUGGAUAACUGCAAAGCUCAGGCACGUGAAAUCAGAUACGAGUGAGCUGUAUUCAUUCUUCCUGAUUUUAUGUUGAUUGAUGAAACAAACAAAAUAUUUUCAAUUGAAGGUGUGAAAUGAAAUACGAAAUCUUAGGAUUUUACUUAUUACAUAUUUGUGUAAUAUUUUACUUAAAGGGCAUAAUUAUGAUUUGGUCUGAAGAGUUAAGGGUUGCUCAAGUAUCGUAUACUUAAUCUAACGUCGGUUCUUAUCUAAUGUGCAAUUAUUCUCUUAAACACCCCUUAUCGCGUGUAAACUGAUUCUUUUGCUUGGGUUUUGUCAUGAGAUAAGAUAGUGUGAGCUAAUUUUAAAUAUGAGUUAAUACUAUAAACUUCUACAGAUAUAUACUUCAAUCAAGUAGUCAUGAUAAUGAUUAUUCUUUUUAAGUUUUAUUUUCUAGAAGAGUGAGAUCCCAAAAUCAUCCCAUCCCAAGUACUGUUUAAAGACAAGCUAUAUGAAAACUACAUUUUUUUUUCCUUGAAUUAAAUUGACAGAAAAAGAUGUACAUUGCGUAGUUCCCGGUUAUCCCUGCUUGAUUCUUCAAUUAUUGGACACCUAGCUAGCAUAAAUACAAAACUUUCACAUCUCUAUUGUAAAUGAAUUUGUUUGAGGGCAAACGAUUGGAGACAGCAGGAAUGGAGAAUGAGAUAAGGAUUACUAUUUUUAUGCUCGGGGGGCAACGCAUGCGCCAAAGCUGGGCCAUGAAAGCAACAAUACGAGAGCAUGCUAAUAAUAUCCACUACAUUACUAAUUUGAAGUAUAUAUUCUUUGGUCAAGCAUUAGAGGCAUGAAAAAAGACAUACAUGGUGCUUGUUUCUUUCAUUUUAAGAAUGUGAUUGUCAAUUUUUAUUUGAUUGUGGUUAUGGAAUCCCAAGCACUGAAGAGAUAAUGUUUGAGAGGAACGGGAAGUGAUUUUUCACUUUUUUGAAGGAUUUAAGCUUGGAUAUUAUAGAUAUUGGUACGUAAUUGAGGUGGUGUUUAUAUUUUAGUCAGAAAUCUAAAUAAAUUUGAAUUAAUAGAUGAAAUCUGAAUUGAUCUGAAUAUUUAAAUUUAAAUAAUUUAUUUAAUUUUCUGAAUAUAUGAAUAUAAGAAUUACAUUGUUUUUUUUUUAAUUCUCUUGUCGAGUCAUGACUAGAGAAAUUUGAUGGCAAAUAAUCACGCCGAGUUAUAAAUAGGGAAAUUUACACCCGUCCACCUGUUUGUUUUGCCUUUUUCAAAAAUACACAAACACUUUUUUUUUUUGCAGCGCGCCACCUGAAGUUUAUUUUUUGUUGCAUUCAUCCACUUCCGUCUAAUUUCCGUUAGUGGAUUUAACGGAAUGUUAAUGAAAUGACCUUUUUACCCCUCAAAAUUACAAUUUAACCCAAAAUAAAUGGAAAUUAGAGAUAAAUUGGAUGGAUUUAAUUUUUUUUAAAGGUGGAUACUAGAAAUUGGAGGAAAAUAGUGUUUGUUGCUUGCUAAAUUUAGAAAAUUUGUAUUUAUUUUUUUGAAAGACAAAAAAAUAAAUACACAAAAAAUAAAUACAAAUUUUCUAAAUUUAGCAAGCAACAAACACUAUUUUCCUCCAAUUUCUAGUAUCCACCUUUAAAAAAAAUUAAAUCCAUCCAAUUUAUCUCUAAUUUCUAUUUAUUUUGGGUUAAAUUGUAAUUUUGAAGGGUAAAAAGGUCAUUCCGUUAAAUUCACUAACGGAAAUUAAACGGAAGUGGAUGAAUGCAACAAAAAGUAAACUUCAGGUGGUGCGCUGAAAAAAAAAAGUGUUUGUGUAUUUUUGAAAAAGGCAAAACAAAUAGGUGGACGAGUGUAAAUUUCCCUUAAAAGAAUUAUCUAAUCCAGAAAUAUCUAAUGAAGAAUCUGAAUCAGGAGAAGAAGAAGAAGAUGUAUUUAUUAAUUUAAAAUAUAUUGAAAAUAGAAUAGAACAUCUAAAAAUGAAUGAAUCAAAGCCAAGGGUCUUUAAAAGAAGAGAAACUAGUAAUAGAGCUUCCUAUGCUAGGGAAGAACUACCAUCUCAUGAAAGACCACAAGGUAAAAUUUUAAGAUUAACAAACCAAAAAAGAAAUAUAAAACUCCAGGAGAAUAUAGAGAAAGACUAAUCAAUCAUGAUGGAGUAUGGUUAGAUUUAGACUGUGUCAAAGAUAGAGAUAAAACGAUUACUGCUUGGGUUAAAAUGACAUUAGCAUUUCGCAAAAUAGAUAGAGAUAAUUGUAUAGAAUUCCUUAAAACAUCAUUUAUAGGAAUUGUGUCACAUUGGUUUAUGGGACUAAAAGAUACCAAUAAAAAUAGAAUAUUAUAUGGAGAAAAUAAUGAUCGAAACGAAAACUUUGAUCAAAAAAUAAAUACAAAUUUUCUAAAUUUAGCAAGCAACAAACACUAUUUUCCUCCAAUUUCUAGUAUCCACCUUUAAAAAAAAUUAAAUCCAUCCAAUUUAUCUCUAAUUUCUAUUUAUUUUGGGUUAAAUUGUAAUUUUGAAGGGUAAAAAGGUCAUUCCGUUAAAUUCACUAACGGAAAUUAAACGGAAGUGGAUGAAUGCAACAAAAAGUAAACUUCAGGUGGCGUGCUGAAAAAAAAAAAAGUGUUUGUGUAUUUUUGAAAAAGACAAAACAAACAGGUGGACGGUUGUAAAUUUCCCUUAUAAAUAUAACAUAUAUACCUAAUAUCAAUAAUUUAAUAAAAAUAAAAAACUACAACACAAAAAAAUUAAGGGAAACUAUCCAACGUUCACCCAUUUUUUCACCGUUCUUUCAAAAAUAUACAAUUUUUUUUUUCAGCACUUCGCCUAAAAUUAACAUUUUUUUCAUUGGUCCACUCUCGUUAUAACACCGUUAAAACUUUGCUGACAUCAUAAGGGUAAAAUUGUCAUUUCACAACAACAUAGUGGUGGACAAGUGCAAAAUAAUAUAACUUCAAGUUGAGUUCAGUAAAAAAGAAUUAAGAAUUGUGUAUUUUUGAAACAAUACAGAAAAAAAAGUAAUCGGUGGAUAAUUUAUUUUUUACAUUUGAGGGUAAAAAAAUCAUUUAUAUAAUAUUCUGUUAAUUUUCUUAACAGCCUCCAAAUGAAAAUUGAGGAGCGAAAAGAAAUAUAAUUUUAUGUGGAUUUCAAUAAAAAAAAUUAUAUACUUUUAAAAAAAUUAAAAAAAAUAUAUGCGGACAAUGAAUAAUUUUUCAAAAAUUAAUACUUUUCCAACCUUCUCACCUCAAUAAUGACAGCAUGGAAAGUCCCUGGGCUACUUGCCUACUUCGUACAGUGAAUAUGGAUAUAAUUGUGAAUAGUGUUCAACUUCCUCGCUAUUUGUUUUGUAAUAAAUCCUUCGCUGAUGGUGAAAGUGGCAAAAAGGUGUCAGUGGAAAUAGAAAGGUAAAGGCACUAGGAAUCAAAGCAUGGUUGAAAUUUGUUUCUUGAUAAAGAUAAGGGAGAACCGGAGAAGCAAUAUGGUGCAGGCACCUUAUGUUUUUUUUAAGCGGACUCACUGUUAAAUUGUACAGCUUAAUAAAAUAUUGUUAAAUUAUGUAGCUUAAUAAAAUUAUCUUUGAAAGUACUAUAAAAUUAUAAGGUUUAAUAAUAUAUCUACAAUGAUUUUAUUAAAUUAUAUGAUUUAGCAACAUAUUUGCAUGAAAAAAAAAUACAUGUAUCUACAAUGAUUCUAUUAAAUUACAUGAUUUAGUGCAUGUUCGCAUGAAAAAAAAAAAAAAAAGAUACUUGUAUGAGUGAAGGACCAUAUAUACAUACGUACGUACGUACAUACAUACAUACAUAUAUAAAAAUGUUCAAAUUCGAAAUUUUAAAGUGCGGAAACGUCUGGAAAAAUGCAUAAACCGUACGGUUUUAACGCUUUCCCAAAAUUUUCCCGCACUUUAAUAUCCCGAACUAGAAAACUAUAUAUAUAUAUAUAGACAUUGUAUUAAUUACUAGAUAUUUUUGGAUUAUAGAUAUUUUUAGAGUGGCCAUAUCGAAAUUAUUUUUGAAAAAUUAUAAUAUGUAGAUAUUUUAUUGAAAGGUUUGUCAAUAGAGAUAAAAUAACAACAAAUAAGAAUUUAUCUUUAAUUAGACUUCAAGAAAUUUAAAAAUAGACACUAAGAUGGCUCAUAAUUUGCUAAGUACUUAACUAAAAAAAAUUAUGAAAGAAAAGAAUAAUAAAAUAUUCCUAUAAAUCAAGGUAGAUAUUAAGGGGUUAUUUGUUUUUCGGCUGAAGUCUGAAUUUGAAUUAUUUUUAAACAUUUAAAAUUUUUAUUUUGUUUGUUUUUUUAUCACUUAUACCUGAUUAUAAGAUGUUUAGGUAUGAAUGAAAAAAAAUUAAAUAUUAUAACUUUUAUCUAAAUAGCAAAAUAUCUGAAUGGAAUUUUAAUAUUUUUUUCAUUAAUACCCCUAUUAAAUAAAUUUAUUUUCUAUUAUAUAAAUUAUCCUUUUAUUAUUUUUUAUUUAUCCCUUUUUUGUAUGUAUAUUCAACUAUUAUUAUUAUCUUUUUUGGUAAUGAGAAUUUUAAAAUUAAUAGCACUUUAGGCGAAUGUAUUUUAUAAUAGGUCCCAUCUCUUUAUAUUUGUAUUUAUUAUUUUUAUAAUAGAUUUUGAAUUUUAUUUAAUACAUUAAUUUUAAUUCCAAUGAUCAAACAAGUAUUGAUUGACUUAUAUAAUUAACAAGAAAAAGUAUCAAUAUAAUAUACUAAAAAUAACAUUAUAAGUAUCAUAUGUCAAUGUAAAAAAAUACGCGUGUUUGAUAUGUAUUUUUCUUUUGAUGCUUAAAUUAUCUUUUUUUUUACUAAUUAAAUAAUUUAUUUAUAAUUUGUCAUGUGUUUAACCAAUAAAUAUAAGGAUUGUUAAUAUUUAUGAAGUUAUAUAUGUCAAAAUAUCAUAUUUAAGAUAUUUUCUUUUUUUUUUAAAAUAAGUUAACAUUUAUAUUCAGAUAUUGAAAAAAGAAAAACAAACAUGUCAUUCAGAUAUAUGUAUUCAGACUUAUUCAGAUUUUAAUUAAAUUCAGACCCAUUCAGAUUUCAGACCAAAAAAAAAAAAAACAAACACUAUCUAAAUUAAAUCACAAUUCCAAAAUUAAAGUUGAACUUGAGAUGAUCAGAUUAUAAAUAAAAUUCCUUAAUUUUAGGACAAAAAGUAAAAUCAAGCAUUUAAUACGGUGUUUUAUUUUUUUAUUUAUAUCACCAAAGUUAGAGGGCAAAGAGUGAGAGAGACUUGGGUAGAAGAAAAUGAGUUAAGGUUGAUAUGAAUAAGUUAAAAAAGAAUAAAGAAAAAAAAUGAAACAUUAUUAAAAAUAUUAAUAAUAUCACUAUAAAUAAAUCUAUUUCGAAGGGCUUAUUUAAAAUUUUCCCAAAAUUUUGGACGGUUAUAGCCCAUCCUAGCUCAUAUGUGGCUUCCCACUGGAAGAUACUAAUCCAAAAAAACCCCGCCAAAACAAAUAAGAAAAAGGGCGUGGAUAUUUUACUUCAUUAUUAAACUCACCCUACCUCGAAAGUAUAAUUACAACGCAUUCACAUUAUUUUAUAAAAUUAUAAAUUAACAAUAAAUUUAAAUAAAUAAUUAAUUAAUUAAAUCAUUUUUAUAAUAUUAUUUUCUUUAACUUAGGUGGCGUUUGUUUUUUAACUUAAUGACUUAAAGUGACUUAACUUAAUUAAUUAAGUUAAUUAGAGGUAUUUGUUUUUAUAAUUUAAUGAGAAUUUUUAAAUAAUUUUGACUUAAUAAAAUCAGCUAAUUUUUUUAGCUUUUUACUUAAUGGAGAAAUCUGAAUUAAAUCAAUUACUUGCUAAUGUCAAAAAUAUCCAUGUUUUAUAAUUUAUUUUUCAUGUCUAUCCCAAAACUCACCUAUAGAUAUUUACCCCACAUAAAAAUAUCCAUGUUUUUUCUUUCUUAUAUUAUAUACGAUAAAAUUUAAAAUUUAUGGUAUUUUAUAUAUAAAAUUCUAAAAUAAUUAUGUAUUUACUUGAAUAUAGUUUUACCUAUAAAUGUUAAAAUAUUGUGGUAUUUAAUAUAUUAUUUAUUUGACAUUCAAAUUUAAUAAGGAUACAAAUGUAAAAGUACAUAUUUUCAGCUUUUUAAGUUGAAAAAAACAAACAACUUAAUACUUAUUUUCUGAGAUUCAGACGAAAAAACAAACAUAUUAUUCAGAUUCAGACAUUCAGACAUAUUUAGAAUUCAGACUAAUUCAGGUUUAUUCAGAUUUCAGACAAAAAAACAAACGCCACCUUAGUCUUUCAACAAUCUUUAUUUAUUUAAAGUUGAUACAAGAUAAAUUCGAUUUGACCAUUUUACCCUUAGAUUAUAAAAUAACCAAAUUACCUAAAAAAUAUUUGUUAUUGUAACUAAUUGUUUAGGCAUUUAGUUUCUAUAAUCUAAUGUCUUUUAUAUAAAAAUUAAUAAUUUUCAAUACUCCACAUGUCCUAAUUAUAUCUUGUUAGGUUAGUGGAAAAUUAAUAACCGUACUAAUAAAGUACUACUCAUACAUCAUUAAAGUAAAAAAAAAAAUUAUACAAAAAAUUAUUAAAAUUAAAGUAAUUUUUUAGAUAUUUUGUAACUUUUACCUUAUGAGGGUAAAAUAAUUGUAUUAACUUAUGUAAAAGCAACCUUAUUGAUCAAAUAAAAUAAAUAUAGUCUCAUUAAAAAGUGAAUAUGGAUUUAAUUGAUUAAGUUUUUAAACUUCUUCUUAAUUUGAAUUUUUAAAAAUAAUGUGCAUUUGAUAUAAUAAUUUUCUGAAAAGGGUAGGGAUAUUUCCACCCCAUUAUUUGUGUAAACCCACCCCACUUCUAAAAAAUAUUUACAGUAAAUACACAUUUUUUUAAUAAAUACAAAUCAACAAAAAUUUAUGUAAUUAAUCAAUUAAAUCGUUCUUAUAUUUUUUUCUUAAUUAUUUUUUUACUAUUAAAGUAGUUUAAUAUAAAUUCCAUUUAAUUAAUUUGCUUUAUGACAUAAAUUGACCCACUUGCCCCAAAAAAUAUGUGUUUUUGUAUCUAAUACUUUAGGCACUUAAUUUUGUGACUUAUAAUCUAACUUCUUAAAUGAAGUCUAAUAAUUUUCAAUAUUUUACAUGUACAUGACAUUAAUUUGAUAGCCUAACAAUUUAAUGAGUAUUUUCUCAUAAAGACAUUAUGUUAGUUUAAUUAAAAAUUAAUAAUCAUACUAAUAAAGUAGAAUGAAAUAUUUAGAAACAAUGAAUUUUGUAUAAAAUUAAAAAAAUUGUUGAAGUUAAAUUAAAUUUUUGGUAUUUUUACCUUUUAAGGGUAAAAUAAUCCAUUUAAAUUUAGGUUAAAGCAAUCUUAUUAGUCAAAUAUAAUAAAAAAAAUUACGUCACAACAAAAUAAAUUAAGGUAGAUUUAAUUGAUUAAUUCUUUUAAAUACUUCUUUGUUUGAAAUUUUUAAAAAUAAUGAGAAUUUUUUGUAAUUAUUUUCUAAAAGUGAGGUGGAUUUACAGAAUUUGUGGGGUGGAAAUAUCAUCACCCUUCUAAAAAUGGGGUGGGUUUAUAAAAUUUAUAAGGUAGAAAUAUCAUCCCCUUAAAAAAAUGAAUAUAUUUUAAAAAUAGCAUUUUAAAAUAAUUAUUUAACCGUUAUAAUUUGAGUCAAUUACUUAGUUGGCCUUUAUAUUUAUAAUAAUCACUUAAAAUGCUAUUUUAUAUAUUUAAUUUCAUUAAAAUCGCCACUUUAUUAUUCCCUAUUUUUUAUCAACUACAUCUACAUGUUUGACUUGUUAGAAUGUCUGACUUAUUAGAAUUUUAAGUUAUACCAUACAAAAUAUUAUUUUUUUCCUUAAAAAGUUAAAGCCGCUACCUACGAAAGUAAUGAUAAAGACUAUGAUUUUUUCAAAAAUACAUAUACAAACUAAAUAGAUAAUUAAAUCAAAUAAUAGGGACUAAAAAAAAUUUACUAUGAAAAAUUUUUUGAAGGGGACAAUUUUAUGCUUUUUCUUGUUUAUCAUGACAUCACUGUAUUUGUUAAUUUUGUUAUUGUUUUUUUUUUCAUAGAUGUGAUAAAAGUUUAUUUGUAAGUUACUUGGAAUAUUUGUUCCAACAAUAAAUUAACUUCCUUGUCAAGUAAAAAAAUAACGACGGUGAAGUAAAGAUAAUUUUGAGAAUAAGUUAGAUUCAUAUGUUCCCAUAGAAUAAGCUGACCAUAAAGUCAACUUCAGAUUAAAGGGAAUUAUUCUAUAAAAUUUUAAAGAAAAUCUACCCUUAUAUGCCCACUAAAGAAAAUUAAACCCAAAAUAAUCAUCAAAUGAAAAUUUGAAAUUAGGGCGUUGGCGUUUUUGUUGGGACUUAGGAGUCUUGGGUUUCUGUUAGGACAUGGGUGGAGUUAUUUGUUUCUCGAAAAAGGGCAUGUGAAUCAUUGGGGGUAAAGUCAUUGCUGAAUGCUGAUACUGUGUCUUCAACUAAAGAACAAAAGAAUAAGGAUAAGGAGAAUCAACAAGGGGCCGAUUGCCAUUGGAUCCCAAAAUCGAAAAGCACAAGAAACGAGAAAAGAAUUAAAUAUUUCUAUAUAUAUAUAUAUGCAUAUAUUAUUCUCCAUAUCGGUUUUGAAUGAAGUUCACAUAUAUAUUAGUUAAUUUUUUGAUUGCAAAGAGUAAUGGCAGCUAGGCCUAGGGUGGUCCAUCCAAUUAAUUUGAUAUAUAUCCUAAACUUAGACAUCUUAUUUUUCUACACACAAUAUGUUAUUAUAUCAAACAGAUAGCAUCAAUCCAUGCCUCAACUAUUAGAAUAGAGACACAUUACUUGAUAUAGAUACAUAAUAUAUAAUAUAUGAUUAUGUUAUGACAUGCAAUGCAAAGAACUUGUAUGAGGACCAAAUAAAAAACGCCAAGGUGGAUUAUUUAUUCAUUUCAUAUUCUUUUUCAUUAAUUUUAUCUCUAUUUAGAUAGAUGGGAUAUUAUCCUCUGAAUUAAAAUGAAAUAUAAAAAAAUUAAUUAUUUACAAAGAUAUAAUACUUUUGUAAAUUGAUCAUUUAGAAAUUUAGAAUAACCAAUUGAUAAAAUUGUAAAUAUUAUAACACUUUUAACUUAAUAUGCUAAAAUUCUUGAAAUACCCUUUGUGACAUAAGUAAUUUUUUAAUGGAGUUAACAGUUCGAUAGUAAAAUAAUAAAAAUCGAAACGUUAGGAGGAAAAAGGUAAUUGUCAACAAAUUUUAAUGUUAAAAUGAUAUGUAGCAAAAGGUGAGUGAUAAAAUAAUAAUUUUCUUUAAUAAAUUUGUAAAUUACUAAAGAAAGGUCAGUACUAGAUAUGUACAAAUGGGGUUGCAUUGGGUAAGUCGCAAUCCAGUUCGUUUAGACUUGAAGGGUGAAACUUUGAGACUUAAAUUUACAACUUGCACAGCUCUUUACCAAUUGCAUUUCUAAUACUUUUUUAUUUAUCACAUUAAGUAAAACAAGGCAUUAUCCUACUAGUAAAUUUAAAGUAUGUACCAAUGAGAAUAAAUUUGAUUCUGUGAAAAAAAUAAUAAUGAUAAUGCAAAUUAAGAACGUGAGUAAACAGUCUCUUGCUCGAAGAAUAUGUGCAACGUGGAUAGGAAAGAAUAAAUUCAAUGUCUCGAGAAACAGUGAAUUCAUCUCAAGCCAAGUGCAAAGUCUCAAGUGAAUGCUGCCAAAAACCAUUUCCUUUUUGUUAACUUGCAGACGCAGCUUGAUGUUUUUGCCAAUGGUGCUGCACUGUUGCCUGUAUUGCCCGUUUCUUUCUUUCGAAUUGUGGUUGAGCAAGUGGGCAUGUCCUUUUCAUAGUGAAAACUACCUUUCAAUUUUUUUCUUAAACUUUUUUUCUUUAAAAGGGCAUCCACCUUUUAAAUUUUGAUAAUCCAUAAGGCCAGUGCUACGUUACGUUAAUUGUAACAUAUAUUCACAUAUAGUAAUAAUAACGGGUCUCAUCAUAAAUACUGUUGCUGUGUGUGAAUAUACGUUACGAUUAACGUAACUUAAGGGGCUCCAUCCAUAAUAUUAUUGUGUAACAUUUCCAUUGGGAUUAGGAAAGAGCAUGGGCACUGGGCAGGUAUUAAAAAAUACAUAAGGCCUUUUCUUUUCCGGGUGUAGUAGGGUAUGGUGCUCGAUGUGUUCCUGGAGUUGUAAUACGGUGACAACUCUAUGCACUCAAAAGUACAGGUGCGAGCUACAAAAAUCUAUCCCAUUAAUAUGAAUAAAUUUUCCUUCAAUAUUAAUGAAAACGAAAAUUUCUAAUUGUAAUAUCAGUAGAUUUUGAAUUAUAAUAUAUAUAUUAGUGUUAAAAAAUAUAAUAAUUUUAGAAAUUUUAAUAUUUGAAUCCCAACUUGAGUUUUAUACUAUGUAUCAUUAAUUUAUUGAACGUUAGAUCAUUGUUUGUAAAAUUACUAAAUUACUUUCUAAUAAAUGAAUUUCAUAUCAACUUGAUACUCGAAUAUUGAGAUGUUUGGCAUUAUUCUAAAAACGAAGGUGUAGAGUUUUGGAUCUUGAUGUAUGUAUAUAAGUAACUGAUACAUACAUAUAAAUAUGUCUGCUUCUAGCCAACUAAUUUGAUUUUCAUUUCGGGGAAGAUUCUGUAGUUGAUUGCUGGACUGUGAAUGUGAAAAUAAGCAGCAGCAGCAACAACAAUUUAAUUCUUUUACCUCUCCUUGAGAUUGUUUAUUAAUCAAUCAUGUCAUGACACAAAUAACAACCCCAAAGUUAUUGUUUUUCGUAGGAAUCUUGAAUUUGUUGAUUUACUUUUGUUUAAUCCGUCUAAGAGUCUAGGCUUAACGUUUUGUUUAAUUUUUUAGGCUUCUAGCGACAAUGAAAGGGCAAAUUUAAAAAAAAGAAAGAAAGAUUGAUUUAUUCUUGAAUUUACUACAACCAACAUUUGAUUCAUUUGAUGAAUGAAAAAAAAAAAAAAAAGAAGCCAUGGAUCAAUUUUUAACCCAUUAUAGAAAUCGGCCCACAAUGUGCUUCAACAAUCAAAGAUUUCUUCUUGCUUGGACAUGGGUCACCAUCAAAAAAUUGGUCAGAUGCUGGGAUUAAACAACUCCUUUUUCCUAGACAAGCCUGAAAAAUAUUAUAAAAUUUGAUCAGCCUUGAUGAAGAAAAAAUAAUCAAAGAUUUUAUAAAACAAAUUACUUUAGUCCUUCGGCUUGAGGCAGUUACUUAAUUACUCCGUGUUAUUUAAAAAAUGAUCCAAAAUGUCUUUGUAUACUUAUUUUUGUUAAAAUUUACAUAUCAAAUUUGUUUGAAUUUUAAGUCAUAUCAGAAUAAAUAUAUUUUAUCCUAAAAAAACUGCGUGCUACAAAAAUAACUACAAGGUGUUUUAGAUAAUUUUUGAAUAUAUAAAGACUAAAUGGAUAAUUCACACAUUUUAUGGACUAAAUGAACAUUCAUAUAUGUUAAAACUAUAUAAAAAAAAAAGUGUAUAAAAUAUGAUGACAGGAAUUGAGCAAUAAUCAACAAAAGCUGACCUUUUCCGCAGCAAAUUUUGAAUUUGGUGAGUCACAAUACCCAAUAGCAUGCCCAUCACGUCCGCAGCCACCAAAAGGGGUUCCAUAGCUUGCAAACAAAAUUUUAGUAAUGUACCCAUUUGGAGCACAUUGUAGAUGAACUACUUUUGCUUCUCUACUUCCAUUAUAAUGUCUGUAAUGAGAAGCUCUUGCUUUCCCACAAACUGAAUCAAUUACAACACUUUCUAAGGUGAUGGAUAGAGGGUCUCCACCCUCUUCUUCUAGUAAAACUAAAAGGUUGCCUGUGGGCUUGAGGAAGGAUCUUGGUAUAUUGUAUCUAAAUAUGAAAUAAAUAACAAUAAAAAACAUAGUUAGAAAAAGUGUAAAAAAAAAAAUGUACUAAAUAUUUUAGAAACAACUCUAUAGCCUUACAUUGUUGAACAUUUAAAAUAAAGGAGAAAAAAAUUAAAAGUACAUUUGUUACAGUAUUUUUCUUUUUUUUCUGAAAGGUAGAAGGUGGAGAAAGUUGAAAUUAAACUUUUUUAACUUCUCUGGAUUCAAAUAUUUAUAAGUGACUAGCUAAGAAGGAAUAGAUUGAAAGCAACUAGGCCAAACCCCAGAUAACUUACUCAUAAACUGAGUCAAAAUUUAUUUUGAAAACUGUCAAUUAUACUGUUAAUUUAAAAUAAAUGAAGAAAAUUAAAGGUACUUACGAAAUUUGCGAAGGUUCACCUCGAGGAGUUAUCAAAGAGGGCCAAUAUCGACCAAUACUUCGGCCGUUAACCCGAGCUUCACCUUUUCUCAUUCCAUUAAGAUUCAAUGCAACAUACUCAUCUUCCCCAGUUGCAUCAAAUACAGUCUAUCAAAUUAUCAACAAAAAUAAAAUUAUUAAUUAACAUUUAAUGACAAUUAAUUAGUUACAUAUGUAAUAUAAUGUUAUGACAUUCUGUGUUAAAAAUAACGAGUUGUAUGUUAAAAGUUACUACAUUAUCAGAGAAAAAAAGAAUUAUUUGAACUUGCUUCUUACCUUGUACCAUGUAAGCGGGGGACUAAUAUCUGAAGAUGAAAGCUUACUCCACUGAAUUAUUUUGGAUCCUUCAUCAGUAUAAAUUUGCAAAUUUUCUCCUAGCAAUCCUACCUGUAAGUAAAUAUUAAGUGUCAGGACUGUUAUCUCAAAUCACCUAAGAAUGAAUCUUAAGUCAAGUAUAACAAUUUGAUGCAACUCUCAAUUAUUGAGCUAAUUUUUGAGUAUGAGUCGGCCCACGAACUUCUAUAAUAGGAAGUUAUAACAAAAUGUAAAGUAAAAACAUUUGGGUAUAAGUAGUCCCAUAAUUUAUUUUUAGUUACCCUUUUUACAUUCAAACUUCACUAUUGAAUGAUAAAUGUUAAUACUUAAAAUCCUUCCUACUGUUUUAUAAGCAUGUUACAGUAGACUGAUAGUUAGAUUAUAGUAGUAAAAGAACCUGAAAAGAGUUAUUAAAAAAAAGGACAAAAGUGAGAAACAAUAGCCAUCUCAAUGUCUUUCUCUCAAACCAAACUAAAAAUAUAUAUAAGAUUACCUUCUGUCCCCAUUUAUAGUUAGUGAAGUUCAUGCUUCCUUCUUUAUUCUGAAUCGACACGGCAACCGGUCCAUAUCUCUUUCUUUCUAAAUAAGCUCCGGAAUCCUUAAUACACCCAUAGAAGAAUUAAGUUGAUUAAUUGUUUGAUACAAUAUGAAUGAAUUAGGGAAAAUUCUCGAAUGAACAAGACUUGCCUUUCAAAAGAGAAAAUCACUUGACUUCAGAAUGACUAUAAUAAUAUAGGCUUUGUUUGGUAUAAUUAUUGGACAGCUUUGCCUUUAAGGCGACAGCUAUAAAAUUUUUGGUAAAUAUUUACAAUUAUGGUUUAGAAGUUUAGGUGAUUUUAUCCAACACUUAGUUGAUUAAUACUUAUAAUACCUUUACUAUAUUUGUCAAGUAUCGAACACAAUUAAAUUUUUAUUUCACAGUAAUCGUGGCUUUUAUUUACCUAACAGAGUCUCAGUGAAAGUUAUUUGAAGAAUUGAGAAACUUGGAGAUAGAAGAGUACCGGUAAUCCAACCAUCACACUUAGCAAAGAAACAUUGUUGAUCCCGUUGCUUAAUGAAAAGUCAGUUUGGAGCGUAAAGCUUGUAUUCUUAUAACUUCCAUGUGCAGAUCCUAAAUAAUAUUGACAACAAAUUGAAAAUGAAUGAAUAAGGUAAUUAUUAACAACCAUUAGGAUUUUGAAAAGCAUUAUAUAGAAGAUGAAAUUUGUAUCACAUUUAUUUAACCCAAAAUAUAAAGAUACAUGGUAUAAGAACUUGUAGGUUUAUAUGACUGCACGUAUAAAAAUUAGCACGUUUCCAAGUAUUAAUUAUAUCAAACACAUUUUCAAAUAUUAAAAGUACUAAAAAAAUACGCCUUAAAAAAUUGUCAACCUGUUAAUUAAUUUUACUUUUCUAAAAUAAUUUUCGAAUCGCAAAUCAAAUGGACUCUUUGAACUUACCAACGGGUACUCCGUUGACAAAUGCAUGCAAAACAUGCCCAAGAGAAUGCACACUGAGUUGAGCUCGAGUAUCAGAAGGUUCAGGCUGAAAGCUACACAAUGCAAUAUUUGGAAUCAACCAACGAAUCAAUGAGUUGUUUCAAAUUAAUAUUGUUUAAGUAAAAUUUUGCACCAAGGCAUGUCAAAAUAAUUGAAUUUUAUACCUGAAACUGUACCAUAGGUAAUCAGAUGUAUCCUUUGUUGUAUCUGUGUGCUCUAAUAAAGUAUCGGAUUUCAACGAAGUGUCUUCAAAAUUAGGAAUCGGCUCUUUGAAUUCCUCCCACUGAUCUGAUGCGUUGAAGUACAUGAUUGGUAUCCUUGUUCUAGUAUUCGUUUGAGUUUUCACCUGUUAAAGAAAUCAAAAACCCCCCAAAAAAAAUGGAAAUUAAUUAUUGUAGCCAAUGAAUAAAAGCAUGUAAAAAAAUAAGUGCUGCUGAUCUUAGCUUUGUGCUACCUUUUACAAAGUUAUAAUAAGUAAAUUGGAUAAGAAAAUAUAUAUUGUUAAAUCAUAACCGUACACGAUUAGAAAUGCAUACAUGUGGUACAAAUUUUUUAAAAAGAUCAACACAGCUUAGAUCAGCACCCGUCAAAAUUUAAAGAGGUAAUGUAUGAUUAAGUAGUCUUGCCUCUGCAGUAUUGAAGAUUACAUUCCUACAGUCAGGUAAAAUGCUAAUCGAAUUAGCGAGCAAUUUAUAAGAAGAAUUUUGGAAGACAACAUCAACAUUUUGCUUAUCCUUGUUCACCAGAAAGGCUGAUGCACAUUCUUCAGAUGAAUUUUCAGCAAAGAGAUAGGCCUGCAUUACAUUAAUUUCAUGAUAUCAGAUUUUUUUCUUUUCUCUUUUUUUAAGUUCUCACUCAAACUGGGAGUUAAUUAUGCUAUUUCUAGUAUAUACUUCUUGUUUUGGACCCAGCUGAAGAGGAGUCAUUGCCUUUCCCAAGAGUAAAGUAUUUGAACACAGCUUAAUUGCAGCAUGCAACUCCUUCAAAUGGCCCCAUUUUGGUUGAUUGAUCAUACCUUAAUGUUACCAAGUGAUUUGUCAAAAUUAAUUUAGAAAAGAGGAAAUAAUAUAAACGAAAAGGAAAAUAUGUGUAGAAAAAAGUACGCAUACCGUACUCAUCAAGAGGGGCGUCAUCAUAGUAACUUGCUGUUACAAAAGCUGAGGCUUCCCUUCCGAAAUUGGUUCCCCCGUGAUACUGUGUAAGAGCAUUAAAAGCCAAGUUUAAAAACACUUCACACACACACACACACACAUACAAUCCUCCGAACGUAACUACAGAAUUAACAUAUACACUGUCAAUAAGAUACAUGCUUCUUUGUUUUUUGUAAUUUAAGAUAAUCAUCACAUCAGUUAGUCCUUGUAUUUAAAAAUGAUCUAAAACAUCUAUGUUAUUAUUUUUGUAUCUAUGGGAUACGAUUUUUCAACAGUUAAAUAGUAUUUGUCUUGUAUAACUUACAAAUUCAAACAAAUAUGACAUCAACAGAUGAACAGAUAGAUGAUAAUUAAAUAUAUUUCUAAUAUAUAUACAUAGACACACACACAUAUUAUAAAUACACACAUGAUACAUGUAUGAUAGAAAUUGUUUAAGUGAGAUCAACUGAGAGAACAUACAUAUACAACAUCAAUCCACUAUAUAUAAAUAUGAGGUACCGGAAGGAUUAUAAUUCUUUUACCAUAUAAUAAUUUACAAAGCUUCCAUUCCUCGCAACCCAUAAUGCAACAUGAAAUGCUAUGUCGUCAGCAGUUCUUCCUAUUGGAUCUUCACCGUAUGCUUGAUACCUUCAAAGCAACCAAAAGGAUUUGUGCGAAGCAAGAUAGAAAACCAAAUAACAUAACAACAGAAUAAAGUAAACAAUCGAAACAAAAAUUUAUUCCAUGAUAUAUUAUAAUGCUAUAAAUACCGAGAAGUCCAAUUUUCUGUCCAUAUAGAUGGCUUAUUGGGAGAAUUUGGCCCCUUAAAUGUCUCCCCACAUUUCCUCCCAUUGCAUGCAUUUAUCUGCAAAUUGAAUAAAAAUAUUAGAUCUCAUUUGAAGAUGGACAAAAGCUCGUGCUAGAAAAAAUAAAUAUUAGAGAAAAUGACAUUGAAACCCAGAAAAGGUUUACCAAAGGUGCAUCCAAGUUGCUCAUUUAUUUGAACGGAGAUAAGAACAUUAUUGUAUAUUGACCAUGGUUUAAUAAUCCUUGGGUAACGGAUAGUAAUGAAUUUUUCACCAUCCAAAUAAAUGAAACAACAAGAAGAAAAAGGGUAUAAAUGUACAUUUAUGAAAUGUUGGGUGACUAGCUGACCAUUGUGGGAAAGCUUGGGGCAUCGGUAUCCUUUUACCUAAGGUUAUGAAUACAUUCACUAAGGCCUCUAAUGUUUACAUUACCGUCACUUAACAAAGGAUAUCAGAGAAAUAGGCACUUGGAUCCCUCUUGAGUCUUGAUUAAAACAUGAGGGACCUAAGUGCUUAUUUCUGCAAAGAAAUAGAGCUAAUGAAAAUAUUUUCAGAAGAUCAUCUUGAUUUAAACCUAAUAAGAUGGAGACUAACCACAGGAUCAGGUGCAUCAUCUUGCUUGCACAUCACCCACGGCACGCCGGUUUGAAGUCCGACCGCCAUCUCUGCUGCCCAUUUGAUAUAUGGUGGCCCUCGUUCACCGAAAGCAUUUUCUACCAUUUGAUACUCAUUCUCAAUCUAUAAAUAUAUACAUGAAAUUUAAUUUCAAGUCACUCUUCAGUACAGACCCUCAAGUUUAAAAAUGUAAAUUUGAGGAUAGACAACUUUGUCUAACUACAAGACGAUGUUGUCUCUCUGAAAUUUAUAUUUUAAAAUGAGUGAAUAUCUGGACCUGCGAAUUUUUAUUUUUAGUUCAAUGAAAAUAUAUACGAUAAUUCAUUUAUGAGAAGAAAUUUAUUUACCUGGGAUAAAAUGAUGGGGCCUCCUUGUGAGGCAUACAGCCUUUCUGAUUUCAUCAUGUUUACAAUUUUUGUCGUAAAAUUUUGCAUGAAAGCCUUCCAUAUCGAUCAAUAAAAUAUGAAAUAAUGUCACAUUCGAACUCAUUUUCUGAAUAGGCAUUAAUCAUGAAAUAAUGAAAAUAUCACGAAAUUAAAUACUGCCAUCACCUUGAAGGGUUCGUUGUCACAUCUAAAAGUAAUGCCUGGAACGUCAUGCAGCCAAAAUGGCAGGCCUCUGCAACCAUUUUAAGAAGCCCUACUUUGAAUUUUAUAAGUUCUAGAAAAAGAAUAAGUAAAUAAUUCAAAUAAAGUUGCAGAAGUGAAAUUUACCCAUAAGACCAUUCGCUCUGAAUGAAAGGUCCAAUCCUAAUGCUGGCAUAUAAUCCUUGUGCUUGGAUUUCUUUAAUGAACCUUACUAGAUCUCUUCUUCCACUAAAAUCAUACUUAAAAAAUGUAAUAAUAAAAAAAAAAUAGAAUAAAAUGAUUGAAGGUUAGCCAGCCUCUUUUUGAAAAUGAUGAAAUUAAGUUAAUUAAUUAAUUAAUUACCUUGCCUGGUUGUGGCUCAUGAAGAUUCCAGAACACAUAGGUUUGUAUCACAUCCAAUCCUCCUUCUUUGGCCUUGCUUAUCAAGGAUGGCCACAUCUGAUAUAAUUUCAGUACAAUUUUCUUUUAAUAUCAAUGGAUAGUCAAUUUUAAAUUUUGUUUUACUCUUACGUAAUAAAACUUGUUAAAUUCUAAAAUAAAUGCGUUUCACUACUUGAUUUAUCUGAAUUUCUCUGAAGUAAAAUUUAUAUCAAUGAUUAGUGACUAUUAGAUAAAAAAAUAAAAUUAUUAAUAUUAAUAUAAACUUAUAUACUCCAUGAUGCAUAGUAAUUUAAACUUAUGUACUCCACUUACGUAAUUUUUAAAUCAUAUAGUUCAAAAGGGCACUUCCGUAUUAAUCAAUAAUUAAUACAAAAAGUCAAACGAUACAUUAAUAAGAAAAUGGUUUUUUUAAUUUUUUUUCCUUUUUACCAAUGAAACAUUGGAGUAAGCCACAAGCAAAAUACAAAUAUUGCUUCAACAAUCUCAUAGAUGUUAUACAUAUGUUACUGUCAUGUAGGAGAGAAGAUCCAGAGAAACGCACUGGCCUUUCCGAUUUUUUCGAGGAGCCCAUAUAUAUCUAGUUAUUUAGCAAAGAGAAUUUAUUAAUUAAACAGUAUAUAUUAACCAACUCAUAGUGGCAUCUAUGUGUUUUUUUUCAAUGAAAUUAUUAUUUGAUAAGUUAUGGCAAAAUAAAGAUAAAAAAAUGUUCGAGAAAUUAACACGUAGCACAUAGUUUUAAAUUGCUCAUACAAAUAUAACUAAUAUAAUUUACAAGAUGGUAUCGAGGCUGGCAUUCAUGAAAAUUGUCGUUAUUCCAAAUUUUAUUAUAAAAUGACAUUUUGUUAAAGCACCCAUCGAUACAAAAAUAAAUAAUAUAAAUCAAAAUCAUAAAUGAAAUAUGUCUAAAGAAAAUUCUAAGCAGAAACUUUAGAAUAUCUCCACGGAUCAAUAUCAUGCAUGACAUAUUUGUAUAACGAAAGAAAUGAAGAGGAUUAACAAAAGUAUAUAUAAUACCUCUCGAGGGCUCCGCGGAUAGUGAAUUGAACCAGAGAAAAGAACCUUUCUUUCACCAUUAAUGAUCAAAGAUCUGCCGUCGUACGUCACUUCUCCGCCACGAACGCCACCACUCAUUACCGCCAGCAGCGGCAGCAAAACCCAACACAAUAUCAGUAGCCUCACCAUCUUCUAUAUUUGCAACUUCUCAAAUUUGCAAGCGAAUGGCUCACUCUAGCUAGCUAGAUAGCUGGCUAUAUACUCUCUAUAUAUGAAAAAAAUAUAUAAUAAAAAAAUCAAAGUAUUUUCAUACACACAGCUAGUCCCUCUUUAGCAGGGUGUCUUCAUUUUUUUUUUUUCAUUGAAAACUGUUAGGGCAUGUGGUUUAACAGAGUUAAUUUUUAAUGCUAUUAAGCUGUAUCGUUUUAUAGUGUAUUGAAAAAAACUCUAUUAAAUUACGGAAUUUAACAUAUAUAUAUGUUCAAAUCGAGGAUCCUGAUCAACUAGAUCACCAUUCUCUCUCUAUAUAUAUAAAUGGAAAUUGUAAUGUAAAGGGAGAUUGAGAUAUUAAUUUAUAAAAAUUUACGUAGAAAAGAAGGGAGAGGUAAGCCAUUAAUGGGAUCUUGAGUUUAUAGAUUCCAAGUGUCAAUUUUACGAUAUAAAUUAGAUUGAUAUAUAUUAAACAGGGUGUUAAUUAAAUAAAUAAAAACAUUGACAGCCAGUUGUACAAUUACAGGAUGUUAAUGAGAAAGAGUGAGAGACGGCAAAGAAUAGGGUAUUGUGUUGCACGUCCACUGAUUUUUAAUUUUUAUUUUUUUCCCCUACGUUGUGUGAGAACUGAGAAAUAAUGUUUGUUUAUUUUCAUGCCAAGUUUAUGAGGCAUGGAUGGUGGAUCAUGCAUCAACUUCUGAAAUAAAACUUAGACAGAGAAUUUAAACUUCAAUCUCUGUUUAUUCCGUACAUAGAACAUAAUAAGUUUAUAUGCAACCUGAAGUACUAAACUUAAAACGCAAAAUUUAGAACACAAGAGAACGAAAUUUUUUAAUUUCUUGUCAAGGAUUUUACAGUAGACAUACUCAGCACGAUAGCUGAUGGUGAAUAUGAUUGGAGUACUUGUAAUAUCAUGGCUUGCAUUUUGUUUUCAAAGCAAAUAAAUAACUUAAUACUAUUCUGGUAGGGGUGGCAAAUAGGAAUGACAUUUUUUGGGGAUAUUCCCUAUUUGGAGAGGGGAUGAACAUAAUUUAAUAUUUAAUUUUUUAUUUAGGGAUGGUAUGAGAAAAAUUUAAUAUCCAAAAUUUUAUUUAAGGAAGGGAUGAGAAUAAGGUAAAUCCCCAUCCCCUCUUUAUUAUAUAUUUAAGAAUUGUAUUUAUAUGUAUGUAAAUAAAAGUCCUAAUAUUUAUAGAAAUAAUAUAGAUAAGAGAUCAUAUAAGAACUUGAAUGAAAUUUGUCAUUUCCUCAAUUAUAUAGACAAAUAACACCUUUAUUUUGUGGACAAAUCACAUAUUGAUGAUAUUAACUUAGUUUGACAAAAGUAUUUUAAUUGACAUAAUUUUUUUUAAUAUUUUUGUAUUGGUAUUAUAAUUUUAUACUUUUACAUUGAUUUGAUUAUAUAAGAUACAUAAAUUAAAAUUGUCGGUUAUACAAAAAGUAAGCACCCUUGGGGAUCUCUUUUUAUUAAUCGGGGAUCCUCAUCCCCUCUUCUCAAGUAAUUAUAACGAAAAUAAAAUGGUUAUGACGACUUAAGCAGAAAGUACAGAGAUGUCAAUCUCCUCCCCUCCUCUCUCGUUGCCGCUUCUAAUGGUAAAAUGAGGUUAGAUCCAAGGACCAUUAGGUAUUAGUAAAAAUUUAGUUCAACACUGAAUUUUUAUCUAUUUUUUCAAUUCCUAGAUGAAAUAAUAGAUUUUUUAAGAAAAUUUGUAUUGUCAGGCUUAUUGUUUUAUUAUUAUUGUUGUUGUUAUAGUUGUUGAUGACUUCAAAUUUCUUGUUAGUAUUACAGGGGCAGAAGUGGGACCGAGUUUGAGCAUGUUUUGAUAUGGGUCAGAAAAGAAGAUCGAGCCCAACUUAAACCUUGGAUUGCAUGAGUUCUAAACUUGUGCUAAAGUUUUGGGGCUUGGUUUUUGACUGAAGAUCACAGUGUGAUAAACACCCCCCACACGUUUGUUAUGGUUCCCCCAUAGCUGUGAAGUUUCUUACCUGUUGCUCCAUCUUCAAUGCAAUUUACUUUCAUCAGUAGCUGCAUUGGAUAUUAGGGUUUUUUUUUGGUUUUUUUUCUAAUCAAUCAUUCAUCAUCUCGACACCAUAUCGCAUUUAUCCUCACCAUAAGGAAUGCUAAUAUUUAUUCAUAAUAAUUUUUCAGAAUUGUGACAGAAUCAAUGUUAAAACUACAAAUAUGAAAUUACAGUUAACUGAAAGACUAAUAGACAAAACACGUUAAAAUCACAUGAAAUUAUCGUUAUUUGAAAAAAUAAUUAAAAAAAAAAUACGAUAACACCAUAUGAUUUUUUUCCUUUGAAUUUUCUUUGCGAAUAAACACAACAGUUAAAUAUUACAGCCACAUCUUCCUCUAAACACAAAACUUGACAAUUGCUAUUAAAUUCAUCAAUAGGGACAUCAUGGUGGUCCACACUCUAACAGUUAACAUCUUAAUUUUAUCAACUAUUACAAACUCCAAAUUUGCAACAUUUUCUUUACAAUAAGAUAACUAAAAAAAAAAGACAAAAUUAGGAAAGAGAGUUCUUUUAGGUAUUUGCUCCUGCAUGUAAAAGCUAUUAUAUUUACUCCAGCAUAUAAACCUUAUUUUCAAAAAAAUUUUAUCACUAUAAAAUAAUUUUUUAAUAUUUUAUUUUUAUUUUUUAGUUGAGGCAUAUGCAGGGCAAGGAUUUAAUGGAAAUGUGCAUUUUAUUUACUACCAGAAGUGUCCGAAAUAUUUCUCAUUCAGUAAAAAAAAUUUAUGUAACAAAAUUUUAAAAAAGAAAAAAGCUUUAGUUUACAGUUUAUUUAAUUCAAUUUCUAUUCUGUUAUAUUACUUUUUAACCAUGAUCUUACUUUCCAAUUAUGAUCAAAUUGUUUUCUAUUUUUUCAAGGUGGACUCAGGGAAAAAAAAUUAAAAUAUAAUUGCUAUUUCUCUUUGAUAUGUCCAUCUCAUCUAACAUUUCCUACAUUGACUAAAGCCGAAUAAAUGUUGGCAUGAAGACUGAUAGAUUAGGUAAUAAUUAUAGGACAAAACUAGCUUACCCCCCAUUGUACCUAACACUCAGUUUUGGUAUUUUUAUUGCGGUCUUUAUUAUUUUCUGUAAAUAACAAUAAUUACAAAUUUCAAAAUUUUUACAUAAUAAGCCCGGAUCAAAAUAUAAUAAUUUUAAAAUUAAGAAUUUUGUUCUUUUCUCUCUCUGCCUUCUUUUCAAUCAUUCAGCCGUACUUCUAAUCCUAGUUCGUUCAUUGUCAAGCAUAUAAUUCAUCAAAACAUAGAGAGUCUUCAUAAAUUAGAUUAAUUUAUUGAACAUAAAAAUUAGAAAAAUAAUACUUGCAUACUCUUAAAAGAAAUUUAUUACUUUUAUGUUCUUUCCUUCAUCACCGGAAUAAGAAAUGAUUGUAUCUUACUUUCAAUAAGAGGAUCUAAACAAUUACUGUACUUUUACCAACAUGUAAAAAAUGAUUGUAUCUUACUUUCAAUAAGAGGAUCUAAACAAUUAGUGUAUUUUUACCAACAUGUAAAAAAACUGCCAUUACUCUAACCUAGAUAAUCCUAUUGUUUCAACUGGAUUUUCGUCAGGGUCAGAUUUAAACUAUUUAGUGGUUGUUCACAUCGAAUUGAGUUCAAAUCCAAUUAAAACAAAUAAAUGCAUGUUUAUGGGGAGACUGGGUUAACAAAGGUUGGAGUUUAGGUGAGUUUUUCUGACAUUUGGGAUAAGUGAUAUAGCUUAUUGAUGUUCUAAGAGGUGAACUAAGGUGAUUUGCGAGGUGAGUUGAGGUGAAUAGGGGUGGGCGUUCGGAUUGGGUUAACCGGAACCAAAUCGAACCGGAAAUUUAUUUCGGGUUCGGUUCGUUUGGGUUAACCUGUGCAACCCGAACGGAUUCAAACUAUCAACCUGGACUCGAAUUGAAUUUUAACCCGAACGGGUUGAAUUUCUUUUUUUUUUUUUUUAAGUUUUGGCUUUUAAAAAUUAAAAAAUAUACAUGUAUUAAACAACAAAAAAAUCUCUUUGACUACAUAUUUUAUGUUUUAUUAACUUUAAAAAGACUUGUUGAAAUAUUGUUAAGGAUGAUUUUAGUUGAUGUUUGUUGUUAAAGAUGUUUGGAUCUGAGACUUUUUAGAUUUUAAGUGGUUUUUGGUAGAAUUUGUGGAUUAAAUUGUUCCAAACCGAAUUAACCCGAAUUUUUAGAUUGAAUUGUUCUAACCCAAACUAACUUGAAUUAACUCAAACCGAAACUUUAACCCGAAUUACCAACCCAAUCCGAUCUGGAUUACAAACUCGAACCGAACCGAAUCGAAUUUAAUUCGGUUCGGGUUGGCGUUUUCAACCUGAUUGGGUUCAAUUCUCCAACCCGUUCGGGUUGAACCCAAACCGAAAUCCGAACAACCCAAACCGAAACCCGAUAUGCCCACCCCUAGAGAUGAAUAGAUUUUAGAAUAUUAUGGAGAGCUCAAUAGAGCUCGUAAGAGUUAAUUUAGAGAGUUGAUAUGGGGUGCUCAAGAGAGUUCAAAUGUAUCUUAGGUGUAGUUGGGAUAUAACUCGAGAGAGUUUUUCUGGGAAGCUCAGCAAAGCUCUUAAUCCUCAUGGCAUACCUCAGGUGAGCUCAUGCAUGAAGUAUGAUUUAGGUAUAAGAAUGUCAUAGUAAGUAGAAAAAAAUAUAGACAAUAAAGAACACACAAGAUUUUACGUGGUUUGACCAUUUGUCCUAUAUCCACAAAGUACUAAUUUUCAAUCCACUGUGUAAAUAAAGUAUGAUAUGAUUUGCUUUACAAUAUCAACAAAACCUUAUUAGAAAUUAUUUGUGGUGAAUAAUAACAUAAGGGAGAAAGUAGAUCUUAUGGAGAUUAGAGAAUUUUCUAAGGGAAAAAUAAGGAAAACGACUUCUUGGUAGAUGAGAUGGUCAAGAUUCUCUAUAAAAUUAUAAAAAUGAAGUAAAAAGCUAAAAAUCGAGGAAGAAAAUGAAACCUCUUAAGAAAUCAAAUCUGGUGAAAAAAAAAAGGCCCCUAAAACUAAAGUUAGAUAGAUGCGGAAUAAGUUUAUCCACCUUUUUGCCUCCACAGCUAGGCUUGUGGCAAGCUCUUAGUAUUGUGGCCCUUUUGCUUUUGAGGGAAUAAUAAAAGAGAGUUGACAAUACUUGACAUGAUUACCCAUAAUUGCUUAGCUAAGGAAUCUUCAUUACUAUUGGCUCUAGUUCUUAGCCAAAAAGAAAAUAUUUUAAAAUUUGGAUUCUCAUAAUACUCCAAUAAGGAUAUUUAUUGAAACUAACCUUUUUCCCCAGUGAACUUAUUUUCUCAUCUCUGAGUUCAGUCAAAUGAAUUGACUUUAUUUUGCUGAAUUUCCUUAGCCAUGUGUCAUGAUGUCAUUAGUCCAUGUCAGCAUCCAAAUUUCCCCUAAAAAACCUUUCAAAAACUAAUAUUGGGAAUUUUUGUAGUCUACUUUCUGUAUUUUAAACAUGAUCACAAAAUUCAAUGGCAAGAUCCUUGCAAAAUCCAAUCACCAAAAUUUGCAUUUCAAUUAUAAUUUAUGGCUUAUUCGAGUUAUGCAAUUGAGAGAGGGGGAAGCUUUCUGCAUCAACUUUUAGAUUCACGAUCAGAAUUCCAAAAAGAUUUUCUAGCUAACAGCGUUAACAUAAAAAAAUUUAUUCUUAAAAGGUAUAGUAUAGUAUAGUAUAAUUUGGUUAUUUGGACCCUAAUUCCUCCCAAUUCCCAUUUGCUCAAUAUACCCAACAGUAAAAUAUUGAAAUCUUAAUUUUACGGUAAAAAAUACCAAAAAAUAACUUAAUUAUAAAUUUUAUUAGAUAUUCAUUUUCUCUGCACCCACCAACUAUUAUUCAUUUUCUUUUGAGGAAGUGGUUAGAUCCAUAAAUUUCUCAUUUCUUUUUCCUCCCUCUUCUUGUUCUCAUUAAAUAAUUUUUCAAAAAGAAGAAAAAAAUUUAGGAUCAUAAUGUUCAAGGAAGUUCAACAUUUGUUUCAAAUUUCAUCUCUCUAGAAGGAGAAAAAAAUGCCAUAAAAAAUAAUUUGAUUCGCAAAUUCAUCAAUCAUCAUCAAAAUAUUUUCAUUUCUCAUGUGAAGAUUACACAAAUUAGUCAUAUAAAUGUAGAAACAAAGACAACAUAAAUGAUAAAAGCUAAAUUUAUUCAAAUAAACUAUUAUAUAUUCUACUGAAAUUAUUAGCCGGCACCAUACUACCUAAAAAAUAUUAUGAUGAUUUAGAAAAGAAAAAUCUUAAAUAAAUAGUACGCAAGAGAUGAGAGUUAUAAAGUUAUUUGAUGUUAAGCAGGUGUAUAGAAAUAAAAGUGAAGUUUGAUCCAUUCAUUAAAUUAAUUAUUUAUCCUUAUAAAUGUUAUUAUCUUUAAUGUUAAAACACUGAAUGGGUAUUUUAUCUAUGAAACACUAUAUAUACUAAAAGUUGAAUACAGUAAAUAAAUUUUUGGGUUCAAAUAGCCCUUUAUUCUAAAAUUUUAAAUUUUUAUACUGGGCAUUUUAAGUAAAUUGAUGUGGGGUAACUCAUUCAUAUUUUUAAUAUUUAAAUAUGUUCAUUUACUUAAUUACCCCUGACCUAUAUGAAGAUAACAAAAUAUUUUAUUGGACUUGUGUGUCAAAAUUUUGAAACCUAACCUUUUAUGAUGUUUUUAGGAAACAAGAGGCGCUGAAUAACUAAAUAAUUACAUCCUAACUGUUGGACUAGCUUUUUGCAAUUUAUGGUUGGAUGUUGGAUCGAUCACAAAAAGACGAAUAAUGGCAAAAUUGCUGGACUCUUAAACAUAAUUGUCCUUUCUUAAGAAAGUUCACAGUCAUUUGACUUAUUUAUGAUUAUUUCAUUAUUUUUCAACAUUUUCAAAACGUAAAAUUAAAUUAUAUUUCCUAAAAGAAAAAACAAAUGAUUGAGGGCAAAAUUUGAGUAAGAAAUGCCUAAGAUAUGACACGUGUGAAGAUAUUUUAUAUGACAUUUGAGCUCCUAUAAAGAAUAAAGAAGGAACUGAAAAGGUGAGGGCAUAACGGAAAGAUCCUGCAAAAUCAGCUUCAGCUUCCCAAAUCUCUUGAGAAUUAUAGAAAAUGUCUCCUACAGUACACCAAAACCACCGAAUGUCAGCAUGGGAUCACAGAGGCAAUGACAGCUUCACCAAUAAGGCCAAGAGACAUCUUCUCAACAUGGUUCAUAACCUCUAAAAUAUCUCAUUGCAGAUCACAUAAAUCAAAUAUGAGAAAUGAGGACCACAAACAUAGCCACUUGCUCUAUCAUCAAUGAAAUCAAAUACUUCUAAACUUGAUUGGCUCAUUUCAGAGUUGAGCACAUGUUACCAGCAAGGAUAGUACCUUAGAGGACAAUUGCCCAACUCUUGAAAGCCCAAAAACCUCAAUAAGAAAGACCAAAAUUACUCUUAAAUCCCUAUCUGAGGAGGGAAAUAACAAAUAACGAUCCAUUAUGUAUCCAAAAAAACAUAAAUAUGCCCUCAAGGGCAUUCCACUUUAUAAGGUUAGGUUUGUCUUACAAAUGAGAUAAUUUCUCUCUCACACAAAUAUUAAAAUUUCCUCUUAUUCAAGGAUUUCUUUGAAACCCCUCAUCUCCUUUAACCAAUUGACUAGACCGCUGCUUCUAAUGGCCGUUUUCUUUGAUUUCAGGGUCGUCUCAACCAUCACCAUUCCUAAAAAAGUGCCUUCAAGCAAAUCAGUCUUCACAAUCAUCAAAACUAUCUCUUGACCUGAAGCUCUCAUAAUAUUUUUGAAUUGAACAAAAAAAAGACUAAAACAAUACUCAUAAUUAAUCAGCUUGAAAAACUUUAAUCAAUAUCAUUUUCACCAUAAAUAAAAGAAUUGUUUGCCCAAGAAACAAAAAUUCUCUCUUUAUUUGGAAGGUGCUGGAAGAUUGAAUUUCACUUCAUUUUGUUAUGCAUGUCAUGUCAAUAAAUAUUCUAAUUAUUAUUUCAAUUUUGUAGCUAAAAUUGGAAAGUUCAACUUUUAGUGACUCAAUAAAAUUAAAAUUGGAAAGUUCAACUUUUAGUGACUCAAUAAAAUGCUUGCAAUUAAUAGCUUCGAGUGGGGGUAGAGUGCUCGAUUAAUUAAGUGAGCCAGAGCUACCUAUCAUAUUUAAGAUUUAGCAAUGUUGAAGUUUAUUAAUGAUAUAUAGAUUUCAUUUUUAAUCCAAAAAUUGAUGAUUUUUCAUAUUUUCUUUUUAAUAUAAAAAAUACAGCGAUGAAACCGACAAAGUACUUUUAAAUAAUUUUUUUUAAAGAAAAAUGCUAAGUGCACUAAAUGUUUGACAAACUAGCGAUGAAAUAUACCCAAAGGCCAAAACAAAUUGUUUUGAUUGUGUUUCUAAGAAUAGAAGGUAAAAACCCCAACAUAAUAUUAUUCUGGACGUCAUUUUGUCAUUUUUUUUUUUAUCAGAAUUUUGUUUGAAUAAUAACAGAGGUAUUAUAAACCCAAAAUUUCAUUAUACAAGUCUAAUUAUCGUAUCUUUAUCCAUAGUCCCAAGUGUGUUAAAAACUUUUUCCUUUUUGCAAAGAAAUUUAAUACCUCUUUCUAAUCUUAAGGCUAGACGCAUAUUAACAUAAUCCUUUAAAUUUUAAAAUAUGAAGUUUAAUUGGGAGGUAAAGGCCAGAAAGGACAAUGAAAGUAUUUGUAAAGCAUGUUGUGUAUAUCUUUAACAACUGUUAUCCAUGUGCUAAUGACUUGGAAAAUGCAUCAAACAUGGUGUACUUUUUUCGUUUUUUGAUUUUUUGAUUAAUUUCAAACAUGGUACCUAAUCGUAACAGAUAAGACACCUCAAUUAUCAUGUAAUCAUUGCCUGUUUUUUUUCCCCUAUUAUAUAUUUAAAUUUUUAUCAAGACAACACUACGAAAGUCGAAACUUUCAACCCGGAACAAGAAAAAAGUAAAACAGAGUUACUUUUAAACAGACAUUAAAUAAUAAACAUAGUAAAUAGCAAUGAUCUAAAACAAUAAUGAGAUCCCUAAUUGUUUAUAAUUUCUCAAAUAAAUACUUACCUGUAUUAUAUUUAUUUCAAAUGGGUCCCAAACUCGUGCACAAACAAGCAAGUCGGAUCAAACUUUUGCUUGGCUCGUGUUUGGGUUGGNNNNNNNNNNNNNNNNNNNNNNNNNNNNNNNNNNNNNNNNNNNNNNNNNNNNNNNNNNNNNNNNNNNNNNNNNNNNNNNNNNNNNNNNNNNNNNNNNNNNNNNNNNNNNNNNNNNNNNNNNNNNNNNNNNNNNNNNNNNNNNNNNNNNNNNNNNNNNNNNNNNNNNNNNNNNNNNNNNNNNNNNNNNNNNNNNNNNNNNNNNNNNNNNNNNNNNNNNNNNNNNNNNNNNNNNNNNNNNNNNNNNNNNNNAACUACAGUCUUUUUUUUUUUUUUUCCCCCCAGAAAACAUAAUAUAAUUGUUUGUAGAUAAAUCAAGCUCGCCAUCCCAAUAGUUUGACCUACAUAGAGAACUUGUAGUUGGUACUAUUCAUUUUAUAUAAAAUAUUUAGAUUUCUUUAAAUACUAUUUUAUGCUUAGUCGAUGACGUAGGGAUGCUCUUUGGUUGCCAUUAUCUUUUGUUAAUGAUCACUCACCUUCGUUAAAAUUACCACAUACUCCAUCAAAAUCAUAAAUUAAUGAUUAUAUUCAUUUGUAGUGUUUUUCAUCAGCAUUCGAGAAACUGUUGACAUGAGAAUAACAGUAAAUUUAGGUCAAAUAUAUAAACUUAUUGUAAAGUAGCGAUAAUUUUAUAGGAGAGCCUUACCAUUAUUUUUGAGUUGAUUGAUAGAUGAUGAAAAAUAUAGCGUAUUAUUUACUCAAGUAAUUAAUUCGCUUAAUUUAGUUCGUAGAUGUGGUAAAAUUUGACACGACUCUUUUACUUGACAUGAACCUAACAAAUAAAUAGGUUUGGGUAGUAAAAUUGAAUGCUUUUUAGAUGGACUAUGUUUGAAUGGGCUUAAACUUGACACGAUACGAAUAUGACUUGUUGACAUGUUUUGCCAACUCUUUGAGAACUUAUUUGAUACAAAAAAGAAAAUUAUCAUUAUUUUUAAAUUGAUCGACAAACAAUGAAAAGUAUAACCAUUUGGCCUUUGACUGAGUGAUUGAGCCAUUCCCUUACAAUUGUAAGGGUAGUGGUUCAAACCCUUACAAAAGUGUUAUGAGGGUUAAUUCCUUCUUUAAAUUUGAGUAAAAGUAGUUUUUUUCCUGUUGAAAUGUGAGUGGAGUUGAUGUCCGAGAGAGUAAAAUUCUGAACAAUGAUAUAUAAGAUUAAAUAUAAACUUAUCAUAAUAAUUAUUUGAUUAUAAGUAUUAAUUUUAAUUUCAUAUAAUAUGAGUUGUAUUUUGAGUAAUAAUUUCAUAUAAUUAAAAAAAAGAAAAAAAAAUCUUUUUCUGAGCAAACUUUAAGAAUUUGGGUCCAAAAUGUUACUGUGUUCUAUAGAAAUAAUAGUCAUGAACAAUCUUUAUGUUUCAGACCGAACACUUGAGUCUACACUUUUGUCUUCGCGUUUACUGCUGUUUUGUCAAAACUGUUAAAAAAUCGAAAAGCAAAGCCGUUGAAAGUCUAACAAAACAGCCUAUCUCUGACGCUUGACGGAGAUAAACAUUAAAUAGCCUUUCAAUUUAGUUGGAGAUUUUUAUGUUACAAAAAAAAAACAAAAUAAAUUUCCUCUUCCUUCAUUCACACGAUCACACAUUUAAUUUCUUCCUUUAAAUUAUUAUUAUUAUUUAUUAAUUAUUAGUAAGCUUCUCUCACCUACUCUUUCUUCAUCUAUCUGUGGAAGCAAAAUUCUCAAUUUAUUAUACAAAUAACCGAAAAUGCGAGUUGGGUUUAGUAAUACUUCAUUUUCCCAGAAAAAUUUCUGAUUUUUCCUCCCUUUUCCGGGAAAAAUAACUAGUGGGUUUUGUGUAGAAGCCGAUUUGGAGAAAUGGGUAAUCGGUUUAUUUGCAUGAACAAGAAGGAGGCUAAAGAGAAUAAUAAUGGAUCAAGGAGCAAGAGAAUGGGUCGGUCUCAGAGAAAAAUGUUAGCAGAAGAAGAGUUUUUGCACAGGCAAGCUUUGUCAAUGGCGCUUCAGCAGCAUCAGCUGUCUCAGAGGUUUGAGGGAUCCAUGUCAAGAAGAAUUGGAGGCAAUACAAGCUCUAGAAGACGCACUCUCUCGGAAUCUUUAUCUAAUGGAAAGCAGGUCAAAGUCCUUUUUUGAAUUUUUUUGAUGAUUUUGUUGUGCUUAUUUGUUAGUUUUGUUUAUCAGUGGAUCUGUGACGAAAGUGGGGUUCAAAUUUGAUGAUUAAGGUUUUGUUUAAGUUGUGAAAUGGAAGUGGAACUGCUUUUUUACAAUAAUAGAUUAAUGUUUGUUUUUGUUACUUUUUGGUGAUGGCUAAACAAAAGUGAAGCUGAAAAGGUAUGGGAGGUAAUUGAUUUUGCUUUUAGUUUUAGAUUUAUAGCUUAUUUUGGAAGAAAAAGGGAUCUAAGCAUAUUAAAGUCAAGAUGGUGCCGCAGAGAUAUAAUCAAAUGGGUAGUAUAAACUUUAGUUAGGCUUUGGCAUGUCAAUAUAGAUGUUGUUGUACGUGGUCUCUGAAGUUUGACUAAGUGAUUACUAGAGAUAAGAUCAUCAUUAGUGGCCAACAUAGUAUGAGAACUAAGACAUUUGAAAGUCUUGAAGUUUGUUUCUGGGAUCAUGUGCUUCAUCCUAACCCGAAAGAAAGAAUUUGUUAUGCUCGUAAUGAAGAGGUCUUUUUUCCAUUAUAAGUGGGACGACAGCUAGAUUCAUAUGACCAAAUAAUUAUUAGUUCCUAUUAUUAUAAAUUAGAACUAAUAUUGUUUAACUGGUGGAUAAUCAUGGAUCACUUUUUUUUGCAUGCUCUGCUUACGAGUAUCUGUAAUAAUUUGAAUUCACUUUUCCUUCUGAUUUAACAUAUUUUGUCAAGUAUGAAAUUUUACAACUGAAGUUUGGCCAUACCAUAUCUUCUGGCAAUUUUAUACUUCAUGUUGUACGUCAUCUGGGAAAACUUUAAUGUGCAUAGCAUACCCUAAUACACGGUGAUAUAAUUUCACUGACUUAUAUCUCUACAGGAUACAAACAUUCUGGAGAAUAUCCAGUAUAAAAAGUUUGUUUUAAUACAUGGAGAAGGCUUUGGAGCAUGGUGUUGGUACAAAACUGUUGCUUCAUUGGAGGAAGUAGGAUUGAUCCCGACUGCCUUAGAUCUCAAGGGAUCUGGCAUUGAUCUGUCAGAUACAAACAGCGUCACUACACUUGCAGAAUAUUCAAAACCAUUGCUUGAUUAUCUUGAAAACCUUCUAGAGGAUGAAAAGGUUAGAAGAUGAGAAAUAUAUCAUGAUGGUUCUAUUUUAUUUCAAAAAUGACCUUGAUGGAUGUGUUUAUUUUAUCUUCUGCAGGUUAUUUUGGUAGGUCACAGUAGUGGAGGUGCUUGUGUUUCAUAUGCGUUGGAGCAUUUCCCUCAAAAGAUCUCAAAAGCGAUUUUUCUAUGUGCUACAAUGGUGUCAGAUGGCCAGAGGCCUUUUGAUGUCUUUGCUGAAGAGGUAUGUUUAAUGCUCAAUGCUCCACUAAUAUCAUUGGUUACUGUUGAGGAAUAGCAAUCCCUUAGAAAAAUAAUGAAAGUUUGACGUUAUGCAAAAGCAAUAAUGAUUGUGUAUAUUUAAUAUUUUUCCCAUCUUAGUUUGAUCAAUCUUUCCUAAUUUUCACUUCAUUGUAUUAGAUUUUCCAAGAUGAUAUCAUUAAACCUGAUCAUUAACCAUUUGGUGGAGCCUUUUUUAUGGAUGAAUAUUAAUGAGCUGUACUGACACCCAUGUGAAUAAUUCAUUCAUUUAUACUCAAAAUAUGCAAUAUGCUUCCUCUUAAUGGUGUUUUGUCUUUCUAAUUCUUGUGUGGAUGUAAUGCUUCCAAUCAGUUUUCAUUCUUCUGAAUUAUUUAAUUCGAACAACCUCGCUAAUGGUAUCGGUAUUGCAGCUUGGAUCUGCAGAGCGUUUUAUGCAAGAAUCACAGUUUUUAAUUUAUGGAAAUGGUAAAGAUAAGCCUCCUACUGGAUUCAUGUUUGAGAAACAGCAAAUGAAGGGGUUAUAUUUCAAUCAAUCACCAUCAAAGGUAUGGUAUAGUUCUAGUCUGUCUUUUGCCAUAAAACAAUUUCUCUGGUUCUAUCAAUUUGCAGAAAGCCCCACAUCUGCAUAUGUCUCAUGGAAACAUUUUUGGGAUGCCAUAUUUCUUGGGUUUGUUACACUGUUUACUACUUACCGAUAGAUAAGUCAACGGGUGUAUAAGGAAGUUAGAGCACAAAUUCCCCUUUUUUUUUUUCCUUUUUUCUUUCUCUUUUAAGUACUAGAAACUGACAAAGUCUGCUGGUACGGUAUGGUACAUAUGUGUAGUUUAUGGCUUGCAUGGAAGUUAAUACUCUGCCUUGUUUUAUGCAUGCCACCAAGUGAUUUAACCCCACCCUAAAAAAGUAAGAAUGUCUACUUUUGUUUGUUUGUGCUUGAGUUGGGAAAAAUCUGGCCAUCACAGGACAUCCACAUGGUGGGCUACACUUCGUUACCGUCCAUAGUUUUUAGUCUAUGUUUGUUGAUUUCUAAUCGCUUUGAUUUCUGAUAUGCGUUUUCAACAUUGAGUGUCUGGACUUUGGAGCAACGUGGUAGAGAUAUGUUGUGAUUAUAUCUAGUUUUUGGUGAGCCAAUAAAAAAUUUCUAUCACUAAUAUAGCGAAUAUAAUUCAACAUGGAUUUUGGUUCUUUCCAGGAUGUUGCCUUGGCCAUGGCUUCAAUGAGACCCACCCCAUUGGGUCCAAUCAUGGAGAAGCUAUCAUUAUCUCCAGAAAAGUAUGGAACUGGCAGACGCUUCUUCAUUCAGACACUGGAUGAUCGUGCCCUUUCACCAGAUGUUCAAGAGAAGCUUGUUAGAGAAAACCCACCAGAAGGAGUCUACAAGAUCAAAGGAAGCGACCACUGCCCUUUCUUCUCAAAGCCACAGUCACUACAUAAAAUUUUAGUUGAAAUUGCUCAAAUCCCAUAACUUCAAUAUAAAAAAUGAGUAAGAAUUCUUUCAUCAUUACUUUAGAAAACAAGAAGAGUUGGGUUAUUACUUGUUGUAUGUAGAACAUCGACGCCAGCUUUUAUGCUGUAGUUUCUUUUUCAGAAUAUGGGUAUAGAGGAAGUCAAUGUAUCAUUACCUUAUUUAUUAAUCAGUAGUAAAUUAAAUCAAGUGCUAGAACGCAUGACUUAGGGCUCAAUUGGGUUAUAUUUGGAAGGUUCAAAAGUAAUUUUAAAAAGUUAAAAGUUAAUUUUGGUGUUUGUUAAUUUUUUUAGCAAUCACUUUUGGCAAAAUAUUCCUUUCUGUAGUAGAUUUUAAAAAUCAAGAACAGAGUAAUUUUUUAAAAUCUAAUUUGGAGAAUUAAUUUCAUACUUAACAUAAAUCUAUAUUAGGAAAUAAAAUCUUUAAUUUUAAAGAUUUUAUUAUUAUUACCAAUUAUAUUAAGAUAACAAAAUAAAAAAUAAAUUAAUAAUAUAAAAUAAUUAUUUUAGUUUUUAAUUAUUAUAUAUGCACAAUAAGAAAUAUUUGAUAUACAUGAUUAUAAAUAUAUAAAUGGAUCUUAUUCAACAUUAUUUCUAAUAAAUUUAUUUACAUUUUAAAAAUAGUUUAGCAGUAAUAUUUAUUAAAUAUAUACAAUUGCUUUUAAAGCUCCGGGGUACAUUUAACUACUUUUUCACUAAACAUACACAAUUACUUUUUAUAGUACUGCUUUUUCAUCCUUUCGCUCCCAGCUUUAAUGUUUUAUCAUGUUUCUAAUUGCUGUCAGGGUUUAUGCUGCUGAUGUAAAAUGAUAUUACUGUUAGCAUAGUGUCAUUAAUUCCUGAAACAGUGAUUUGAGUCAUUGAGAGCAGCAACAGAGAAGCAGAGUUAGCAAAUUCAUAUUAUACCUAUAUUUCUAAUAUAAUUAAUACAAGAGCGUUGCCAACACAUAAAAAACAAUAAGCUUUGCUACUUACACACAAGUUGAUUCUAUUCGCUACUCAGCUCAAUAUAUAUAUUCAGGUUCCGCUUCCCAAAUGAGCAUGCCCACCUUGACAAUUUUAAUCUACGGUUCAGUCAAUGGCAGCAUACAAAUGUUCGCACUGAACGCAUGUAAGGGCUUUGCUUCUAGACCAAAACAAUAAAGAAAUCCGGCAGUAAGCUGCUGACCUAGUAACAAAUAUACCCUACAGCGAAAUGACAUUGCCCACCUAAAAAAAGCCCUAUACCUGAUACCAGCUGGGUAAUGGUCUAUAUGGAUUUGGGGUCUUGAGAUUGUCACCAGAAAAAUGCAAGCCCUACCAUUUUCACCAAAGAUUAUCUAUAGGUCAAGGACCUUCGAUUAUAGCUUUGACAGCACUGCACUCCUGACAUCCAUCUUUUAUUCGUUUGGUUGUAACCAUAUGGAGAUGAAUGAAAAUUUGUAGAUAGAGAGGCAGGAAAUUCAACAAUCACAGCAGUUGAAACCCUCAACGGCUUCAAACAGAUUUUCCCAGGUAUCAUUCAUGGCUGCCUCAGAUUGCACUGAAAAGAGAAUGGAUUCAAACCGAAGCAUGUACAAUGAUGAAUCAUAAAGCGAUAUCGCAACUUCAACAUCCAAUGAGGCAAACAAAUUUCUCUGUCAUUCAAUGCAGCAUGACACAGAAACUAAAGCCUUGCAUCAGAGAGUUGCAAAUUUCUAAAACCUGCAAAACACACAAACUGGAUAUGAGCUCACUGAAUAGAAAAAUAUAGAAGAGUACCUCAGCUAAUUUUAUUAGGAUUAAAUGGGAAGAACGCUUUGAGAUCAACUUGGGCCUUAAAAUGUAUCAAAUGUAAACAGUGUUGCGCGGCACUACAUACAAAGUAAAAGCUGAUUGAUUCUGAACAUAGCAACCGCAGCUAAUUGGUGAUCAAAGGCUUCCUUCUUACUGGACAAAUAUCAAACAAGGAUACUUACGUACAUAUUAAAAUACAGAAAGACCAUUGCUUCAUGAGAUGAGAUGACACCCACUGGAAUAAAAAAAUUUGGGCAAUAAGAAUUUGCAGUGACUUUGAGCAAGUUUCUAAUGCAUUUUGUAAAUCAUCUGCAAUUUGACAUAUCAUAUAAAGAUCUGAUACAUGUAUAUUUGAUUUUGAUAGGAACACCAUAUACAAAAGAGCCUUACCAGAACUAGAUUUUCUAAUGCCCAGAAGAUGACUUUUGAAUCCACACUUGUUUCUGCACACACAAAAAAGAUGUCAUCUUCUCAUCAGAAAUAAAAGACCCACACAGAGACAGAGAGGGGCAACCACAGCGGGGCAAGGGGGUGGGGUGUGAAGAGGGAGAAGGGAGAUUCCAACCAUUUAAGAUAAAGACCAUAACGACACAGAACUAAUAGCUGUAAGAUGAAAAAAAUUUGCCUCACCUCAUUGCCACCUGAGCCAGCAGCACCUCUUCUUUUGGAAGACUUCCCCUCAAUCGUAUUUAUGCAACCAUCAUCCUUUGUAAUAUUGGUAGCUGCACGGCGACCAUUAUGUCUAUGGGAACCUGGAUAAAUGAAAUAUUUUUUGGUACCAGUAAUGGUAACAUUAGAACCAUUGUAGAAAAAUGAACACUCAGUGGAUGGAGUAAAAAACAAAUAUUUCCCAUGAAUAUACCUCCACUUGUAGGUGCUGCAAUGUCAACAGUCUUGCUUCCAUAGGACAUAUCAUCUUUCAUCUCUCCACGAGUGACUGAAAAUUAUCAAAAUACUGUAAGACUUAACACAUUUCCUACUGCAGAAGAACUCUCAUACAGUAUGCUAAAAUCACUAUCCUCCAGCAUACUAUCAGUACUUACACAAAUACCAGAUAACCUAUCCAAAGUAACAACAAUACCUUCAACUGAAUCAGAAAGCAGCUGAGUCGGUUGCGAGGAUGACAAGCGCUCCCCGUUAGCCUGUGAAACAUCAGACCGACGGGGAGUCCACACAACACGAUCAGGUCUGUCCUUAUUUCUUGUACGUUUUUCUUGCUUCUCACUUACAGCACCAGAACCAUGCAGGACUUUUCUAGCAAACCUAUCAUCUGAAGAUCUUUUUGUAUUACCAUCAAAACUAAAUAUAGGUGAUUCAUUAUUGGUCACAUGCCCAUUUGGCGAGCAGGUAGGCCCAGGUAAUGGCUUCCCGCUCUCCUGAUUCAAGUUUGGCAUCUUCUGCUGAGGCUGGACUCCAGUCACAGACUGGGUUUGACGCGUUUCAUUAUUCAAGAGUAUUUUUCUGAUUAACCUCCCACCAGCUUCACGUCUCUGAAUCUGUUUUGGAACAGUUGGAGAAGCUGAGUUUUUGACAGGAGAUGAUUCUCUCUGCUUGUCCAGCAGGGCAUCAGGAACCUGAGGUUCACAAAAUCCAUCACAACUUGCAUCCAUGAGAUUAGACAUGACCAAUUAUAAAGCAUGCAAAACUUAUGUAUGCUAAAAUAACUCUAUCAAUGGCUCAUAGUGGACAUCUUCAGUGCAGAACGCAAGUCAAAACCAAUCAGCUUACGUGAGGAAUUUCUCGUUCUUUCCCUUUCAAAAGCAGGAUCUUCUUCUUUCCAGUAUCAGAGGUCAAAGGGAUUCCUACAGAACCUUCAACGCCACAAACUGCAAUUUAAAUAAUGAAAAAAAAUGGUGUCAACAUGGAAGCUUAGCCGAUCUUUAGGGCAAUAAUAGGUAGAUGUAAAACAUGUAAAUGAAUGAAGACGUAUGAAAAAAAAGGCUGACAGCAAAAGAGAAAAUCUAUACAAGAGCAAAAGGAAGCAAUAACACCCUCUUCCCCAGAAAGUAACCAGCCAAAUUGACUACCCACCACAGGAAAUAAAUAACAUAGGUAGAAAAAACAACACAAGGUCAGCAUUGCACAAUGAAGAGAGAUAUAAACGAAAUAUUUGUUCUCAAGAUUAUAUAUAAAACAAACAAAUACAGUUACAUCACAUCAUCAUGUCCCCAAAUGUUCCAUGCACAAGUCUGUCUUGAUCAACUCCUCUGACGACAUCCUUGAGCCAGAAUGCAUAAAAGAAGUUCACAGCAAUAGGAAAAUUGUCAAGGAACAAAAUACAUUAAAACUGCACAUUAUCAAAUAUAUAAUAGACCAUGGAAGUUGAUAAAUGUCCAACAGUAGAAGAAAUGGCCAGCGUUUGAGAUAAUAGCAUCAAAUUACGACUGCACAAAAUGAGGCUCCAGAUAUAUCAAAUUGUUUUUGAUAGGAAACAAAGAAACUGGCAUUAAUAAGAGCAAUAAUUACAAAAUAUGAAACUAGCAUUAAUAAGAGCAAUAAUUACAAAAUGUGAACAAGGAGUCCACAAAGAAAGAAACCCCAAAAGAUCACUAAAAGAUCUAUACAGUUGAUAUUUAUCAAAUUGAUUUUGCUAAGUGGGUGAAAAAGGCUAAAAGAUUUGUGCCUUUGCAACAUAGCUGCAUCCAUUAAAUCUUAAACAGCCCAACACUAGCACAUGAUCUAAUGAAACAACAUAAUGAAUGAUCUUAAUCUUUCAAAACAAAUAAAAAAGAAGGAAGGCAUUUAUUAUUAAUGAUUUAGAAUGAAAAUUAAAAGUGCCCAUACUGGUUUCACUUGCUGAUGUUUCUUUUCCACUUGAAGAGGCUGGCUGGUCCUCUCGCUUGGCUAAUACUUUGAAAGUUGAUUUGUCCUUCCGCCUUGCAUUCUUUGCACUAUCCUUUAGAAUAUACUGAUAAUAAAGGGGAAAAAAUAAAUGAGAGAUGGUUGCAAUCCACAUCCAUAUAUGAUAAAGUACUUCUCCCAUUCAAAGCUCUGUUAUUUCAUUCCAAUUACAAGGGAUCUUCCACUCCCGCAUACUCAACACCAACAAAUCAAUGAAUCAUCCAUAAGACAUUGCAUCACACAAGCAAACAUAAGUAAAGAAUACGAGGCACCAUAAUUUAAAAAUAAAACUGCAAUGUAAAAGUCAGUAAUCAGCUGGUUGCCCAUCAUAUUAGACAUACGACUAACUAGAAAACCCUUUUUUGAGCUUGGCUUGUUUAAUGGGAAAUAACUUGCAGAAACAAAUUUUUUCUCUAUUUUCUGGAGUUCAGUGCAACAUUUGAAACAAUCAUCCAAAAAUAUUUUUACAUCAAUGAAAAAUCAAGCUUGAAUUCAUGUAAAAGACUUGUUUCCAAAUCAGUUAAUCAAUUUUUUUGCUGAAUAUAUAGAUAAACAUCAAUGCUCAUUAUUAACAUAUCAACAACCAUGGUCUUUCAGCACUGCUCCUCACUAACACCACCCAGUUAUCAAUCACCAUCAAGAGGGCUGGUCCUCUUUGUUGGUAAACAGUGAUCCACAUGAAUGGCCACCUUCGUCAACCAAUGACCAUAUGUAAUAAUCAUUAUUGGUCGUAUACAAUUAUCAACACCACCAACAAUUAAUGGCCAUGAUUAGUCAUAAACGAUAAUUGACAGUGUCUCAUUGAUUGUCAUUAACCAUUACUAGACUAUUUUACUUGAAAGUAUUUUCUACAAUUUUUUAUCAUGAAAAAAGCUCUAAUAAAAAUAUCUCGAUUCCAUAAAUUUAUGGCAGCAACAAAAAGUUGCAAUAAUUGACCUUAAUAUAGUCCGUUAGAUAUUCCCUCUCCAACCAAUUGCAGUGCAUAAAACAAAGAUCUUAAAGCAAAUCCUUUAAUUUUUAAUACUUUAAAAAAAGAUUUACCCAAAGGAACUGCUCCUUAGCACCUGAUAAAAUACCCAAUAAUAAAUGAAUUUAAACCCAUUGCAAUCUCAAGCCUCUAAUCCUUUGGAAACAUGUUGACAUUUUAAGUCGCACUAGAUAUAAAGUUGUCAUUUUUCCAGAUUUCACAAAAUGAUAACACAAGUAGCAACUGCCUUUAAUGUCUGCUUAAUGCGUCAAAGAAUUGGACUCUAAAAUUGUGCCUAGUUAAGUUCAUGCAUGAUCCAGAUCUAGAUCAAAACUCUAGCAAAGCAGCCAAAGAGUAGGCAUUACUUCUACCCAAAAGUCUUAAACCUGCAGCCAAGAAGCCAGACAAAGGAAUUUAAAUUUUUUACCUUUCAAAUUUCUCUAUUUCCCGAGUUUUUUUAAACUUUUUUUAUUCACAAGACCACCAAUGCCCACCCACUAGUAGUGCGACCAUAUAUUUGAUAUAUUCAUGAUUCACCCGCACAAAAAAUAAAAUAAAAUAAAAAAUAACUGGCCAACAAAUUUCCAAGAUAAACAACUAAAGAGGACAGUGUUGUUUACCAAAAUUCAAAUUAUAAGCCAUGCUCAACAUAUUCUAGGAGGUAAUUACCUUUUUCUUCUCUGAGCCGCGCUUAGUGGUAGUUGAACUAGUCUUGCUAGCAGAAGCUGCCCUACUUCUUCUGCCAACUCUCCCAACAGCUAAGGACUCCUGACUCACUCAAAAAAUUGCAAAUCAACACUUAAAUAUGUACGCUUCUAAGUACGCGAAAGAAUAAUUGAAUAAUCCAGAAAGAUUGAUUAAAACAUCUAUUUUCCAUUAUUAUAAAUGCAAGGCUUUCCAGAUUAUAAAUGCAAGGCUUUCCAGAUUAUCAAAAUAUGCAACUCCAAAGACUUUGAAUCUCUCCUACGCACAUUUAUAUAUUUACCAAAAAGAAGGGCCUCAUACCUGAGCUCCACUCUCAGCAGCUCGUUUCUGCCGAACAUAUUCCAUUAGAGGUGUAACAACAAGAGUUUCCUUUGGAGCACCUGCAACAUGUAUAUUAAAAGUCCGCACCAAGGUACAUACACUCUCUCUCUCUCUCUCUAAGAACAGCAGGUUAUAUUCAUCAAAUUCAUAAAAAUAACUAACUAACCAGAUAGCUCAGCUUCUUUUCUUUCCAACUGAAUUUCUGCACUUGGUAGAUUCUCGGCAGGUUUAGCAAUAACCUUCAGGAACUCCAGAUAAUCCGGGUCUUUAUUGUCCACAUCAAAACCAAAAACAGCUUAUUACUACAGUACUUCUAGAAACAAUAAGAAGAAAAAGAAAAUAAAGGUAUACUUGUAAUUGUUGUGCUUUCAACUUAACUUUGAAAUUUAGCAGCUUAAGCGUACGGUAGAAGCCACGGCACUUCAACCCCAAAAGUACCCUAAGUUUUUUUUUUUAUAAAAAAUUACCUUUAAAAAUGGUGCCUUCACGACUAUCCUUUCUAGAAAAAGGCUUGGGAACACGUUGAGAUGGAGCAUAUUCAACAAUAGCCUUAAACUGAGCACCUAAUCGAGAACCCAAUAACACAUAUAAUUAACCAAACAGAAAGUGCCCUUUUCAUUUACAACAACAUAAACUCAUUCAUUACCAAAUUAAAAUUGAUAAGUAAAAGCAAAAGGGUAAGCAAAAUUACCCUUUUCAUUAACAAACACAUGUCCAUUCAACAACUCAGCAAACUCAAACACACCCGCAGGCUUCUUCAAUUCUACAUAUGCUCGUGAAUACCUCUGAUGCUUGUAACUGUAAAAAAACUAAAAUCCAAAGUUAAAAUAAAAUUUCAAAAAAAAGGCCAAAAAUCAAUCAAUUAUAAAGAACAAAAGAAAUUAAAACAAUACCUAGAUUUUCCGGGGCGAAAGCAGAACCAAUUGUAACGGUCGUUGAAGUGAUCGCGGAAAAGGGCUAAAAGGUCAUUUUGAGAGAGGGAAGGAGGCAAAUGACGAAUCACUACUUUGGUUCUCUGCAAUGGCUCCUUCAUUUCAUCGCAUUCAAUUUGCCCCGAUUGUAUUGAAUUCGAAAAAUCGAAAAAGAGUUUUGAUUAUUUUGUACCCUAAUUUUCGAUUUGGGUUGAGAAUGAAAUUGGAAUGUUGUUUAUUGGAAAUUUUUAGACGCACGUAACCGUUGUGUUUUUCUCUAGAGAGGGCUCUGAGCACUCACAAACGGGAGAUUUACCCUUGGGAAACGUCGUCGUGUGGACAUUUCCAAUUCCCGAUACGAGUAACACGUGUCGAUAAAUUAACCUAAUUCAUAUUUCAUUGCCCAAGGCAAGGGCAAUUGAUAUUCCCUAUUUCCCUUUAUAUAACUUCUUGGAGUCCAGGGGACUUGACGUAUAAAAUGACCAAAAAGUCCCUUUAUAGAAUGGAUAUGCUAAUUUAAUAAAGAAGGAUUAUCAAUAAUAAUAAUAAUAAUAAUAAUAAUAAUAAUAAUAAUAAUAAUAAUAAUGGGAAAUUGUUAGUUUUCUCCCAUUCAAAUUAAUAUAUAUUAAUUAACUCAUAUUAUUUUUAUAAUAACCAAUAAUUUUUUAAUAAUAUAAUUUUAUAAUAUUCUCUUAUUUUUAAAUAAAAUUUAAUAAUAAUAAUAAUAAUAAUAAUAAUAAUAAUAAUAAUAAUAAUAAUAAUAAUAAUAAUAAUAAUAAUAAUAAUAAUAAUAAUAAUAAUAAUAAUAAUAAUAAUAAUAAUAAUAAUAAUAAUAAUAAUAAUAAUAAUAAUAAUAAUAAUAAUAAUAAUAAUAAUAAUAAUAAUAAUAAUAAUAAUAAUAAUAAUAAUAAUAAUAAUAAUAAUAAUAAUAAUAAUAAUAAUAAUAAUAAUAAUAAUAAUAAUAAUAAUAAUAAUAAUAAUAAUAAUAAUAAUAAUAAUAAUAAUAAUAAUAAUAAUAAUAAUAAUAAUAAUAAUAAUACGGUACAGCAGAAUAAUAAUAAUAAUAAUAAUAAUAAUAAUGGGAAAUUGUUAGUUUUCUCCCAUUCAAAUUAAUAUAUAUUAAUUAACUCAUAUUAUUUUUAUAAUAACCAAUAAUUUUUUAAUAAUAUAAUUUUAUAAUAUUCUCUUAUUUUUAAAUAAAAUUUUAUUCAUAUUUAUUAUAAAUUAAAUGAAUUAUAUAAAUACAAAUUACAAUAAAAACAUUAAGAACUAAAAAUAAGAAAUAUAUGUUUUAAUAUAGAUAAAAAUAAAUUAUAAAAUAUUUGUUAAUACUUUUUGUUAUUUUUAAAUAUUUUUGUUAUAAUAAAUACAUAUAUUAUAGGCCCAAGAUAAAUUAUUAAGAAAAUACCUUAUUUACCCCUCUUUUGUUUUAAAUGUUUUGGUGACGGGAGAGUUUUUAGAUAUUAUAAAAUUAAUAGAAUAUAUGUGAUAUAUAUUAGUUUUCAAUAAGAAAGCAUUAGCAAUCUCCCUAAUAAUAAAAGUGACAAAAUAAUGGAAGGCAAAAGAGAGAAAUUGAAUUGUGUAUUCAUUCUUCUUUUAAAUUCUUUUAUUCUCAACUUUCUCUUUAAAUUCUUAAUAAAACCCCUGUAUAUAUUCCAUUUAUUAUCUAAUUUAUAAUUUUCAUACCUUAAAUCCUAAAAUUUUAUUUCUGACAUCUUAAUCAAUACUUAAAUAAAUAAUUUAAAAAAAAUUGACAACAAAGUAUGUAGGAUACUUUUUUAUUUUUGUAAAAAUAAAAUAAAAUAAAAUAAAAUAAACGUAUUGUGAAAUGACUUUUUUUUUUUCUUUUGCUUUUGACCCUUCUUCUCUGUCUUCUUCUCCUUUUACUUUUUUUAGUACUUAUAGAAUAUUUUUUUAUAUAUUAUUAUGUACCCAUCGCAGCUUAUUUCAUAUGCAAAAUCUAAUAUCAAUAAAGAAAAAAUUAAUAACUAAACUUACGUUAAAUAAUUUGAUUACAAUUCAUAUGAUUAUAUUGUUAUAAGAUAGUAUAUGUUAAGUCUCUUAAGAACAAAUAAAGUUAAUUAAUUUAAAUAAUUUAAGUUAAGAUUUUCUUUAAAAUUUAAAAUAGUGUACAAAAUAAUUUUUAAGGGCAAAAAUAAUACUACCCUUUUAUUUAUAUUUUUAUGCAUACACUUUCUCGCUCUCCAUACAAAACACUUCCAAAAAAGUCAAGUCUCUUUCCCUUUCUCAUCUCUUCAUACCCAGGCCAACGCAAUCCCUUUUGCUCUCCUGUCUUCGCAAGUAAGUAAAAUCUCAGUUCAUCUCAUCAUCUGACGGUUUGUUUUCAUACUUUGCUUUCCCCAAAUUGCCCUCGCCUUUUCCUCUCUUUUUCAAUUUCAGUUUCUUUUCGAUUAUAGACUCGAUUUUCUUUAUCUCGGUUUGUAAAUUUUAUCAGAUGUAAUGCAUAAUUGAUCGUCGUCGUUGUUUUGUUCAAUAGUUUCGCAAAACAAGCCGAAAUUAAAUUAAAUUAUGUAUCAGCAUCAAUUAAUUAAUUAAUUGAUGCUGUUUAGAUUGUGUGCUUGAUUAUAUAUCAAUAUCAGCAUAUUUUUAUUAAGAUUUUAAAUUUAAUUAAAUAAUCAGGAGUCUGAAUGAUUUUUAUUUUAAAUAUUUUUAUGAAUUUAUUCAUGUUCGGUUGGAUAAUAUUUAAAGUAAUAAUAAAUAUAGGUUUUAAUGGAGUGAAAUUGUAAGGGUAUGGUAACUGAAUUUUGUUUCUUAUUCUUUAAAGAUAAAGACUGAAUUCAAUAUGAAGUGGUUUGAUAUUGUAAAUGCAUUGCAGGUAAAUUGGAACUUUUUAUAUGAUGGGAGGAAGUGCGAUUGAUGAUGAUUGGGAGCUUACUUCUCCAUCUAAUGGGGAGCGCACUGUGGUUUUAGUUGGCCGUACUGGCAAUGGCAAAAGUGCGACGGGCAACAGUAUUCUUGGAAGAAGAGCCUUCAAGUCAAGGGCUAGUUCAUCUGGUGUUACUAGUACCUGUGAAAUGCAGAGAACCGUGCUCAAAGAUGGCCAAGUUGUUAAUGUCAUUGAUACCCCUGGUAGUUUACUGAUGUCAUUGCCUAGAUAUUCCAUUUCCAUGCUUGUUGAUGUUGUGGUGGUAAGUAGAUUGAUGUUAUGAGUAAUUGCAGGACUUUUUGAUUUUUCCGCUGGCUCUGAGUUUGUUGGCAAGGAAAUUGUCAAAUGUAUCGGUAUGGCCAAGGAUGGGAUCCAUGCAGUCCUUGUAGUUUUCUCUGUUAGAAGCCGUUUUUCUCAAGAGGAAGAAGCUGCACUACACAGUUUGCAGACCUUGUUCGGGAAAAAAAUUUUUGACUAUAUGAUUGUUGUUUUCACUGGAGGGGAUGAACUUGAAGAUAAUGAUGAAACGUUAGAAGAUUAUUUGGGUCGUGAGUGUCCAAAGCCUUUAAAGGUUUGUUUCUGAACAGCAAUAGUGUUCGAUAAUUUCCAUUUUGAUCAAGUUGUCUUGGGUUGCUUCUUUUGUGAAGUUUUAGAUUCCUUUACAGAUGGACUAUUGGAAGUUUAAUAUGAAUAUAUGCAUGCUGAAAAUACUAGAUAGGUGUAUAGUAGUCCAGCCGUCUUAAAAUUCCAUUUUCAAUAGUGCUUCAUUUCCUGAAUGGUUUUCUUCUGCCAAGCGGGAUUGGCCGGAGAGGUGAUUGGUUGGUAAUUUUCUGCUGGCGUUACUUAAUUUUAGUUAUAUUUUAAUGUCUUUGAAUGAGAUGUCAUUCAUUCAUUUGCUAAGCAUUUAUGCUUUUCUUAUUUGUAUUCUUUGAUUUCAUCUGUUAUUUAAUCUUUGGUUCUUAUUCUAUUAACGUGUGUUCAUUUGUUUGUUCCUUAAAAUAUGUACCUCUUUGAUUUAUAUGCUUAAAAUUAACCUACUUUUAAGAUUUUAGAAGUGCACCAAGGAGGAUAUGACUUGCCAUACAGGUCCAUUUUAUUAGGCGUUGUUUGAAUAAAAUAUCAAGUCUAACUUUACAAGAUUUAAAAUUCUCUUUAAAAUCCCUGUGGAUACUAGCCCCAUAAUUGGUGUCUAAAAUUUCAAUGUGAGAUCUUUUUUCAGUUUCAACAUGCAAAUCUCUUAUUGUCAGAAUUUACUUGAUGAAUUUGGUCCCUAAAACUUUUCAAGUUCAGGAGUAGGAAGAAAAAUAACAAAAAUGAAAAUAAAGACCCCUUUCAAGUUCAGGAGUAGCUUUGCAAUUAACAAAAUCGGGUUAUUUUACAGUUAAAGGGAACAUUGUUUUACUUAUUGUACUAAUUUUUGUAGUUUGAAGGAAUCAAAUUUUUUUAGUUAUCAUGCUGCAAAAUUAGGUCAAUUAUGUAGAUGCCACAGAAAAUAUGAUCAUGUCUUUUGGCAGUUUUGAGCUUUGGUCACUUGAGUUUGUUUAUGACAAUAGUACAGUCUUUCAUGCUUUUUUCUAAAUGUAAGAAUUUGCCUAGUGAAGAGGCAGCUACUGAUUUGUAGGCACUAAUUUUGAUUGGGUCAAUGCUUUUCACUGGAAUAUAUGCAGAUUAUUAUUAUUAUUUUUUCUGUUAUAUGGAAUGCUGAUCACCUUUUAAGAUCUUUAAAUUUGAUGGACGUAAAAGGUUAUUGUAAGUGGUCAAACCAUAAGGAGAAUGGAAUUAAUUAUUAAAAGUUGAUUAUUGCUUGCCCUUAAAUAGUUUUUGGGGAUGCAUGAUAUUAAGUACCAAUGAUCACAAUAAAAACAAAUUUUGUCAGCUGAAUAUCUUCAAACUUUUAGAGACUACAAGUGUUUGAUUGGUUUAUCAAUGCUUACGAAAGGGGCUAACAUUUGCUUUAUUCCUGAUCAUUUUUCCAUUAUUUUAGGAAAUCCUUCAACUAUGUGAUAAUAGGUGCGUGCUUUUUGAUAACAAGACUAAGGAUGAGGCCAAGAGAACUGAGCAGGUUUGGAAGCUUCUUUCUCUGGUUAACUCUGUGGCCGUGCAGAAUGGUGGGCAGCCAUAUACGGAUGAUAUCUUUGCUGAGUUGAAGGUGACUUCGUUACUAUCGUGAUAGACUUCUGUGCUGCUUCUUUCUGAAUAUGUCAUGACGAUGUCUCUUUUUCUUUUUUCUUUUUUCUUUUUUCUAUUCAGAAAGGGGCUACUAAACUCCGUGAUCAACAAUUUGAGGUUGAUUCUCUCAAGGGAUAUUCAAAACGAGAAAUUUCAGAGCUGAAGGAGCAGAUGCAUAAAUCAUAUGAAGAUCAACUCAAACGAAUUACUGAGAUGGUAUUUUUUAUGCUCCUUGUUUUGGCAUCAAAAUAUGACAUGCAUAUGUGUUCAUUUCUCAGAUCCAAAAAUGCUUAUAAAGUGUGCAGGUACCUGUAAUGAUAUUCUAAAUUGUGAGACUUGGAGGUGAUAAAGACUGCCGCUGUGUCCUUACCCCUAGAUUGUUGGAGAUUGCCAUCUGAAAAGAGGCUUUAUCUUGCUAGUUGAUGGGGACAAAUCUGUUAUUAAGUUAUCUGUUCACUGAUUGUGUUUUGAAGGCUGUAACAUGUUGUUCUUACCUUGAAGAUUGUUUGACUGUCUUGUUCUGUUUUGUUUCUUGAUGAAAUUAAGUAGAUUACUCUAUGGUAGUAGCUAUAGGUGGUUUGCUCAUCAUGACUUGCACUUAGGAGUGGAUUCUGCACUUGUUUAGUCAUCAAUCAUAAGAACAUUUCUUGUAAUACUGUAGAUCCUGUUUUGUUGCUAGGAAUUUUGCACUCCUGAAUCUGUGGGAACAUUUGAAAUGUUAUAAGCAAGUUAUGUUAUAUUCUAAUUUUGUUAAAAACAGAAUAGCCACAUUCAAAAUAAGUUUUUUGGAAAAUAUAGUUAGGUACAUGGAACCUAAUCAAAUAGCUGUGUAGUUUAAAUGUUCCUUUCCACAGUUUUAAUUUAUAGCAAGGCAGUAGAAUGAACUGGCAUUAAGCGAGAUCCUAUGCAACAAUAAUCUGGAUUUGCUGUAGCAGUCUGUGUACUGACUAUGUGUCUGAGGUGCUAAUAAGUUUUAAUCUCCACAUUCCUGGAGUGUGGCAAAAUGAAAAAGUUAGUAUAUUCUUUAAUACCUUAUAUUUUGGGUUUAUCUGUUUAUUUUUUUAAGCUUUUGUUUCUACCAUUUAUCAAUGAUUGAGAGAGUGGAAUUGAUUGAAGUAAGAAAGUUGUGCCGAGUAUGGUGAACUUAGCAACUCCCUUUGCAAUUGGAUUAAACUAAAUUAAUACUUAAGAAUUUUCUUCUCUUAAGUUGGAGNNNNNNNNNNNNNNNNNNNNNNNNNNNNNNNNNNNNNNNNNNNNNNNNNNNNNNNNNNNNNNNNNNNNNNNNNNNNNNNNNNNNNNNNNNNNNNNNNNNNNNNNNNNNNNNNNNNNNNNNNNNNNNNNNNNNNNNNNNNNNNNNNNNNNNNNNNNNNNNNNNNNNNNNNNNNNNNNNNNNNNNNNNNNNNNNNNNNNNNNNNNNNNNNNNNNNNNNNNNNNNNNNNNNNNNNNNNNNNNNNNNNNNNNNNNNNNNNNNNNNNNNNNNNNNNNNNNNNNNNNNNNNNNNNNNNNNNNNNNNNNNNNNNNNNNNNNNNNNNNNNNNNNNNNNNNNNNNNNNNNNNNNNNNNNNNNNNNNNNNNNNNNNNNNNNNNNNNNNNNNNNNNNNNNNNNNNNNNNNNNNNNNNNNNNNNNNNNNNNNNNNNNNNNNNNNNNNNNNNNGACUUCUGUGCUGCUUCUUUCUGAAUAUGUCAUGACAAUAUCUCUUUUUCUUUUUUUUUUCUACUCAGAGAGGGGCUACUGAACUCCGUGAUCAACAAGCUGACGUUGAUUCUCUCAAGGAAUAUUCAAAACAAGAAAUUUCAAAGCUAAUGGGCCAGAUGCAGGAAUCAUAUGAAGAUCAAAUCAAACGAAUUACUGAGAUGGUAUUUUUUAUACUCCUUGUUUUGGCAUCAAAAUAUGACAUGCAUAUGUGUUCAUUUCUCAGAUCCAAAAAUGCUUAUAAAGUGUGCAGGUACCUGUAAUGAUAUUCUAAAUUGUGAGACUUGGAGGUGAUAAAGACUGCCGCUGUGUCCUUACCCCUAGAUUGUUGGAGAUUGCCAUCUGAAAAGAGGCUUUAUCUUGCUAGUUGAUGGGGACAAAUCUGUUAUUAAGUUAUCUGUUCACUGAUUGUGUUUUGAAGGCUGUAACAUGUUGUUCUUACCUUGAAGAUUGUUUGACUGUCUUGUUCUGUUUUGUUUCUUGAUGAAAUUAAGUAGAUUACUCUAUGGUAGUAGCUAUAGGUGGUUUGCUCAUCAUGACUUGCACUUAGGAGUGGAUUCUGCACUUGUUUAGUCAUCAAUCAUAAGAACAUUUCUUGUAAUACUGUAGAUCCUGUUUUGUUGCUAGGAAUUUUGCACUCCUGAAUCUGUGGGAACAUUUGAAAUGUUAUAAGCAAGUUAUGUUAUAUUCUAAUUUUGUUAAAAACAGAAUAGCCACAUUCAAAAUAAGUUUUUUGGAAAAUAUAGUUAGGUACAUGGAACCUAAUCAAAUAGCUGUGUAGUUUAAAUGUUCCUUUCCACAGUUUUAAUUUAUAGCAAGGCAGUAGAAUGAACUGGCAUUAAGCGAGAUCCUAUGCAACAAUAAUCUGGAUUUGCUGUAGCAGUCUGUGUACUGACUAUGUGUCUGAGGUGCUAAUAAGUUUUAAUCUCCACAUUCCUGGAGUGUGGCAAAAUGAAAAAGUUAGUAUAUUCUUUAAUACCUUAUAUUUUGGGUUUAUCUGUUUAUUUUUUUAAGCUUUUGUUUCUACCAUUUAUCAAUGAUUGAGAGAGUGGAAUUGAUUGAAGUAAGAAAGUUGUGCCGAGUAUGGUGAACUUAGCAACUCCCUUUGCAAUUGGAUUAAACUAAAUUAAUACUUAAGAAUUUUCUUCUCUUAAGUUGGAGUUUUAUAUUACCAGUACCCAAUUUUUCUUUGUAUUAUACUGCUACUCUAGGGCUUAAUGGCAUGUUUUCUGACUGAUAUUGAUGCUUUUUUGAUAGGUUGAGUCUAAGCUCAAAGAGACAACAACUAGGCUCGAACAGCAAUUGGCAGAGGAGCAAGCUGCUCGAUUAAAGGCAGAAGAGGUUGCACAAUUAGCUCAAAUGAAGUCGAAUGACGAAAUUCGUAAGCUUAGAGAGAAUCUUGAAAGAGCUCAGAGGGAGACAGAGGAGCUCCGUAAGCAAGCUGAAAAAGGAGGGUGUGCCAUUCUUUGACCUAAUCACCUGCUGGCACUAUAUACCAUUGGCAUGAAAAUCACCUAAAGUAUAUUUUUGCUGUCUCCCCUACCUUUUCAGAUAAUAUUUGAAGUUAAUACUGCAUUUAUUCUCAGUGUUUUACUACAGUCAAGAAGCUUGUAUCCUCUAUUAUGUAAAUGUUCCCAGUCCAAUCUCGAGUGCGGUCUUAAGAUAGUAUUAUAUGGAAAAAUUGAAUUGACAUCAAAUGAAGUUUCUUUUAUGGAGCCGUUUAGAAUCUUUUCUUACACGGUGAAUCCAAAGAGAUCUGAUUCCUUUUUCUCCUCACGCUAUCUUGUUUCCACAUUUGUAACAGAUACAACCCAAAAUACGCCCUUUUAACAAUCAAUGACUUUCCCAAAAACUCCAAGUCACUUGAGUUUACUUGUACCUUAACUUUUUUGUUUUCACUCUUCUAAUGUGAUAUUAGUUUGUAUAAAUAGUUUGUUUGUAUAGAAUUUACUCCUUUCAUACAACAGAGUAAUCCUAAUAUCCAAGAGACUUGCAAUAAAACCACCAAGCCUAUGACCCUUCUUUGAUUCACGCCAAACUUCAACCAGCUCAUAGCCUAGAUUUAUCAAGUAUAAUAUUUAUUUAUGCAUAUCUGACACAAUCUUUAUUUACCUUAUACAUAAUGCAAAUCCUUCGACAUCAUACAGCAUCAGUUUUAUAGAUAUUAAGUUUCAGCAUAAUAACUGGUCUCCCAAGGAGAAGAAGCCAAUGAUAAGUCAGCCUAAGUGAUUAGGUUACACAUAAACUAAUCCAGUUUCAUAUAUUGCUGGUUUCAAAAAUAGGUAUCAAGUAGCACACACAUUCAGUAGAUAAUGUAGUCUGAUCGUAGAUCUCGCACUGAGAUGCCACAAGCAUGAUAUCCAGCAUCUAGCUUACCUGCAAAUGGGAGAAAACAUUGAUGCACGCGCAACACGAGUGUGUAGAAAUGAAAUGUGAUGGGAGAAUUAAUUACCCGAGAUGGAGUAUCUUCUUGUCCGGGUGAGAGUAAGCAGUGUCACCACCCUCGAUGAUAGCAGGACUAAGGAAAUUCUGAUAAGCUAAUGCAUGGAUUGCAUUCAGCUCUUGCCCAGUCACCGUGUUUGCUUGCUGAAACCUCUCCAUUUCUGCUAUCUGAGUUUCAGAAACAAUGAAAUUUUAAUAACAUGCUGAAAUUUUGGAAGAGGGAGAGAAAAAAUGCAUUAUACAUACAACGGACUGAUUUGCAUACCUUUGAUCGGAGACACACGCUUUCAUUUUCCAGCUCAAUCUCCUAUGAAAAUGAAAAUGUUAAAGAGUUCCAUAAAAGCUUUGAAGAAAACGAAAAAAAGGCUAACCAGGAUUUAAUGAAUUUUAAUUAUUACCCUUUCUGCAAGAACUCAAUUUCAGCUAGAGGCAUUUCAUGCUGUUGCAAAAAACAGGAAACGCACAAAGCAACAAAUUAUUUUCAAAAUGACAUAAAUUACAUAUAUUGAAUGUAUAUAAAUAAAGUUUAUGCAAUGUAUUGUUGCAAAACAAUGGUGUAUUGCUCAAAUUCAAUUAUUUUUGUAUGCAUAGGACCUGAUCCUAGUGAUGCCUCGCUCAAGCCUGUUCUCCAGUUGCUUAAGCUCCUUUACAGUUAAAGAACUCAGAGAAUCACCCAUCAAAUGCCUAUAUGAAGAGUCAAGAGUGAGAUAACCAAUUGAAAAUUUAUUGAAAUUGUAUAUUUUGGAAUAAUUAAUUAACUACACUUAAUAUGAAAAUAAUUGUUGAUGAAAUAAUUGAAAAUACAUGUUAGAAUUCAGUGACAUUUGAAUUUGCUGCCGCAGCUUUGCUGACUCCUGCUGAUGGUACUGUUUCCAUGGGUCACAUGUAACGGGAGAAGUUAAAUUUUUAUUGGGAACUUUAUAUUUCAAUGCUAGCUAUGUGGUAAUAAAUGAUAAUUAGUUGGUUUUUUUUUUCACCUUUUCAUAAUAAUAUAUAUUCCUAGCAAAGCCUGAAUUUAUAGCUUAAAUUAAUGAAUUACUUACCUGAGCAUUGAUCUCAGUAACAGUGCCAGAAUUUAUUUAUUUUAUAGCUUAAAUUACAUACAUUUACACACGCGCGCGCGCGCGCGCACACACACACACGCUAGGAACAGCAGGUUAUAUUCAUCAAAUUCAUCUAAAAAUAACUAACUAACCAGAUAGCUCAGCUUUUUUUUUUUCCAACUGAAUUUCUGAACUUGGUAGAUUCUCUGCAGGUUUAGCAAUAACCUUCAGGAACUCCAGAUAAUCCGAGUCUUUAUUGUCCACAUCAAAACCAAAUACAGCUGAUUGCUACAGUACUUCUAAAAACAAUAAGAAGAUAAAGAAAAUAAAGGUAACUUUGAAAUUUAGUAGCUUAAGUGUACCGUAAAAGUCAUAGCAUUUCAACCUCAAAAGUACCCUAAGUUUUUUUUUUAAUAAAAAAAUUACCUUUAAAAAUGGUGCCUUCACGGCUAUCAUUUCUAGAACAAGGCUUGGGAACACGUUGAGAUGGAGCAUAUUCAACAACAGCCUUAAACUGAGCACCUAAUCGAGAAACCAAUAACACAUAUAAUCAACCAAACAGAAAGUGCCCUUUUGAUUUAAAACAACAUAAACUCAUUCUUACCAAAUUACGAUUGAUAAGUAAAAGCAAAAGUGUAAGUAAAAUUACCCUUUUCAUUAACAAACAGAUGUAUAUUCAACAACUCCGCAAACUCAAACACAUCCGCAUGCUUCUUCAAUUCUUCAUAUGCUUGUGAAUGCCUCUGAUGCUUGUAAUUGUUAAAAAACUAAAAUCCAAGUUAAAGUAAAAUUUCAAAAAAAAAAAGCCCAAAAAUCAAUCAAUUAUAAAAAAUAAAAAAAUAAAAAAAACCUAAAUUUUCUGGGGCAAAAGUAGAAUCAAUUGUAACGGUCAUUGAAGUGAUCGUGGAAAAGGGCUAACACGUCAUUUUGAGAGAGGGAAAGAGGCAAAUGACGAAUCAAUACUUUGGUUCUCUGCAAUGGCUCCUUCAUUUCAUCGCAUUCAAUUUGUUCCAUUUGUAUUGAAAUCGAAAAUCAAAAAAGAGUUUUGAUUAUUUUGUACCCUAAUUUUUUAUUUGGGUUGAGAAUGAAAUUGGAAUGUUGUUUAUUGGAAAGUUUUAGAUGCACGUAACUGUUGUGUUUUCCUCUAGAGGGGCCUCUGAGCACUCACAAACGGGAGAUUUACCCUUGGGAAACGUCGUCGUGUGGGCGUUCCCUAUGCGGGUAACACGUGUCAAUAAGUUAACGAGAUUCAUAUUUCCUUUCCCGGGGCAACAUCAAUUGAUAUUCCCUCCUUCCCUUCGUAUUACUUUUGGGGAGUCUAGGAAUGUUGUGGAGGCCGUACAGCAGAUAGUCCUCUAUUCAAAUCAAUAUAUACUAAUUAUUUUAGUAUUUUUUAAAAUAUUUAAUAAUUUUUUAAUAAUAUAGUUUUAUAUUAUUUUUAAAUAAAUUUUUAUUUCAUAUUUAUUAUAAAUUAAAUGAAUAAUACAAAUACAAAUAAAAAUAAAAUUUAAUUAUAAAAUAUUUUCUUGUACUUUUUGUUACUUUAAAAUAUUUUUCUUAUAAUGAAUGCAUAUAUUAUAGCUCCAAGAUAAGUUAUUAAGAAAAUUACUCAUUUGCCCUUUUUGUUUUAAUUUUUUUGGGGACGAAAGAGUUUUUAGAUAUUAUAAAAUCAGUAAGAAAUAAGUGAUAUAUAUUAGUUCCAAUAGAAAAAAAAAUUAACAACCUCCUUAAUAAUAAAAGUGACAAAAUAAUGAAAGGCAAAAGAAAGAAAUUGCAUGUUCAUUCAUCUUUUAGAUUCUUUUCUUCUCAACUUUGUAUUUAAACCCUUUUAAAUUCUUUUCUUCUCAACUUUCUAUUUAAUUUUUUUUACAUUCUUUACUUCUCAACUUUCUAUUUAAACUCUUUCAAAUUCUUUUCUUCAAACUCUUUUAGAUUCUUUACUUCUUAACUUUCUGUUUAAACUCUCUUACAUCCUUUACUUCUCAACUUUCUAUUUAAACUUUCUAUUACAUUCAUUAUUCAAUUUAUAAUUUUCAUACCUUAAAUCCUAAAAUUUAAGUCAAGUUUCUUCCCCUUUCUCAUCUCUUCGUACGCAACACAAUCUUUUUAGGUCUCCUCUCUUCGCAAGUAAGUAAAAUCUCAGUUCAUCGCAUCAUCUCACUGUUUGUUUUCAUACUUUGCUUUCUCCAAAUUGCCCUCGCCUUUUCCUCUCAAUCUCAAUUUUUAGUUUUUUUCUUUUGAUUAUAGACUAGAUUUUCUUUACUUUGGUUUGUAAAUUUUAUUGGAUGUACUGCAUAAUCAUGGGUGACCCAAUUAAGGCCCAUGAGGGGUUUUAGCCCCUUCUGAACCAUUAAUUUUUCUUUUAAAUGUACCCCAAGCCUUUUUUCAAAGAAUUAAAUAUUUUGCGAAACUACUUAGAAAAAUGAUACUUUCAUGCCUUUGAAAUAAAUAAUUUGUUACUAUUGUUAUUUAGAAUUUAAAAGAAAGUAAUGAAAUUUGAGUUUAUGAGACUUAAAAUGUAUGGUGUGAACAUUAAAAAAAAACCCAAAUUAAAUAAUUUUUUUUGAAUUAAGUCCCCUUAAUUGAAGUGUUUGGGUCCGCCACUGUGCAUAAUUCAUCAUCGUCAUUUUUUUUCAAUAAUUUCAUAAAACAAGCAGAAUUAAAUUAAAUUAUAUAUCAGCAUGAUUAAUUAAUUAACUGAUGCUGUUUAGAUUCUGAGCUUGAUUAUAUAUCAAUCCAUCAUAUUUUUAUUAAGAUUAUAAAUUUAACUAUAUCGUCGGGGUCCGAAUAAUUUUUAUUUUAAAUAUUUUUUUAAUGAAUUUAUUUAUGUUCGGUUGGAUAAUAUUUAAAGUAAUAACAAAUAUAAGUUUUAAUAGAGUGAAAUUGUAAGGGUAUGGUAACUAAAUUUUCUUUCUUAUUGUUUAACGAUAAAAAGUGAAUUCAAUGUGACGUGGUUUGAUACUGUAAAUGCAUUGCAGGUAAAUUGAAAUUUUUUUUAGGAUGGGAGAAAGAGUGAUUGAUGGCGAUUGGAAGCCUACUUCUCCAUCUAUUGGGGAGCGUACUGUAGUUUUACUUGGCCGUACUGGCAAUGGCAAAAGUGCGACGGGCAAUAGUAUUCUCGGAAGAAAAGCCUUCAAGGCGAGUGCUGGCUCGUCUGGUGUUACUAUAACUUGUGAAAUGAAGACAACCGUGCUCAAAGAUGGCCAAGUUGUUAAUGUCAUUGAUACCCCCGGUAAUUUACUAAUGUUGGUGCCUAGAUAUUCCAUUCCAUGCUUGUUGAUGUUGUGGUGGCAAGGAGAUUGAUGUUAUGAGCCAUUGCAGGGCUUUUUGAUUCUUCCGCUGGCUCUGAGUUUGUCGGCAAGGAAAUUGUCAAAUGUAUUGGUUUGGCCAAGGGUGGGAUCCAUGCAGUCCUUGUAGUUUUCUCUGCUCGAAACCGUUUUUCUCAAGAGGAAGAAGCUGCAGUACACCGUUUGCCGACCUUGUUCGGGAAAAAAAUUUUUGACUAUAUGAUUGCUGUUUUCACUGGAGGGGAUUAUCUUGAAGAUAAUGAGAAAACAUUAGAAGAUUAUUUGGGUCAUGAGUGUCCAAAGCCUUUAAAGGUUUGUUUCUGAACUGCAACAGUGUUCGAUAAUUUCAUUAGUCAUUUUGAUCAAGUUGUCUUUGGUUGGUUCUUUUGUGAAGUUUUAGACUCCUUUACGGUUGGACCAUUGGAAGUUUACUAUGAAUAUAUGCAUGCUGAAAAUACUAGAUAGGUGUAUAGUAGUCCAGCCGUCUUAAAAUUCCAUUUUCAAUAGGGCUUCAUUUCCUGAAUGGUUUUCUUCUGCCAUGCGGGAUAUGCCGGAGAGGUGAUUGGUUGGUAAUUUUCUGCUGGCAUUACUUAAUUUUAGUUAUAUUUUAAUGUCUUUGAAUGAGAUGUCAUUCAUUCAUUUGCUAAGCAUUUAUGCUUUUCUUAUUUGUAUUCUUUGAUUUCCUCUGCUAUUUAAUCUUGGUUCUUAUUCUAUUAACGUGUGUUCAUUCGUUUGUUUCUUAAAAUAUGUACCUCUUUGAUUUAUACGUGAGCUCCAUUUUAUUCGGCGUUGUUUGAAUAAAAUAUCAAGACUAACUUUACAAUAUUUAAAAUUCUCUUAAAAAUUCCUGUGGAUUCUAGCCUCAGAAUUGUUGUCUAAAAUUUCAAUGUGAGAUGUUUUUUCAGUUUCAACAUGCAAAUCUCUUAUUUUCAGAAUGUACUUGAUGAAUUUGGUUUCUAAAAUUUUUUAACUUGAGAAAGAUUUAUAUCAAGUUCUUCUAUUUUACUGCAUACUUGAUUUAACCUAUGAGGAGUGGGAAGAAAAAUAACAAAAAAGAAAAUAAAGACCCUUCAAGUUGUAGCUCUGCAAUUAACAAAAUCGGGUUAUUUUAAGGGAACUUUGUUUUACUUGUUGUACCAAUUUUUGUAGUUUGAAGGUAUCAAUUGUAGAUGCCACAAUUAGGUCAAUUAUGUAGAUGCCACAGAAAAUGUGAUCUUGCCUUUUGGCAGUUUUGAGCUUUGAUCACAAUAAUACAGUCUUUCAUGCUUUGUUCUAUAACGUAAGAAUUUGCCGAGUGAAGAGGCAGCUACUGCUUUGUAGCCACUAAUUUUGAUUGAGUCAAUGCUUUUCACGGGAAUAUAUGCAGAUUAUUAUUAUUAUUAUUAUUAUUAUUAUUAUUAUUAUUAUUAUUAUUAUUAUUAUUAUUAUUAUUAUUAUUAUUAUUAUUAUUAUUAUUAUUAUUAUUAUUAUUAUUAUUAUUAUUAUUAUUAUUAUUAUUAUUAUUAUUAUUAUUAUUAUUAUUAUUAUAUGGAAUGCUGAUCACCUUUUAAGGUCUUUAAAUUUGAUGGACGUAAGAGGUUAUGUAAGUGGUCAAACCAUAAGGAGAAUGGAAUUGAUUAUUAAAUAGUUUCUGAGGAGGCCUGAUAUUAAGUGCUUACGAUCACAAUAAAAACAAAUUUUGUCAGCUUAAUAUCCUCAAACUUUUAGAGACUACAAGUGUUUGAUUGGUUCAUCAAUGCUUACGAAAUGAGCUAACAUUUGCUUUAUUCCUGAUCAUUUUUCCAUUAUUUUAGGAAAUCCUUCAACUAUGUGAUAAUAGGUGCGUGCUUUUUGAUAACAAGACCAAGGAUGAGGCCAAGAGAACUGAGCAGGUUGAGAAGCUUCUUUCUCUGGUUAACUCUGUGAUCGAGCAUAAUGGUGGGCAGCCAUAUACGGACGAGCUCCUUGCUGAGUUGAAGGUGACUUCGUUACUGUCGCGAUUGACUUCUGUGCUGCUUCUUUCUGAAUAUGUCAUGACAAUAUCUCUUUUUCUUUUUUUUUUCUACUCAGAGAGGGGCUACUGAACUCCGUGAUCAACAAGCUGACGUUGAUUCUCUCAAGGAAUAUUCAAAACAAGAAAUUUCAAAGCUAAUGGGCCAGAUGCAGGAAUCAUAUGAAGAUCAAAUCAAACGAAUUACUGAGAUGGUAUUUUUUAUACUCCUUGUUUUGGCAUCAAAAUAUGACAUGCAUAUGUGUUCAUCUCUCAGAUCGGGUAAUCAUUUCUAAAACUGUGUAAUUAAAAAAAUGCCUACAAAGCGUGCAGGUACCUGUAAUGAUAUUCUAAAUUGUUAGAUUUGGAGGUGAUAAAGACUGCCGCUCUGUCCUUACCCCUAGAUUGCUGGAGAUUGCCAUCUGAAAAGAGGCUUUAUCUUGCUAGUUGAUGUGGACCUAUCUGUUAUUAUCUGUUCACUGAUUGCGUUUUGAAGGCUGUAACAUGCUGUUCUUAACUUGAACAUUGUUUGACCGUCCUGCUCUGUUUUGUUUGUUGAUGAAAUUAAGUGGGUUAUUCUAUGGUAGUAGCUAUAGGUGGUUUACUUAUCAUGACUUGCACUUAGGAAUGGAUUCUGCACUUGUUUAGUCAUCAAUCAUGAGAAUAUUUCUUGUAAAACUGUGGAUACUGUUUUCUUGCCUGAAUCUGUGGGAACAAUUGAGAUUAUGACAUAUUCUAAUUUCGUUAAAAACAAAAUAGCCACAUUCAAAAUAAGUUUUCAUGAAAAUAUAGUUAGGCACGUGGAACCUAAUGAAAUGGCUGCAUAGUUUUGAUUUUCCUUUCCACAGUUUUAAUUUAUAGCAAGGCAAUACAAUGAUUCGGAAUUAAGCCAGAUCCUAUUCAACAAGAAUCUGAAUUUGCUGGAACAUUCUGUGUAAUGACUAUAUGUCUGAGGUGCUAAUAAGUUUUAGUCUUCACAUUCCUGGAGUAUGGAAAAAUUAAAAAGUUAGUAGAUUCUUUAAUACUUUAUAUUUUGAAUUUAUGUGUUGAUUUUUUAAAGCUUUUGUUUCUACCAUUUAUCAAUGAUUGAGAGUCUGGAAUUGAUUGAAGUAAGAAUGUUUCGCCGAGUAUGGUGAACUUAGCAACUCCCUUUGCAAUUGGAUUAAACUAAAUUAAUACUCAAGAAUUUGCUUCUCUUAAGUUGGAGUUUUAUAAUACCAAUAACCAUUUUUUUUUUUUGUAUCAUGCUGCUACUCUAGGGCUUAGUAGCAUGUUUUCUGACUGAUAUUGAUGCUUUUUUGAUAGGUUGAGUCUGAGCUCAAAGAGACAACAACUAGGCUCGAACAGCAAUUGGCAGAGGAGCAAGCAGCUCGGUUAAGGGCAGAAGAGGUUGCACAAUUAGCUCAAAUGAAGUCGAUGAAAUUCAAGCUGGGAGUGCUGAGAAGGAGACUGCGGAGCGCCCUAAGAAACCUUAUAAUGGGGAUUGUGCCAGUUUUUGACCUAGUCACCUGCAGGCACAAUGUGCCAUCGGCGUGAAAAUCACCUAAAGUAUAUUUUCUUAUUGUGCCAUUCUUUGACCUAGUCACCUGCAGGCACAAUGGAAAAACCGUAUUGACAUCAAAUGAAGUUUCUUUUAUGGAGCCAUCUAGAAUCUUUUCUUACAUGGUGGAUUCAAAGAGAUCUGAUUCCUUUUCUCCUCAUUGAGCUCUUAACGAACGCUGUAUUGUGUCCACAUUUGUAGCAGAUACAACCCAAAAUGUGCCCUUCUAAUAAUCAUGACUUUCCCAAAAAUUCAAACAGACUAACAGAGCAAACCUAACAUCCAAGAGACUUGCAAUAAAACCACCAAGCCUAUGACCCUUCUUUGAUUCACACCAUACUUCAACUAGCUCAUGGUCUAGGUUUAUCAAGUACAAUAUUUAUUAUGAAUGUAUGACACAAUAUUUAUUUACCUUGUACAUAAUGCAAACCCAUCGACAUCAUACAGCAUCAGUUAAAUAGAUAUUAAGUUUCAGCUUGAUAACUGGUCUCCCGAGAAGAAGAUGCCAAUGAUAAGUCAGAGUAAGUAAUUAGGUUACACAUAAACUUAUCCGGUUUCAUAUAUUGCAGGUUUCAAAAAUAGGAGUCCAGUAGCACACACAUUCAGUAGAUAAUGAUAGGCUGAUCGUAGAUCUCGCAGUACGAGAUGCCACAAGCUUGAUCGCCAGCAUCUAGCUUACCUGCAAACGGGAGAAAACAUUGAUGCAUGCGCAACACGGUUUCGCAGAAAUGAAAUGUGAUGGGAGAAUUACUUACGCGAGAUGGAGUAUCUUAUUGUCUGGGUGAGAGUAGGCAGUGCCGCCACCCUCGAUGAUAUCAGGACUGAAGAAAUUCCGAGAAGCUAAUGCAUGGAUUGCAUUCAGCUCUUGCCCAGUCACCGUGUUUGCUUGCUGAAACCUCUCCAUUUCUGCUAUCUGAGUUUCAGAAACAAUGAAAUUUGAAUAACGUGCUGAAAUUUUGGAAGAGGGAGAGAAAAAAUGCAUUAUACAUACAACGGACUGAUUUGCAUACCUUUGAUCGGAGACACACGCUUUCAUUUUCCAGCUCAAUCUCCUAUGAAAAUGAAAAUGUUAAAGAGUUCCAUAAAAGCUUUGAAGAAAACGAAAAAAAGGCUAACCAGGAUUUAAUGAAUUUUAAUUAUUACCCUUUCUGCAAGAACUCAAUUUCAGCUAGAGGCAUUUCAUGCUGUUGCACAAAACAGGAAACGCACAAAGCAACAAAUUAUUUUCAAAAUGACAUAAAUUACAUAUAUUGAAUGUAUAUAAAUAAAGUUUAUGCAACGUAUUGUUGCAAAACAAUGGUGUAUUGCUCAAAUUCAAUUAUUUUUGUAUGCAUAAUGAAAUUAAUUAAUUACCUUCUUGGACCUGAUCCUCGUGAUGCCUCACUCAAGCCUGUUCUCCAGUUGCUUAAGCUCCUUUACACUUAAAGAACUCAAAGAAUCACGCAUCAAAUGCCAAUAUGAAGAGUCAAGAGUGAGAUAACCAAUUGAAAGUUCAAUUGAAAUUGUAUAUUUUGGCAUAAUUAAUUGACUAUGCUUAAUAUGAAAAUGAUUGUUGAUGAAAUAAUUGUAAAUACCAGUUAGAAUUCUGUAACAUUUGAAUUUGCUACCGCAGCUUCACUGAUUCCUGCUGAUAGUACCGUUUUCAUGGGUCAAAUAUAAUGGGAAAAGUUAAUUUUUUAUUAGGAACUUUAUAUUUCAAUGCUAGCUAUGUGGUAACAAAUGGUAACACUACUAGAAAAAUGGUCUUUACUGACUUUAGAAUAGUGUCAGAAAUUACUUUCACUGACACUUGUUAAUUAUGUCAGUAAUCUGGGAGUUAGAAAAAUAGUAACACUUGUAAGUGGUGUCAGUGAUUACUAUUACUACAGUAUCACCGAUAUUAUGACACCAUAAUGUUAGUAGUUAUUGAUAUUUUAUUAGUGUCUAUGAUUACUGUUACCAUGGUAUCACUAGUUAAUUUAUUUUUUAAAAAAUAAAAAAUUAAAUUGGAUCAUUGCCUAUUGAUUUAUUUGUAAAAUUAAAAGCACCACAAAAUAACAAAAAUAAAUUGAUUUAUAUCACAAAAUCUUUCAUUUCACAUUUAAAUAUUAUUAGUAUAUAUUACAAAUUGAACUUCAAUAGCCAAAAUAUGACAUAUCCUACUCUCAUAACUAAAUAAUCCAAAUUCAAUACAUAAAAAUUUUUAACAUCCAAUCAAAUGCGUACUACUUGUGGCUAAAUUUAAUAAAUCUAGAAGUUAAAUUGAGAAUGAUGACUAUCUUUCACACUUUGAAUAUGAGUAGUAUAAUUGCGUUAUCACACCAGCAGCUUCUCCAUUCAAUAGACUGAAUGGGUUAUGAUACAAGUGAAGUUGAGGAAUAAACACUUCAAACACAUUGAGCAAAUCUGCAUACAUCGAAAAGGGAGAAAAAAUUAGCUGCCAAUUCCCAACCAUUAGAGAAACAAUGGUUAGUAUAAAUAAAUCUAUUUUGUUCUAAAGAAAAAAUAUUCAUACACUAUUUAUAAGUAAACUCAAUUAUUUCAAAGAAAAAUUAGUGAACAAGGAAGUUGUAGUUUAUUUCCUUAAAAAUACCAAAGAAAUACAGUUUAUUCAACUACAGAUAUAAAUAAGAAAAAAGGGAGUCAAUGAUUAUUCUCUUUUGGUAAGGUUAUUUAUAAUAAGUUAAUGACUCUAAAUAGAGUAAGAACGAUAACUAGGUAAAAAUACAAUUACUUGUUGAAAAUUAGUCACUAGAUUCCCAGUAACUACAUCAUAAUGUUGAGCAAUUAAUUACUAAGGCAUCAGCCAAGUAGUUAGUGUAGGGGGACUGACUUCAUUCAUUCCCUUAAAGAAAUCCAAUAACCUUGCUACCUCCUUAUUUAUAUGCAUACUUCCAAUGUUUAAUUAUUUUGCUAUAGAGAAAGAAAGUUAAUAGAAAUGACAAACUGAUAGCGUUUCUGCAAUUUUCAGAUAAUCACACAGAGCAUUUCUUUUAUAAAUUAACCGUCUACUUGAUCGUAGCAGAGAAAAAAACACAAUAAAAGCUAAAUCUUUACCUUCUUGUUUCUUCCAAGUAGCCAAAGAAACAUAGAAGCUCUUCUCCAAGUCACUUAUUUAAACCUAAAAGAACAAUUAAAACAAAAAAAAAUCAAGAUCUAAUGACAAUAAGAGAGACCCGAAAUCAUAAAAUAAGAAAAGAAACAAGAAGUUAGGAUUUUGAAGGCAAAUGGUGAACCUGUGCCACCGGUUUGACAGGAUCAUGGCUGAGCACUUUUUGACAAUAUAUGUAUAUUUUUUUGGUAGGCAGCUAGUGCUAACCGCCUACUCAACAUUUAUAAUUCAGAGCAAGUUAUUCCAUCCUAGGCAACCACAGAAGCUCCAUCACAAAUAUUCCCCAAGUCUUUCAAGGAUCCAGAAACUAAAAUUACUUUUGGAACUCAAGAAGAGUGUGAAAAUAAUCGAAAUAAAAAGCUCUCAAGUGUGGAAAACUAGCAGAGAAACCAAGUUGCUUAAACUCUUGUUCAGUCCUGUGUUUACCUUUGGCCUUGUAGAUGGUCAUAACAAAAUGUCCCCUUCUAAGAGAGCACGAGUCCUCUGACUUUCGUUUGAAUCAUCAGGCAGCACAGGCUCGCAAGCAAUCAGUUUUCCUCCUGCCGGAAGAGCCUUGUAACAGUUCUCCAUUAUCAGCUUGCAUUCAUCAUCAGUCCAUGGAGUUAAAACCCACUGAAAAGAAAAGAGGCAAAUCAACCAAUUUUUUUUUUUUUUUUGCGUAUGUUAACAUUAGAAGCAUAAAAUCAAAAGAAAAGUAUAAAAGUAUGAAAGUAUAGUCUGUCAAGAAUGAUUUAUUUUGACAUUGGAAAAACAAAAUGAUAUUUAUCAGGAGGUGAAACAACUUAUAAAAAUACUCUAGCAUAUAACUUGAAACUUCACUAUGAUAGUUAUCAAUUUGAUUAGUUUCUCAAUUUGCAUUUUGUUCUUCCAGAUAAUGGUCAAAGGGUAGUGGAUUAACACGGAGACAACUAUUAACCAUGAUCUCCAUUUACAUGGUUAACACUAUUCAAAAUACACAACUAAGGGACAAGAUAUAUAUAACCUGCAAUUUAAUCCUCACCUAAUGGCUAAUAUUUUCUCAUCAGUAUAAUAGACUGAAAUGAAACCUAUCAUGUGUUCAACUAAUUUAAUUUGCAUCAAUCAAAACAACUUCUUUUUCUCCAGCUUUCUGUCUCCCCCGACACAUUCUAAAGUAAAUGAAGGCAGUAAAUAGGUGUUGUGGCAAAUAAUCCCAAACCUUCCAAAGUAAUGACCAUUGUUAGAUGACCAGCUCUGACAAUCGACGAUAUAUAGUAUAUUCCACAAGAAACUACUAGUUGUUAAGGAGAAAUUUUUAACUCAAACAGAGUUGUACAGCUAUGUGACUAGUGAGAGAGAGAAAGAAAGAAAGAAAGAAAGAGAAAUAAGCCAAACAUAUAAACAAGAAAUUUCAUAAUAGCUAAAAUCAUUUGCAGCAUGUAGGAUACAUAAUAGCUCAUAGCCUUCACUCUUACCUAAUCAAGGCCAACACCAUGAAUCUCCAUCAUUAUGAAAACAUAAAUCUCUAAUUUCACAUAGUCAAAGAAAAGAAAUAAAAUGUGAACUCAAAAGAACUCACCAGUGAUACUAUCUAGAAUAGUUAUAAACAUAUUACAAUAUAUCAACUGGAAAAAUAUUUUUCUGUAUAAAAAGCAUCUUCUAUAUAGCAAGGACAAUGCGUAUAUAAAAUGAUCCAACAAAUUGCACAAAAGUAUAGAAGUUUGGAAGAGUCCUUAUCAGGAUACAAGAAUCAGCAAUUACAUACCUCGAGCCCCUCAUCUUGCUCCCAAGCAAGGCCGGGACCAUUAUACAUAUUCUUGAUGAGCAGAGUUCACAAUUUAUCAGGGUAAAAAUGAACUCUGCUGCAUCUCUGACCAAACCGACAAGCUCCAGUCUUCAAAUGGAAAGGACAAUGAGCUUUAUCCUGCCAUAUAUAAUAAAAACAUGAUUGACCAUGAUAAACAUGCAAAUAUAAUAGAAAUGAAAUAUAAUACAGUAAUUGCAAAUUGAAAAUUUCAGAUAGAUAGAUUGAAAGAAAAGGCAUGCCUGUUCAGUUCCAAAAUUGGGCACUUGUUGAGCAACAGUCUCCAACGCCUGUUGUGCAUUCUGGUGAUCAGAAAAGGCUUCUGAUUGUCUGGGCAGAGGAUUUGAUGUAGGCUUAUCAACAUCUGUAAAGGAAGUAAUAACGUAGAAAGUUUAAUUUUUUCCAUAACCGAAGAGAAUGGGCAUCUUGAAGUAAAGUAGAAACAAGCCUAACAUAGCUGUCAAUAGAGUCAAAAUUACCUCUUUUUUACUUAGUGGGUUCGCAUCAUUCUUCGGAACUCUGACCUUUUUCUUCCUGAUAAUAAUCUCAUUUCCUUGCCAUAUAAUUUCUGCAGGCCCUUCUUCAACAUAUUCCCAAUCAUCAUCCUCAUCACAUUCAUUCUCCUUUCGCCUCUAAAUUCGCGAUGCUUCGAGAACACGCCAUAGUUGCUGAGCAAGCGGAGGAUACGUUGCAAGUUCUCGGCGUCCCCAUCGCCGGAUGGGAGGAUACGUGUCAAGAUCUGGGAGGCGGAGAGAGGGGUGUUGGCCCCACCUUGCCAGAUAGCAUCCGGUAUGUGGAGACGGAUGGCAGCGGUUAGAGACAUGGGAACACUUAUCAUGUUGGCCAGAUCCAUUAUGGCCAGUCUUACCUUCUUCCCGCCAUCUCUGCACUCGUUAUCUUCUAUUACUGCUUACUGACCUUUGAUUUCGCAGCACCAUGCCGGCCAAACAAAAAGAUAAGACCUGAGCACUUUUUGACAAUUUGGAUGUUAGGGAUUUUUCAGAUCUGGGGAGCUUAGGAGGGAAUGAAUACUUUGGUAGAGGGAGUUGAAAAGUUGUAUUUUGGAUAAGACAAGACUUGUCCAUUUGUUUUGUUUUUAUCCACUAAAAAAGCACAACUCUAAAAAAAAUUAAAAAUAAUUCGUAGCCUAGUGGCCUUUUGAUUCAAUGUAGAAGCUCUAGGUUUAAGAGGUCUUGGGUUCGAAUUCAGACUAAAACAAAAUUAAAAUGAUAAUUUUUAAUUGCUGAUACAUAAACGUCAGUGACCGCUAUUAUUAAAGCUAUUGAUACUUCAGUAUUAGUAAUUAGUGAUACAUAUUUGUUAAAUGCGGAAAAUGAUCCAAAUAUAUGUAUAUACUGACACUUUUAAAUAAAGUGUCAGACCACAAGUAUCGGUAAAGACUAUUUUUCUAAUAGUGUAAUUAGUUGGUUUUUUCUUUUUUUUUUCUUUUUUUUCACCUUUUCAUAAUAAUAUAUGUUCCUAGCAAAGCCUGAAUUUAUAGUUUAAAUUAAUGAAUUACUUACCUGAGCAUUGAUCUCAGUAACAGUGCCAGAAUUUAUUAAUUUUGUAGCUUAAAUUGCAUACAUUUAUGCACACACACACUAAGAACAACAUGUUAUAUUCAUCAAUUCAUCUCAAAAUAACUAACUAACCAGAUAGCUCAGCUUCUUUUCUUUCCAACUGAAUUUCUGCACUUGGUAGAUUCUCAGCAAGUUUAGCAAUAACCUUUAGGAACUCCAAAUAAUCCGGGUCUUUAUUAUCCACAUCAAAACCAAAUAUGACUUAUUAUUGCAAUACUUUUUUUUUUAACUGAUUAAGCAUCAGGUUACUGUAUUACACAGAGAUAUAUACAACUGCUAUGACUGCAGGUCAUUACACUGAUAUUUACAAUCAGAUAUAUAUAUAUGGGACUUACAUUAUUACAUUUUUAGUCUAUGAAGCACAUGCCCAACCAAAUACCCCUUACGGAGGAGGGAUGUCUCUACUCCACUCGCAUUUCGCAAGGGAGAAAGACAUUAUAAGUAGUCUCCACACAAUUAUAUUUAAUUGAAGGAGGUUGAGUCUGUAGGGACUCGAACCAUUGCCCUCAUAGUCAUGUUUAACUUUGAGGGCAAUGGUUCACCACUGGGCUACAAGCCCAAGUGGCAUUACUGCAGUACUUCUAAAAAUAAUAAGAAGAUAAAGAAAACAAAGGUAUUCUUGUAAUUGCUGUGCUUUUACUUAACUUUGAUAUUUAGCAGCUUAAGUGUACAGUAAAAGCCACAGUACUUCAACCCCAAAAGUGCCCUAAGUUUUUUUUUUUAAAUAAAAAGAAUCACUAUAACAUAUGCACUUUAAUUUUCCUAAUUAAGUGUAUUAUUUAAUUUUUUCCCUUCGAUAUUAAUUUUAAAUUUGUCAUGACAUAAAAUUGAGACAAUUCAAACACGAUUCAAUGGCCGUGUAGUUGGAUUUUAUUUCAACACGUGUCCAGCAUUAGCUUAAUUAGUAGUAAUCUUUAAAAAAAAUUAAUUUCUAUAAAUGGAAGGGAGGGAACUAAUUUUCAAAAGAGAAAAGAGAGAGGGGCACGCGAGAGAGAAGGAGAGAGAGAGAGAGAGAAAUUGACCCGUUUAGCCCGACUCGACCCACGAGACCAACCCGGGUCCAACUCUCGUUUCCAGCCACCGUUCCGGUCAAGCUUGGUACUGAUCUGAAGCUUGAGUGACGCCGGUCAAAUCCCCGCUGUCAUCGUCACUGGAAAACAGCCAGAACGCCGGUGAUUGAAGCUUGAAAGACCGCGGCUCAAUCCAUUUUCGUCGCCGUCAAUCUCGCCAGAAUUAGGUUGCACCACCGGCUGCUUUCGAUUCCUAUCACCAGCUUUUAUUUCCGACCAACCUCGCCACCUGAAACUUCCGUUUUGGCUGUGAACGACCGCUAGAAAGCUCACAGCUUUGGGAGCACGAUUCGCCGCCAUUGCCGCACGUGGAAGGUCACCGCCAGCACCAUUGGACUCAUCGAGAUCAGAACUAUCAGACUUGAGCUUCCCGUCACCGUUAGCUGAAUUCCGGUCACCGUUGACCGGUGGGGGCAUUUCGGUAAUUUCACAAGACUUUAGGGGGAAUUUGUAAUUUGUGGAAUCGGUGGAUAAUUUGGUAAUUUUAGGUUAGGGCAGUGAGGUAAUUUGAGACUUCAAGGGUAAUUCGAUAAUUUAAAUUAUUAACGACAUUAUGGUAAUUUCGCACUUUGAGGGUAAUUUCGUAAAUUCAAAACUUGUGAUUAAUUUUGUUAUCUGAAUUGAGGACAAUUUGGUAAUUUAAGAUGUUAAGGAUGAUUCGAUAAAUUAUGAUUUCGAUGGUAAUUCGGUAAAUUUUGGUGUCAAGGGCAUUUUGGUAAUUUUUGGACAUAAGGAUAAUUUUGAAAUUUUAUGUAUCCGGGAGUUUGAUUUUGAGCUUUAUUACGUACUGUUAGUCGUACUUCAUGAUACAAAUAAUAAUUAUGUCGUUUAUUUAAUUAGGAGGACCCACGAGCGAGAAUCAACCCGCGGACGUUUAUAGUACCGAGUCUGGAUAUCGUCACUGUGAGUGGAAUAUACAAAAUUUAUUUUCAUAGUAUAUUCUAAUUUUACCAUACAGUACAACAUAUUUUGAUAAUAAGUAUUUGAUGCUUCGAUUUAAUGAUUUUCUAGAAAAUUAAAAUUUAUUCUACGUGCUGAUAUUUAUUAUUAUUAAAAAUGAGUUUGAUUAAUGAUUUUAUUAUCAUUUUUUGAGAAAAUGCAUAAUAUUAGAAUUGAGUGGAUUUGAGAUAUAUUGAAUAAAAAGGAAAUGAGAUUUCAAAUGUGAUUACAUGUUUAUGUACAUGUGUAUAAAAGGUUGUUUGGAAAAUCAUUGGACAGUACCCUUCCCCUUCAGAUACAGAGAUACAUAUAAUAUGAGAUGAAUACAGUGAUAUAGAUGAUAUGAGAUGAGAGGCCUUUGGGGUCGUCUGAACACACAUAAAGGCUUUGGGCCGUGUGUUUGGGCGCUUUUGCCUUUUGGGGGCUUAUGCAUGCAGUAUGAUGAUUACAAAGAUACAUAUGUUGAGAUAUAUGAGAUAUGAGAUGACAUUUUCUAGUCUAUCCAUUGUAGCUCCGGUAUGAUGGUUCCUUGAUUGCCCGUCCGUCGAGGUCCGGAUAUGAUGAGAUUAUUCCCCUAGGUACUUGUUUGGUGAUAGUUUUUGGUAUUAAGUAUUUGAUAUUAUAAGUAUUAUGAUUUCAUUGAUUUUAUGCAGAUUUAUGUAAUACUGUUAUUUCAGUGCAUGAUUUGAAUUAAAUAAGUUUAUGUAAGUUCUUAUGAUAUUUUGAUGAAAUUAAUUUGGAAAAGAUUAAAUCAUUUUAAAUAAAUUUAUUUUUUCAAAAACUAUUAUCCACUCACUGAGCUUACUGAGUUUUAUACUCACUCCAUUUUUAUUAUAUUCCCCCUCCCCCCACAGGAGAUUUGCAGGUACAUCAGUGACCCAGUAAUGAUAGUUAGAUUGAAAUUAUGGCCACGUGAUGAUGUUAGGAAUCAUAGAUGUUUUGUUGAGACAUUUUGAAUUGGAUAAUUUAUUACUUAUUUGUGAUUAAGGAUAAACUAUUGUAUUCUUAACAUUAUAUGUUUGAAGGAUACUGGUAUUUAAAUUGAGGAAGUUGGUUGUGGAGGUUGAUUAAAUAUUGUAUUAUUUUUUGGGAGUGUUUAUUGUAUAAAUUGCAGAUUUGGGGAUGUCAUAAUUAUAUAGGAGACUUUGUCGCAUUUUUGGUAGAAUUCUUAGAUAUCAGAAUUAUUAUUAAUUUGAUCAAUUGAGAUUAGAUAGACUCGUCUUGGAAAUUCGAGGCGGAUCGUUUCAAUUACCUUUAAAAAUGGUGCCUUCACGACUACCCUUUCUAGAACAAGGCUUGGGAACAUGUUGAGAUGGAGCAUAUUCAACAAUAGCCUUAAACUGAGCCCCUAAUCAAGAACCCAAUAACACAUAGAAUUAACCAAACAGAAAGUGCCCUUUUCAUUUGAAACAACAUAAACACAUUCAUACCAAAUUAAGAUUGAUAAGUAAAAGCAAAAGGGUUAGCAAAAUUACCCUUUUUCAUUAACAAACACAUGUCCAUUCAACAACUUAGCAAACUCAAACACAUCCUAAAUUUUCGGGCGAACGCGGAACCAAUUGUAACCGUCAUUGAAGUGAUCGUGGAAAAGGGCUAAAAGGUCAUUUUGAGAGAGGGAAAGAGACAAAUGACAAAUCACUACUUUGGUUCUCUACAAUGGCUCCGUCAUUUCAUUGCAUUCAAUUUGUUCCGACUGUAUUGAAUUCAAAAAAUUGAAAAAGAGUUUUGACUACUUUGUACCCUAAUUUUCAAUUUGGGUUGAGAAUGAAAUUGGAAUAUUGUUUAUUGGAAAGUUUUGGACACACAUAACCGUUGUGUUUUCCUUUGGAGAGGCCUUUGAGCACUAACAAGAUUCAUUUUUCGUUGCCCGGGACAAAGGGCAAUUGACAUUCCUCAUUUCCCUUAGUAUUUACUUAUGGGGAGUUUAGGCCAUCUCCAAUGUGACAUCAAAACUAACAGCAAAUCACCUUUUACAUUAUUUUUGGUGUACAAUGCUUCUCCAAUGUAACACCAAAACCAACACCAAAAUGAUGUUUGAAUAGUAUUGCACCAAAAAUGGUGCAAUACUAUUCAUUUGGUGCUAGGAAAAAAAGUCCCAAAUAUUAAGAUGAAAAUUUUAUAUUUCAAGCAGUUCUUUUUUCACUUACUGCUGUACGGCCAAGGCGGAUGUACGGUACAGCAGAUAAUAUUUUAAGUUAUUAUUAUUAUUUUUGUUAUUAUUUUUAUUUUAUUUUUAAUUUUUGAAUAUUAUACUAAUAUUUUAAAUAAAGAAAUAUUCAACAAAAAAAUUAAUAAUAAAAAUAAAAUUCCAAUAACAUUAAUUACUAGAUUACAUAUUACAAAGUUAAAAAUACAAAAUUAAAUUAACACAAAAUUAAAAAAGCUACUACUACCAGCAUAAAUUAGAACAAUUAUUUAAUAAUAUGGGAGAUCAUUAUUAGAUCUUCCAAUAUCAUCAAAAUAUUGGCCAAUAUUAUUGGAAAUAUUUUGAGAUGCUUGGCCUUGCGGAGACCUUCUCUGCAAAAUCUUAAUUUGUUCAUUUUGAAAAUAUUGACGUAAGCUCGAAUCACUUAUCGAAUUUAAAUCUUGAAGUAAAAUUUUGUUUUCUUCACGAUAUGUGACCAUCUCCAAUUUUUUUUCUCAUUUUGGGCUCGUAUCAUUUGAAUUUGAUAAUUUUGUUGCCUAUCUUCACUGCCUUUUUUGAGAAUUUCAUAUAGUCAUCGAUGGUCUUCUUUAAUAGUAUCAAUAACUAGUGAAUUUUGAUCUUCAACUUUCCUUUUUCCUUUUGCCUUCAGAAUGUCUCGAAGUUUAUUCAGUCGUAUUACUAAUGCCGUGCAAGGUCAUGACAACUAUUUUAUGUAGCGAAGGGAUGGCGUUGGCAGACUUGGGUUAUCUGGUCUUCAAAAUAUCACUGCCGUAUUUAGGAUGUUGGCAUAUGACAUGCUAGCAGAUGCUAUUGAUGAGUAUAUUAAAAUUGGAGAGUCUACAACAAUUGAAAGUUUGAAGAGGUUCUGUCGUGCAAUUGUGGAAGUUUUUGCAAAGCAACAUCUUAGAUCACCCAACGCUAAUGAGGUCGCCAGGCUACUCCAUGUUGGUAAAGAACGUGGUUUUCCAGGAAUGUUAGGUAGCCUAAAUUGCAUGCACUGGAAGUGGAAAAAUUGUCCAACAGCUUGGGCUGGACAAUAUGCUGGUCGUAGUGGAACCCCAACUAUUAUUUUGGAGGCUGUAGCUAAUUAUGAUCUUUGGAUAUGGCAUGCACAUUUUGGUUUGCCUGGUUCAAAUAAUGAUAUUAAUGUGUUGGAGGCAUCCUAUCUUUUUGCCAACCUCGCUUCAGGUAUUGCUCUUCCUGCUCAUUAUGUUAUUAAAGGGAACGAAUAUAAUAUGAGUUAUUAUUUAGCUGAUGGUUUCUACCCAAAAUGGUCUACUCUUGUACAAACUAUCAAUGAUCCAUGUGGUCAUAAAAAAACAUUAUUUGCCAUGAAACAAGAAGCAUGUCAGAAAGAUGUAGAACGUGCAUUUGAAGUCCUUCAAUCACGUUUUGCAAUUGUUGCUGGACCAUCACGCUUUUGGAACAAACAUGUGUUACAUGAUAUAAUGAUUGCUUGCAUUAUUAUGCACAAUAUGAUAAUUGAAGAUGAACGUAAUGUUAAUGCAACAAUUAAUGAUUGGAUGUAAGCACCAAUACCAACAAUUGAUAUGAGGGUAGAUGAGAGUACUAGAUUUCAAGAAUUUAUUGCUCGACACAAAAAAAUCAAGGAUAAAGAGGCUCACCUUAUACUCCGAAAUGCACUAAUUAAUCAUUUAUGUGAUGAAUUUAGUAAUUCGAAUAACUAGAGUAUUAUUAUUGUUAUCGUAUUUUUUUAUAUUAAUGUAAUGUUUAAUUUUCAUAAUGCACUAAUUUAGUUAAUUAAAGGCAAAUUUAAUAAUUUUCUAUUUUUUUUGUUAAUCGAUAUAAAAUUACUUAAUACUUAAUCUAUAUUAAUAGUAAUAUUUAGUGUGUUAAUUGAAUUAAUUCUUGAGAAUUAAAAGAAGAAAAAGAAGAAUAUUCUUUUUGGUAUAAAAUUUGGUGCAAAUGGGUUGGAGAUGAAAUAGUAAUUUGGUGUGAAAAAAGUAAAUUUUUGGUGUUGGUGUUACACCAAAAUGGUGUUAAAGCAUUGGAGAUGCCCUUAGGGGCCUUGACGUAUAAAAUGACCAAGAAGCCCCUAUGUAGUAUGAAUAUGCUGAUUUAAUAAAGAAAGAUGAUCAAUAAUAUUAAUAAUGGGAAAUUGUAAGCUCUCCUUUAUACAAAUCAAUAUAUAUUAAUUACUUUAGUAUUGCUUUUGUAAUGCACACUAGUUUUUUAUUAGUAUAAUUUUAUAGAAUAAUUUUUAUUUUUAAAUAAAUUUUUAUUCAUAAUUAUCAUAAAUUUAAUUUUUUAUUAGUAUAAUUUUUAUUUUUAAAUAAACUUUUAUUCAUAAUUAUUAUAAAUGAAAUGAAUUUUUUAUAUUAUAAAACUAGUAAUAAAUAAGUGAUAUAUAUUAGUUCUAAUAGAAAAAAAAUUAACAACUUCCUUAAUAAUAAAAGUGACGAAAUAAUGAAAGGCAAAAGCAAACUCUUUUAGAUUCUUUUCUACAUCUCAACUUUCUAUUGAAAAAAGUAAAUUUUUGGUGUUGGUGUUACACCAAAAUGGUGUUAAAGCAUUGGAGAUGCCCUUAGGGGCCUUGACGUAUAAAAUGACCAAAAAGCCCCUAUGUAGUAUGAAUAUGCUGAUUUAAUAAAGAAAGAUUAUCAAUAAUAUUAAUAAUGGGAAAUUGUAAGCUUUCCUUUAUUCAAAUAAAUAUAUAUUAAUUACUUUAGUAUUACCUUUAUAAUGCACAAUAAUUUUUUAUUAGUAUAAUUUUUAUUUUUAAAUAAACUUUUAUUCAUAAUUAUUAUAAAUGAAAUGAAUUUUUUAUAUUAUAAAACUAGUAAUAAAUAAGUGAUAUAUAUUAGUUCUAAUAGAAAAAAUAUUAACAACUUCCUUAAUAAUAAAAGUGAUGAAAUAAUGAAAGGCAAAAGAGGGAAAUUGCAUGUUCAUUCCUCUUUUAGAUUCUUUUCUUCUCAACUUUCUAUUUAAACUCUUUUAUAUUCUUUACUUCUCAACUUUCUAUUUAAACUCUCUUAUAUUCUUUUCUUCAAACUCUUUUAGAUUCUUUUCUACAUUUCAACUUUCUAUUUAAACUCUCUUAUAUUCUUUUCUUCAAACUCUUUUAGAUUCUUUUCUACAUUUCAACUUUCUAUUUAAACUCUCUUAUAUUCUUUUCUUCAAACUCUUUAGAUUCUUUUCUACAUCUCAACUUUCUAUUGAAACUCUCUUACAUCUUUUAUUUCUUAACUUUCUAUUUAAACUCUCUUACAUCCUUUACUUCUCAACUUCCUAUUACAUUCAUUACUCAAUUUAUAAAUUUCAUACCUUAAAUCCUAAAAUUUAAAUCAAGUCUCUUCCCCUUUCUCAUCUCUUCAUACGCAAUGCAAUCUUUUUUGUUCUCCUCUCUUUGCAAGUAAGUAAAAUCUUAGUUCAUCGCAUCAUCUCACAGUUUGUUUUCAUACUUUGCUUUCUUCAAAUUGCCCUCGCAUUUUCCUCUCAAUCUCAAUUUCUGGUUUUUUUGUUUGUUGUAGACUCGAUUUUCUUUACCUCGGUUUGUAAAUUUUAUCGGAUGUAAUGCAUAAUCAUGGGCGACCCAAUUAAUGCCCAGGAGGGGCUUCAGCCCCUUUUAGGCCAUUAAUUUUUCUUUUAAAUGUACCCCACGCCCUUUCUAAAAGAAUUAAAUAAAAAAAUUUGGACACAUAUUUUAUGUAACAAAAGACUUAUGGUUCAAUGAUAAGAGUGCUAUUUGAUGGUUUUAAAGUCCUGGUUUAAAUCCCAAUAGCCACAUUAUUUUGUUUCUUUUUAUAAAUAGUUUUUGAAAAUUACUUAGAAAAAUGAUACUUUUAUGCAUUUAAAAUAAAAAGUUUAUUACUAUUAUUAUUUAAAAUUUAAAAGAAAAUAAUGAAAUUUGAGUCUAUGAGAUUUAAAAUGUAUUCAUGUGAACAUUAAAAAAAAACCCCAAAUUAAAUAAAAUGUUUUGAACUAAUCCCCCUAAUUUAAGUAUCUGGGUCCGCCACUAUGCAUAAUUGAUCGUUGUCGUUUUUUUUUCAAUAAUUUCGUGAAACAUGCAUAAUUAAAUUAAAUUAUACAUCAGCAUAAUUAAUUAAUUAACUGAUGCUGUUUAGAUUCUGUGCUUGAUUAUAUAGCAAUUCAUCAUAUUUUAUUAUGAUUAUAAAUUUAACUAUAUGGUCGGGGUCUGAGUGAUUUUUAUUUUUAAUUUUUUUAAUGAAUUUAUUCAUGUUCCGUUGGAUAAUAUUUAAAGUAAUAUCAAAUAUAAGUUUUAAUGGAGUGAAAUUGUAUGGGAAUGGUAACUAAGUUUUCUUUCUUAUUCUUUAAUGAUAAAAAUUGAAUUCAAUGUGAAAGUGGUUUGAUAUUGUAAAUGCAUUGCAGGUAAAUUGAUUUUUUUUUUAGGAUGGGAGAAAGAGUGGUUGAUGGCGAUUGGAAGCCUACUUCUCCAUCUAAUGGGGAGCGCACUGUGGUUUUACUUGGCCGUACUGGCAAUGGCAAAAGUGCGACGGGCAAUAGUAUUCUCGGGAGAAAAGCCUUCAAGGCGAGUGCUGGCUCGUCUGGUGUUACUAAAACUUGUGAAAUGAAGACAACCGUGCUCAAAGAUGGCCAAGUUGUUAAUGUCAUUGAUACCCCCGGUAAUUUGCUAAUGUUGGUUCCUAGAUAUUCCAUUCCAUGCUUGUUGAUGUUGUGAUGGUAAGUAGAUUGAUGUUACGAGCCAUUGCAGGACUUUUUGAUUUGUCUGCUGGCUCUGAGUUUGUCGGCAAGGAAAUUGUCAAAUGUCUCGGUAUGGCCAAGGAUGGCAUCCAUGCAUUCCUUGUAGUUUUCUCUGUUACAAACCGUUUUUCUCAAGAGGAAGAAACUGCAGUACACCGUUUGCCGAACUUGUUCGGGAAAAAUGUUUUUGACUAUAUGAUUGUUGUUUUCACUGGAGGGGAUGAUCUUGAAGAUCAUGAGAAAACAUUAGAAGAUUUUUUGGGUCAUGAGUGUCCAAAGCCUUUAAAGGUUUGUUUCUGAACUCUUAUAGUGUUCGAUAAUUUCAUCAGUCAUUUUGAUCAAGUUGUCUUUGGCUGGUUCUUUUGUGAAGUUUUAGACUCCUUUACGGUUGGACUAUUGGAAGUUUAAUAUGAAUAUAUGCAUGCUGAAAAUACUAGAUAGCUUUAUAGUAGGCCAGCCGUCUUAAAGUUCCAUUUUCAAUGGUGCUUCAUUUCGUGAAUGGUUUUCUUCUGCCAUGCGGGAUUGGCCGGAGAGGUGAUUGGUAAUUUUCUGCUGGCGUUACUUAAUUUUACUUAUACGUUAUUGUCUUCGAAUGAGAUAUCAUUCAUUCAUUCGCUAAACAUUUUUGCUUUUCUUAUUUGUAUUCUUUGAUUUCCUCUGCGAUUUAAUCUUGGUUCUUAUUCUAUUAAGGUGUGUUCAUUUGUUUGUUUCUCAAAAUAUGUACCUCUUUGAUUUAUACGCUCAAAAUUAACCUACUUUUAAGAUUUUAAAAGUGGCCCAAAGAGGAUGUGACUUGCUAUACAGGUCCAUUUUAUUCGGCGUUAUUUGAAUAAAAUAUCAAGACUAACUUUACAAGAUUUAAAAUUCUCUUAAAAGUUCAUGUGGAUUCUAGGCUCAGAAUUGGUGUCUAAAAUUUCAAUGUGAGAUCUUUUUCAAGUUUCAACAUGCAAAUCUCUUAUUUUCAGAAUUUACUUGAUGAUUUUGGUUCCUAAAAUUUUUUAACUUGAGAAAGAUUUAUAUCAAGUUCUUCUAUUUUACUGCAUACUUGAUUCAACCUAUGAGGAGUGGGAAGAAAAAUAACAAAAAUGAAAAUAAAGACCCCUUUAAGUUGUAGCUUUGCAAUUAACAAAAUCCGGUUAUUUUACAGUUAAAGGGAACUUUGUUUUACUUAUUGUACUUAUUAUUAUUAUUAUUAUUCCUACUACUACUACUUAUGUUAUAUGGAAUGCUGAUCACCUUUUAAGAUUUUAAAAUUUGAUGGACGUAAGAGGUUAUGUAAGUGGUCAAACCAUAAGGAGAAUGGAAUUGAUUAUUAAAUAGUUUUUGAGGAUGCCUGAUAAUAAGUACUAACGAUCACAAUAAAAAAAAAUUUUGUCAGCUUAAUAUCCUCAAACUUUUAGAGACUACAAGUGUUUGAUUGGUUGAUCAAUGCUUACCGAAAGGAGCUAACAUUUGCUUUAUUCCUGAUCAUUUUCCAAUUAUUUUAGGAAAUCCUUCAACUAUGUGAUAAUAGGUGCGUGCUUUUUGAUAACAAGACCAAGGAUGAGGCCAAGGGAACCGAGCAGGUUCGGCAGCUUCUUUCUCUGGUUAACUCUGUGAUCGUGCAGAAUGGUGGGCAGCCAUAUACGGACGAGUUGAAGGUGACUUCAUUACUAUCGGGAUAGACUUCUGUGCUGCUUCUUUCUGAAUAUGUCAUGACAAUAUCUCUUUUUCUUUUUUUCUACUCAGAGAGGGGCCACUGAACUCCGUGAUCAAAAAGCUGAGGUUGAUUCUCUCAAGGAAUAUUCAAAACGAGAAAUUUCAAAGCUGAUGGGCCAGAUGCAGGAAUCAUAUGAAGAUCGAAUCAAACGAAUGGCUGAGAUGGUAUUUUUUAUGCUCCAUGUUUUGGCAUCAAAAUAUGACAUGCAUAUGUGUUCAUCUCUCAAAUCGGGUAAUCAUUUCUCAAACUGUGUAAUUAAAAAAUGACUAUAAAGCCUGCAGGUACCUGUAACGAUAUUCUAAAUUGUUAGACUUGGAGGUUGUAAAGACUGCCGCUCUGUCCGUACCCCUAGAUUGUUGGAGAUUGCCAUAUGAAAAGAGGCCUUAUCUUGCUAGUUGAUGUGGACAAAUCUGUUAUUAUUUGUUCACUCAUUAUGUUUUGAAGGCCGUAACAUGCUGUUCUUACCUUGAAGAUUGUUUGACGGUCCUGCUCUGUUUUUUGUUGAUGAAAUUAAGGUGGUUUACUAAUCAUGACUUACACUAAGGUGGAUUCUGCACUUGUUUAGUCAUCAAUCAUGAGAACAUUUCUUGUAAUACUGUGGGAACAAUUGAAAUGUUACGAGCAGGUUAUGUCAUAAUUUAAUUUUGUUAAAAAUAGAAUAGCCAUAUUCACAAUAAGUUUUUAUGAAAAUAUAGUUACGCACGUGAAACCUAAUCAAAUGGCUGCGUAGUUUUGAUUUUCCUUUCCACAGUUUUAAUUUAUUGCAAGGCAAUAGAAUGAUUCGGCAUUAAGCCAUAUCCUAUUCAACAAUAAUCUGGAUUUGCUGUAACAUUCUGUGUAAUGAUUAUAUGUCGGAGGUGCUAAUAAGUUUUAUUCUCGACAAUCCUGGAGUAUGGCAAAAUGAAAAAGUUAGCAGAUUCUUUAACACUUUUAUUUUGGAUUUAUGUGUUUAUUUUUUUAAGCUCUUGUUUCUACCAUUUAUCAAUGAUUGAGAGUGGAAUUGAUUGGUCAUAAAGUUGUGCCGAGUAUGGUGAACUUAGCAACUCGCUUUGCAAUUGAAUUAAACUAAAUUGAUACUUAAGAAUUUUUUUCUCUUAAGUUGGAGUUUUAUAUUACCAAUAUCCAAUUUUUUUGUAUUGUGCUGCUACUCUAGGGCUUAGUGGCAUGUUUUCUGACUAAUAUUGAUGCUUUUUUGAUAGGUUGAGUCUGGGCUCAAAGAGACAACAACUAGGCUCGAACAGCAAUUGGCAAAGGAGCAAGCUGCUCGAUUAAGGGCAGAAGAGGUAGCACAAUUAGCUGAAAUGAAGUUAAAAGACGAAAUUCAAUCUCGAAGUACUGAAAAGGAGACUGCGGAACCCCCUAAGCCAUCUGAAAAUCCUCCGCCGGAGCCCCCUAGGCCACCUGCAAGUCCUCCGCGGGAGCCCCCCAGGCCACCUGCAAGUCCUCCGCCGAAGCCCUCUAGCACAUCUGAUGGGUGGUGUGCCAUUAUGUAAAUGUUCGCAGUCCAGACGCUUAUAUCUUCUGUUAUGUAAAUGUUCACAGUCCAAUCUCGAGUGCGGUCUUAAGAUAGUACUACAUGAAAAAACGGUAUUGACAUCAAAUGAAGUUUCAUUUAUGGAGCCAUCUAGAAUCUUUUCUUACACGGUGGAUCCGAAGAGAUCUGAUUCCUUUUCUCCUCAUUGAGCUCUUAACGAACGCUAUAUUGUUUUCACAUUUGUAGCAGAUACUACCCAAAAUGUGCCCUUCUAACAAUCAUGACUUUCCCAAAAAUUCAAACCGACUAACAGAGUAAUCCUAAUAUCCGAAAGACUUGCUAUAAAACCACCAAGCCUUUGACCCUUCUCUGAUACGCACCAUAGUUCAACUAGCUCAUAAUGCAAAUCCUUCGACAUCACACAGCCUCAGUUUUGAAAGUUUUAUAGAUAUUAAGUUUCAGCAUAAUAACUGGUCUCCCAAAGAGAAGAUGCCAAUGAUAAGUCAGCCUAAGUAAUUAGGUUACACAUAAAUUCAUCCAAUUUCAUAUAUUGCUGGUUUCAAAAAUAGGUAUCAAGUAGCACACACAUUCAGUAGAUAAUGAUAUUCUGAUCGUAGAUCUCGUACUGAGAUGCCACAAGCUUGAUCUCUUGCAAACGGGAGAAAACAUUGAUGCACGCUCAACACGAGCUCAUAGAAAUGAAAUGUGAUGGGAGAAUUAAUUACCCGAGAUGGAGUAUCUUCUUGUCCGGAUGAGAGUGAGCAAAGCCGCCACCCUCGAUAAUAGCAGGACUGAAGAAAUUCCGAGAAGCUAAUGCAUGGAUUGCAUUCAGCUCUUGCCCAGUCGCCAUGUUUGCUUGCUGAAACCCUUCCAUUUCUGCUAUCUGAGUUUCAGAAACAACGAAAUUUUAAUAACGUGCUGAAAUUUUGGAAGAGGGCGAGAACAAAUGCAUUAUACAUACAAAGGAUUGAUUUGCAUACCUUUGAUCGGAGACGCACGCUUUCAUUUUCCAGCUCAACCUCCUAUGAAAAUGAAAAUGUCACAGAGUUCCAUAAAAGCUUGGAAGAAAACGAAAAAAAAGGCUAAACAGGAUUUAAUGAACUUUAAUUAUUACCCUUUUCUACAAGAACUCAAUUUUAGGAAACAGACAAAGCAACAAAUUAUUUUCAAAAUGACAUAAAUUACAUAUAUUGAAUGUACAUCGAUAAAGUUUAUGCAAUGUAUUGUUGCAAAACAAUGGUGUAUUGCUCAAAUUCAAUUAUUUUUUGUAUGCAUAAUGCAAUUAAUUAAUUACCUUCUUGGACCUGAUCCUAGUGAUGCCUCACUCAAGCCUGUUCUCCAGUUGCUUAAGCUCCUUUACAGUUAAAGAACUCAGAGAAUCACACAUCAGAUGCCGAUAUGAAGAGUCAAGAGUGAGAUAACCAAUUGAAAAUUCAAUUGAAAUUGUAUAUUUUGGAAUAAAAAAUUAACGACACCUAAUAUGAAAAUGAUUGUUGAUGAAAUAAUUGAAAAUAUCUGUUCGAAUUCUGUGAGAUUUGAAUUUGCUGCCGCAGCUUUGCUGACUCCUGCUGAUAGUACUGUUUCCAUGGGUCACAUGUAAUUGGAGAAGUUUAAUUUUUAUUGGGAACUUUUUAUUUCAAUGCUAGCUAUGUGGUAACCAAUGAUAAUUAGUUGGCUUUUUUUUUUUUUUUUUUUAACCUUUUCAUAAUAGCAUAUAUUCCUAGUAAAGCCUGAAUUUAUAGCUUAAAUUAAUGAAUUAUUUACCUGAGCAUUUAUCUCAGUAACAGUGUCAGAAUUUGAAUUAUCCGAACAUGCCUUCUUGUACCUAUCAAUGGUUGACCUUAUGCUGCUACGUGCAUAACACAUAAAUUUCUAAUUAUUUAGUAUAAUUGUUUGAAAUUGUUUUUGGGAAAAAAAGAGGAAUAAGAAAAGAGGGAGCUGAAGUUUAAUAAACAAUUUUAUUUCUUUAUUAAAUAUCAUUUAUGUUAUCUCAUUAGUUUUCAUGAUCCCUCAGUCUUCAGCUACAUGGAUAAACAAACAUAGACAUAAAAAGAAAGACAUGUUAAGUAAGAUGUAUGAAAAAAUGUUUUAUUUUAUUCUUAAUUCUUUAUUCUCAAUGAGGACAUUGGAAUAAGUUUACUAAACCUAGCUACCCUCUACAUCUAGCUAGGUCAUUAAUUCCAAGCUCAAAGUGGCAUUUAUUUACUCUCUAAUUUAAGAGAAUUUUAUCCCCACAAGCCAAUUGAAUAUUGAGAUGAGAACUACUAAACUAAUAGGUGCUUCUUGAUAUACGUAUCAAGUUAACAUUUCAAGUUCUACGCCUGAUAUUUCAAUUGUAAGUUUAAUGUGUAAGGUUUCUUUAAUCUAACAUUUUAAUUGACAGCCACUCCCUAUAGCUUCCUAAUCAUAAAUGAAAUUAUAUGUGCCCACUCCCUAUAAUUUGAACUUUGAAGUGAAGAAGUUAGCACUUUAUAUCCCCAUCACAUUGAAGAGUAAAAAUCUCUUUCACGUUUUAGGUUUCUAUUCACCAUGCAUGUGGAAAGAGCAAGACCUAAUAGCAUUUUAAAUUUCUUCAAACAAGUCCAUCACUUUAAUAGCACGAAAAUGUUAGUGCAAACUGAGAAAGAAACCAAUACACGAUUGAAAAUUUUCGGUGCUUUUAGAGUCAAAAGUACUGAAGAAAACUGAAGUGAAAGAUAUGAUUCAGAUUGCUUCAAUGAAGAAAAAAGAUAUGGGAAAAUUUUAAUUUAAAGCUAAAAGUAGAAACAAAAGCCAAAGAAAAUUGAGAAUUUGUAAAUGAUUAUAAAAGGAAAGAAUCCAUCUGGCCAGACUUCAGAUCACUGCAGCAAGCUGUAAUUAUUAAUAUGAUUAUUAAUGUAUUGCAGCUGCUGUGUAUUUUGUCAAAUGAUCUAAAACCCUAGAUACAGAUAGGAAAGUCACCGCAGCCUUUUCUUUUUCUGGGGAAUUGGAGUGGACAACUUCGGUCAAAUUUUUAUUUUUUUUCAUUUUUAUAAAAACAUUUUAGCUACCAUGAAAUGAUGUACUUGCAAGAGUCUAACUUUCAUCACGAACAAAAACCCCUUUAUGACAUUCGUUUAAUUAUAUCAAAAAGUUGAAAUUGUUGAAAAACAUUUGUUCAAAAAAAAAAUAUUGUUUUUCACCAAAGCAGUGACUCAAGACCAGCAAUAUUCUUGACCACUAAAGUCUCUUUACCUAUUUUCUAAUUAGGAUAACAUUAUUUAUAAUUUACCUUAAAAUGCAGUUGAACGACUUUCAAUUUCUUUGUUUAAUUAGUCAUUCGAGUUGAACUCCUAAAAAAGAUAUGAAUUAAAAAUAAUGUUUGGGCUAUGCUCCUUCCCCUUUAAUAAAAACUUGAAAAAAUAAAAUAAAAUGAAUUCAUGAUGUGGUUUUAUCUCAAUAACAUUAUUACUGCUCCUAUGGGGGAUUUUCAACUGUUACUAGUUAUAUAAAUGGCUAAUCUAAAUAUCUGAACUCUGCUAUAUAAUAGGCUAAUCCAUGCCAUUCUAAUAAAUAUUUAACUUAGGGAUGGCAAAAUAACCCGGACCCGGCCCGGACCCGGAUAAUCCGGGCCGGGUUGAACCCGUACCAGAAUGUAAAAAAAUCCGGGUCCGGAAUAAAUUUUAAUAACCCGGAUAUAUCCGGGUCCGGGUUCGGGUUUAGGUUAACCCGGACAUCCGGAACCCGGACCCGGAUAUUUAAUUUUAAUAUUAUUUUUUAAUUAAUUUUAUUGAUUAAUCUAGAUGUGUUAUUGCUUGGAAAUGUAUUAAUUUUUUAUUUUUAGAAUUUUAGAAAUUGAUAUUGAUUCAUUGAUCCGGGUUCAAAACCCGGAAUCCGGAAACCCGGAUUUUUCCGGGUUGAACCCGGACCCGGACCCGGGUGAAAAAAUCCGGGUUAAAAUCCGGGUCCGGGAAAAGAAAAUAGUAUCCGGGUCCGGAUCCGGAAAGGCUAAACCCGGACCCGGACUCGGAUUUUGCCAUCCCUAAUCUAACUAUUAAUUCUAUAAACUAAAAGGAAAAAAAUAAUUGUACUUUUAGUAGUACAUAUACCAUGCUAGCGAUAUUGAAUUCAACUUUCUAUUUAAACUCUCUUAUAUUCUUUUCUUCAAACUCUUUUAGAUUCUUUUCUACAUUUCAACUUUCUAUUUAAACUCUCUUAUAUUCUUUUCUUCAAACUCUUUUAGAUUCUUUUCUACAUUUCAACUUUCUAUUUAAACUCUCUUAUAUUCUUUUCUUCAAACUCUUUUAGAUUCUUUUCUACAUUUCAACUUUCUAUUUAAACUCUCUUAUAUUCUUUUCUUCAAACUCUUUUAGAUUCUUUUCUACAUUUCAACUUUCUAUUUAAACUCUCUUAUAUUCUUUUCUUCAAACUCUUUAGAUUCUUUUCUACAUCUCAACUUUCUAUUGAAACUCUCUUACAUCUUUUAUUUCUUAACUUUCUAUUUAAACUCUCUUACAUCCUUUACUUCUCAACUUCCUAUUACAUUCAUUACUCAAUUUAUAAAUUUCAUACCUUAAAUCCUAAAAUUUAAAUCAAGUCUCUUCCCCUUUCUCAUCUCUUCAUACGCAAUGCAAUCUUUUUUGUUCUCCUCUCUUUGCAAGUAAGUAAAAUCUUAGUUCAUCGCAUCAUCUCACAGUUUGUUUUCAUACUUUGCUUUCUUCAAAUUGCCCUCGCAUUUUCCUCUCAAUCUCAAUUUCUGGUUUUUUUGUUUGUUGUAGACUCGAUUUUCUUUACCUCGGUUUGUAAAUUUUAUCGGAUGUAAUGCAUAAUCAUGGGCGACCCAAUUAAUGCCCAGGAGGGGCUUCAGCCCCUUUUAGGCCAUUAAUUUUUCUUUUAAAUGUACCCCACGCCCUUUCUAAAAGAAUUAAAUAAAAAAAUUUGGACACAUAUUUUAUGUAACAAAAGACUUAUGGUUCAAUGAUAAGAGUGCUAUUUGAUGGUUUUAAAGUCCUGGUUUAAAUCCCAAUAGCCACAUUAUUUUGUUUCUUUUUAUAAAUAGUUUUUGAAAAUUACUUAGAAAAAUGAUACUUUUAUGCAUUUAAAAUAAAAAGUUUAUUACUAUUAUUAUUUAAAAUUUAAAAGAAAAUAAUGAAAUUUGAGUCUAUGAGAUUUAAAAUGUAUUCAUGUGAACAUUAAAAAAAAACCCCAAAUUAAAUAAAAUGUUUUGAACUAAUCCCCCUAAUUUAAGUAUCUGGGUCCGCCACUAUGCAUAAUUGAUCGUUGUCGUUUUUUUUUCAAUAAUUUCGUGAAACAUGCAUAAUUAAAUUAAAUUAUACAUCAGCAUAAUUAAUUAAUUAACUGAUGCUGUUUAGAUUCUGUGCUUGAUUAUAUAGCAAUUCAUCAUAUUUUAUUAUGAUUAUAAAUUUAACUAUAUGGUCGGGGUCUGAGUGAUUUUUAUUUUUAAUUUUUUUAAUGAAUUUAUUCAUGUUCCGUUGGAUAAUAUUUAAAGUAAUAUCAAAUAUAAGUUUUAAUGGAGUGAAAUUGUAUGGGAAUGGUAACUAAGUUUUCUUUCUUAUUCUUUAAUGAUAAAAAUUGAAUUCAAUGUGAAAGUGGUUUGAUAUUGUAAAUGCAUUGCAGGUAAAUUGAUUUUUUUUUUAGGAUGGGAGAAAGAGUGGUUGAUGGCGAUUGGAAGCCUACUUCUCCAUCUAAUGGGGAGCGCACUGUGGUUUUACUUGGCCGUACUGGCAAUGGCAAAAGUGCGACGGGCAAUAGUAUUCUCGGGAGAAAAGCCUUCAAGGCGAGUGCUGGCUCGUCUGGUGUUACUAAAACUUGUGAAAUGAAGACAACCGUGCUCAAAGAUGGCCAAGUUGUUAAUGUCAUUGAUACCCCCGGUAAUUUGCUAAUGUUGGUUCCUAGAUAUUCCAUUCCAUGCUUGUUGAUGUUGUGAUGGUAAGUAGAUUGAUGUUACGAGCCAUUGCAGGACUUUUUGAUUUGUCUGCUGGCUCUGAGUUUGUCGGCAAGGAAAUUGUCAAAUGUCUCGGUAUGGCCAAGGAUGGCAUCCAUGCAUUCCUUGUAGUUUUCUCUGUUACAAACCGUUUUUCUCAAGAGGAAGAAACUGCAGUACACCGUUUGCCGAACUUGUUCGGGAAAAAUGUUUUUGACUAUAUGAUUGUUGUUUUCACUGGAGGGGAUGAUCUUGAAGAUCAUGAGAAAACAUUAGAAGAUUUUUUGGGUCAUGAGUGUCCAAAGCCUUUAAAGGUUUGUUUCUGAACUCUUAUAGUGUUCGAUAAUUUCAUCAGUCAUUUUGAUCAAGUUGUCUUUGGCUGGUUCUUUUGUGAAGUUUUAGACUCCUUUACGGUUGGACUAUUGGAAGUUUAAUAUGAAUAUAUGCAUGCUGAAAAUACUAGAUAGCUUUAUAGUAGGCCAGCCGUCUUAAAGUUCCAUUUUCAAUGGUGCUUCAUUUCGUGAAUGGUUUUCUUCUGCCAUGCGGGAUUGGCCGGAGAGGUGAUUGGUAAUUUUCUGCUGGCGUUACUUAAUUUUACUUAUACGUUAUUGUCUUCGAAUGAGAUAUCAUUCAUUCAUUCGCUAAACAUUUUUGCUUUUCUUAUUUGUAUUCUUUGAUUUCCUCUGCGAUUUAAUCUUGGUUCUUAUUCUAUUAAGGUGUGUUCAUUUGUUUGUUUCUCAAAAUAUGUACCUCUUUGAUUUAUACGCUCAAAAUUAACCUACUUUUAAGAUUUUAAAAGUGGCCCAAAGAGGAUGUGACUUGCUAUACAGGUCCAUUUUAUUCGGCGUUAUUUGAAUAAAAUAUCAAGACUAACUUUACAAGAUUUAAAAUUCUCUUAAAAGUUCAUGUGGAUUCUAGGCUCAGAAUUGGUGUCUAAAAUUUCAAUGUGAGAUCUUUUUCAAGUUUCAACAUGCAAAUCUCUUAUUUUCAGAAUUUACUUGAUGAUUUUGGUUCCUAAAAUUUUUUAACUUGAGAAAGAUUUAUAUCAAGUUCUUCUAUUUUACUGCAUACUUGAUUCAACCUAUGAGGAGUGGGAAGAAAAAUAACAAAAAUGAAAAUAAAGACCCCUUUAAGUUGUAGCUUUGCAAUUAACAAAAUCCGGUUAUUUUACAGUUAAAGGGAACUUUGUUUUACUUAUUGUACUUAUUAUUAUUAUUAUUAUUCCUACUACUACUACUUAUGUUAUAUGGAAUGCUGAUCACCUUUUAAGAUUUUAAAAUUUGAUGGACGUAAGAGGUUAUGUAAGUGGUCAAACCAUAAGGAGAAUGGAAUUGAUUAUUAAAUAGUUUUUGAGGAUGCCUGAUAAUAAGUACUAACGAUCACAAUAAAAAAAAAUUUUGUCAGCUUAAUAUCCUCAAACUUUUAGAGACUACAAGUGUUUGAUUGGUUGAUCAAUGCUUACCGAAAGGAGCUAACAUUUGCUUUAUUCCUGAUCAUUUUCCAAUUAUUUUAGGAAAUCCUUCAACUAUGUGAUAAUAGGUGCGUGCUUUUUGAUAACAAGACCAAGGAUGAGGCCAAGGGAACCGAGCAGGUUCGGCAGCUUCUUUCUCUGGUUAACUCUGUGAUCGUGCAGAAUGGUGGGCAGCCAUAUACGGACGAGUUGAAGGUGACUUCAUUACUAUCGGGAUAGACUUCUGUGCUGCUUCUUUCUGAAUAUGUCAUGACAAUAUCUCUUUUUCUUUUUUUCUACUCAGAGAGGGGCCACUGAACUCCGUGAUCAAAAAGCUGAGGUUGAUUCUCUCAAGGAAUAUUCAAAACGAGAAAUUUCAAAGCUGAUGGGCCAGAUGCAGGAAUCAUAUGAAGAUCGAAUCAAACGAAUGGCUGAGAUGGUAUUUUUUAUGCUCCAUGUUUUGGCAUCAAAAUAUGACAUGCAUAUGUGUUCAUCUCUCAAAUCGGGUAAUCAUUUCUCAAACUGUGUAAUUAAAAAAUGACUAUAAAGCCUGCAGGUACCUGUAACGAUAUUCUAAAUUGUUAGACUUGGAGGUUGUAAAGACUGCCGCUCUGUCCGUACCCCUAGAUUGUUGGAGAUUGCCAUAUGAAAAGAGGCCUUAUCUUGCUAGUUGAUGUGGACAAAUCUGUUAUUAUUUGUUCACUCAUUAUGUUUUGAAGGCCGUAACAUGCUGUUCUUACCUUGAAGAUUGUUUGACGGUCCUGCUCUGUUUUUUGUUGAUGAAAUUAAGGUGGUUUACUAAUCAUGACUUACACUAAGGUGGAUUCUGCACUUGUUUAGUCAUCAAUCAUGAGAACAUUUCUUGUAAUACUGUGGGAACAAUUGAAAUGUUACGAGCAGGUUAUGUCAUAAUUUAAUUUUGUUAAAAAUAGAAUAGCCAUAUUCACAAUAAGUUUUUAUGAAAAUAUAGUUACGCACGUGAAACCUAAUCAAAUGGCUGCGUAGUUUUGAUUUUCCUUUCCACAGUUUUAAUUUAUUGCAAGGCAAUAGAAUGAUUCGGCAUUAAGCCAUAUCCUAUUCAACAAUAAUCUGGAUUUGCUGUAACAUUCUGUGUAAUGAUUAUAUGUCGGAGGUGCUAAUAAGUUUUAUUCUCGACAAUCCUGGAGUAUGGCAAAAUGAAAAAGUUAGCAGAUUCUUUAACACUUUUAUUUUGGAUUUAUGUGUUUAUUUUUUUAAGCUCUUGUUUCUACCAUUUAUCAAUGAUUGAGAGUGGAAUUGAUUGGUCAUAAAGUUGUGCCGAGUAUGGUGAACUUAGCAACUCGCUUUGCAAUUGAAUUAAACUAAAUUGAUACUUAAGAAUUUUUUUCUCUUAAGUUGGAGUUUUAUAUUACCAAUAUCCAAUUUUUUUGUAUUGUGCUGCUACUCUAGGGCUUAGUGGCAUGUUUUCUGACUAAUAUUGAUGCUUUUUUGAUAGGUUGAGUCUGGGCUCAAAGAGACAACAACUAGGCUCGAACAGCAAUUGGCAAAGGAGCAAGCUGCUCGAUUAAGGGCAGAAGAGGUAGCACAAUUAGCUGAAAUGAAGUUAAAAGACGAAAUUCAAUCUCGAAGUACUGAAAAGGAGACUGCGGAACCCCCUAAGCCAUCUGAAAAUCCUCCGCCGGAGCCCCCUAGGCCACCUGCAAGUCCUCCGCGGGAGCCCCCCAGGCCACCUGCAAGUCCUCCGCCGAAGCCCUCUAGCACAUCUGAUGGGUGGUGUGCCAUUAUGUAAAUGUUCGCAGUCCAGACGCUUAUAUCUUCUGUUAUGUAAAUGUUCACAGUCCAAUCUCGAGUGCGGUCUUAAGAUAGUACUACAUGAAAAAACGGUAUUGACAUCAAAUGAAGUUUCAUUUAUGGAGCCAUCUAGAAUCUUUUCUUACACGGUGGAUCCGAAGAGAUCUGAUUCCUUUUCUCCUCAUUGAGCUCUUAACGAACGCUAUAUUGUUUUCACAUUUGUAGCAGAUACUACCCAAAAUGUGCCCUUCUAACAAUCAUGACUUUCCCAAAAAUUCAAACCGACUAACAGAGUAAUCCUAAUAUCCGAAAGACUUGCUAUAAAACCACCAAGCCUUUGACCCUUCUCUGAUACGCACCAUAGUUCAACUAGCUCAUAAUGCAAAUCCUUCGACAUCACACAGCCUCAGUUUUGAAAGUUUUAUAGAUAUUAAGUUUCAGCAUAAUAACUGGUCUCCCAAAGAGAAGAUGCCAAUGAUAAGUCAGCCUAAGUAAUUAGGUUACACAUAAAUUCAUCCAAUUUCAUAUAUUGCUGGUUUCAAAAAUAGGUAUCAAGUAGCACACACAUUCAGUAGAUAAUGAUAUUCUGAUCGUAGAUCUCGUACUGAGAUGCCACAAGCUUGAUCUCUUGCAAACGGGAGAAAACAUUGAUGCACGCUCAACACGAGCUCAUAGAAAUGAAAUGUGAUGGGAGAAUUAAUUACCCGAGAUGGAGUAUCUUCUUGUCCGGAUGAGAGUGAGCAAAGCCGCCACCCUCGAUAAUAGCAGGACUGAAGAAAUUCCGAGAAGCUAAUGCAUGGAUUGCAUUCAGCUCUUGCCCAGUCGCCAUGUUUGCUUGCUGAAACCCUUCCAUUUCUGCUAUCUGAGUUUCAGAAACAACGAAAUUUUAAUAACGUGCUGAAAUUUUGGAAGAGGGCGAGAACAAAUGCAUUAUACAUACAAAGGAUUGAUUUGCAUACCUUUGAUCGGAGACGCACGCUUUCAUUUUCCAGCUCAACCUCCUAUGAAAAUGAAAAUGUCACAGAGUUCCAUAAAAGCUUGGAAGAAAACGAAAAAAAAGGCUAAACAGGAUUUAAUGAACUUUAAUUAUUACCCUUUUCUACAAGAACUCAAUUUUAGGAAACAGACAAAGCAACAAAUUAUUUUCAAAAUGACAUAAAUUACAUAUAUUGAAUGUACAUCGAUAAAGUUUAUGCAAUGUAUUGUUGCAAAACAAUGGUGUAUUGCUCAAAUUCAAUUAUUUUUUGUAUGCAUAAUGCAAUUAAUUAAUUACCUUCUUGGACCUGAUCCUAGUGAUGCCUCACUCAAGCCUGUUCUCCAGUUGCUUAAGCUCCUUUACAGUUAAAGAACUCAGAGAAUCACACAUCAGAUGCCGAUAUGAAGAGUCAAGAGUGAGAUAACCAAUUGAAAAUUCAAUUGAAAUUGUAUAUUUUGGAAUAAAAAAUUAACGACACCUAAUAUGAAAAUGAUUGUUGAUGAAAUAAUUGAAAAUAUCUGUUCGAAUUCUGUGAGAUUUGAAUUUGCUGCCGCAGCUUUGCUGACUCCUGCUGAUAGUACUGUUUCCAUGGGUCACAUGUAAUUGGAGAAGUUUAAUUUUUAUUGGGAACUUUUUAUUUCAAUGCUAGCUAUGUGGUAACCAAUGAUAAUUAGUUGGCUUUUUUUUUUUUUUUUUUUAACCUUUUCAUAAUAGCAUAUAUUCCUAGUAAAGCCUGAAUUUAUAGCUUAAAUUAAUGAAUUAUUUACCUGAGCAUUUAUCUCAGUAACAGUGUCAGAAUUUGAAUUAUCCGAACAUGCCUUCUUGUACCUAUCAAUGGUUGACCUUAUGCUGCUACGUGCAUAACACAUAAAUUUCUAAUUAUUUAGUAUAAUUGUUUGAAAUUGUUUUUGGGAAAAAAAGAGGAAUAAGAAAAGAGGGAGCUGAAGUUUAAUAAACAAUUUUAUUUCUUUAUUAAAUAUCAUUUAUGUUAUCUCAUUAGUUUUCAUGAUCCCUCAGUCUUCAGCUACAUGGAUAAACAAACAUAGACAUAAAAAGAAAGACAUGUUAAGUAAGAUGUAUGAAAAAAUGUUUUAUUUUAUUCUUAAUUCUUUAUUCUCAAUGAGGACAUUGGAAUAAGUUUACUAAACCUAGCUACCCUCUACAUCUAGCUAGGUCAUUAAUUCCAAGCUCAAAGUGGCAUUUAUUUACUCUCUAAUUUAAGAGAAUUUUAUCCCCACAAGCCAAUUGAAUAUUGAGAUGAGAACUACUAAACUAAUAGGUGCUUCUUGAUAUACGUAUCAAGUUAACAUUUCAAGUUCUACGCCUGAUAUUUCAAUUGUAAGUUUAAUGUGUAAGGUUUCUUUAAUCUAACAUUUUAAUUGACAGCCACUCCCUAUAGCUUCCUAAUCAUAAAUGAAAUUAUAUGUGCCCACUCCCUAUAAUUUGAACUUUGAAGUGAAGAAGUUAGCACUUUAUAUCCCCAUCACAUUGAAGAGUAAAAAUCUCUUUCACGUUUUAGGUUUCUAUUCACCAUGCAUGUGGAAAGAGCAAGACCUAAUAGCAUUUUAAAUUUCUUCAAACAAGUCCAUCACUUUAAUAGCACGAAAAUGUUAGUGCAAACUGAGAAAGAAACCAAUACACGAUUGAAAAUUUUCGGUGCUUUUAGAGUCAAAAGUACUGAAGAAAACUGAAGUGAAAGAUAUGAUUCAGAUUGCUUCAAUGAAGAAAAAAGAUAUGGGAAAAUUUUAAUUUAAAGCUAAAAGUAGAAACAAAAGCCAAAGAAAAUUGAGAAUUUGUAAAUGAUUAUAAAAGGAAAGAAUCCAUCUGGCCAGACUUCAGAUCACUGCAGCAAGCUGUAAUUAUUAAUAUGAUUAUUAAUGUAUUGCAGCUGCUGUGUAUUUUGUCAAAUGAUCUAAAACCCUAGAUACAGAUAGGAAAGUCACCGCAGCCUUUUCUUUUUCUGGGGAAUUGGAGUGGACAACUUCGGUCAAAUUUUUAUUUUUUUUCAUUUUUAUAAAAACAUUUUAGCUACCAUGAAAUGAUGUACUUGCAAGAGUCUAACUUUCAUCACGAACAAAAACCCCUUUAUGACAUUCGUUUAAUUAUAUCAAAAAGUUGAAAUUGUUGAAAAACAUUUGUUCAAAAAAAAAAUAUUGUUUUUCACCAAAGCAGUGACUCAAGACCAGCAAUAUUCUUGACCACUAAAGUCUCUUUACCUAUUUUCUAAUUAGGAUAACAUUAUUUAUAAUUUACCUUAAAAUGCAGUUGAACGACUUUCAAUUUCUUUGUUUAAUUAGUCAUUCGAGUUGAACUCCUAAAAAAGAUAUGAAUUAAAAAUAAUGUUUGGGCUAUGCUCCUUCCCCUUUAAUAAAAACUUGAAAAAAUAAAAUAAAAUGAAUUCAUGAUGUGGUUUUAUCUCAAUAACAUUAUUACUGCUCCUAUGGGGGAUUUUCAACUGUUACUAGUUAUAUAAAUGGCUAAUCUAAAUAUCUGAACUCUGCUAUAUAAUAGGCUAAUCCAUGCCAUUCUAAUAAAUAUUUAACUUAGGGAUGGCAAAAUAACCCGGACCCGGCCCGGACCCGGAUAAUCCGGGCCGGGUUGAACCCGUACCAGAAUUUUAGAAAUUGAUAUUGAUUCAUUGAUCCGGGUUCAAAACCCGGAAUCCGGAAACCCGGAUUUUUCCGGGUUGAACCCGGACCCGGACCCGGGUGAAAAAAUCCGGGUUAAAAUCCGGGUCCGGGAAAGGAAAAUAGUAUCCAGGUCCGGAUCCGGAAAGGCUAAACCCGGACCCGGACUCGGAUUUUGCCAUCCCUAAUCUAACUAUUAAUUCUAUAAACUAAAAGGAAAAAAAUAAUUGUACUUUUAGUAGUACAUAUACCAUGCUAGCGAUAUUGAAUGUUAAUUAAUUAUUAACAUUAAAUAUCCCUUGCUAGCGAUCUUGAACGUCCUACAAACAGCAGUCAAUCUUCGCUCCAAACAUGGAAGUAUAAAUGAUCUUUGCCUAGUUUGUAACUGUUGGUGCAAAUUUUGUCCCAACUUAUGAUAUGGAAAUUUCGACUGAGGACAACCCCCUUAGGACUUGGGUUCCUCUUUGUUAGAUUUUAUGAUGGUGAGUUCAUUAUUUGGGCUGAUCUUUAUGGGCCUUUAUAUAUGCUCUUCUGAGUCCACUUCCUUAGGCACUCAGCAGGUCCUUACUUGUGAUACUCUACAAACACAAGAAAAUGAUCAGAGGGCCGGCUUUGCCGGCGUAAACCCUUUGACGGUCAAGUCAAUCACCGGACUUUUGGAAAUAUAAAUUUAGAAAGAGAAAGAUUAGAGGGAGAAAGUUAGCAUUUUUCCCUUUUGAGUCUCUUUUUGUUUGUCUUACCUUUUAGUGAGAAUGAAAGACAUAUUUAUCGACCAAACUGAUUUGACUUGGGUCCUAGUUUUUAUCCUUGAAAUAAGAUGCUCAUUUGUUUUGUUGAACUUGAAUAAAGAUACAAAAUUUUCAUCUGUUAAGUUUAUGAAAAUUUAGAAUCGAUCCAAGGACAUUCAUCAUUGUCACAACUUUUUUUUUUUUUUUUAACAUCUCAUGGAGAAUUUACUUGACUGGGAGAAGUAGUCUUUUAUUCAUCCGCAUUUUGUCUUUACAAAACUUGUCUGACCAUUGAGGAAAGAUCAGACUUAUAUAAGUACAAGAUCAUACUAUUGAUGGUAAAUCCUGAGAUGCUCAGCAUUCCAAGCAUGCCUCAAGAUCUUUCCACCUAAGGUAGACAAAAUAUAAGUUCCUGGCCUAACUACUUCUCUGAUUAUGUAAGGUCCAUCCUAGUUAGGACCCAAGGUGCCAACACCUGGUUCUUGAGCAUUAGGCAAAACCUUCUUUAGAACAAGAUCUCCAAUUCUGAACUUCCGAAUUUUAACUCGAGCAAUGUAGUAACGAGCUACUUUGCCUUGAUAGGCAGCGACCUUGAUCAUAGCAUGAUCCCUCUUUUCUUCUAAGAGGUCUAAACUUUGGCGUUGUAGCUCAUCAUUGAUGACAGGAUCAAAGUGUUGUACUCGAUAAGUCGGCGUUCUUAUUUCAGCAGGGAUGACAGCUUCUGCACCAAAUGCCAAUAAGAAGGGAGAUUCUCCUGUAGGAGUCCUUGGUGUAGUUCGAUAAGACCAUAGGACGAAUGGUAAUUCAUCUGGCCAUGCUCCUUUGGCUUUCUCUAACUUAGCCUUCAGAAUUUGCUUAAUCACUCGAUUGGCAGCUUCAACUUGUCAAUUAGCCUGAGGAUGGGCAGGAGAAGAGUAACAAUUUUUUAUCUUAAGCUUUCUACAAAACUCACGAAAUUUGUCAUUGUCAAAUUGCCUCCCAUUGUCAGUGAUUAUAGUAUGAGGUACGCCAUACCGACAUAUGAUGUUCUUCUGAAUAAAGUCGGUAGUUUUCUUCUCAGUAAUAGUUGCCAAAGGCUCAGCUUCCACCCACUUUGUGAAGUAAUCAAUGGCAACUAUAGCAAACCUUACUUGCCCCUUUCCUUUUGGCAGAGGACCAAUUAGAUCAACCCCCCAUUGGGCAAAUGGCCAAGGAGUAAGGAGAGGAGUUAACUUUUCUGGAGCUUGCUUGGGUAUAAUAGCAAACCUUUGGCAUUUAUCACACUUUUUUGCUAACUCCAAGGCAUCUCGUUGCAUCGUCAGCCAAAAGUAUCCUUGUCUCAUAGCUUUGUAGGUAAGUGCUCAUCCUCCAGAAUGAUUUCCACAUAUCCCCUCAUGGAUUUCACGUAAGACAUUAUCUCCAUCUUCGGGUGUCAAACACUUGAGAAGAGGAAGUGAAUAUCCAUGUUUGUAAAGUUGAUUAUCCAUGAUCACAUACCUUGUAGCUCAGUAUCUCACCUUUUUUGAUUCAUUCUUGUCCCUUUGGCAUUUAUCACACUUUUUUGCUAACUCCAAGGCAUCUCGUUGCAUCGUCGGCCAAAAGUAUCCUUGUCUCAUAGCUUUGUAGGCAAGUGCUCGUCCUCCAGAAUGAUUUCCACAUAUCCCCUCAUGUAUUUCACAUAAGACAUUAUCUCCAUCUUCAGGUGUCAAACACUUGAGAAGAUGAAGUGAAUAUCCACGUUUGUAAAGUUGAUUAUCCAUGAUCACAUACCUUGUAGCUCGGUAUCUCACCUUCUUUGAUUCAUUCUUGUCCUCAGGUAAAGUUCCAUUCAUAAGAUAACUCAUAAUUAGGUCCAUCCAGGAACUCCGAUGGUCAAUGGUUGCCACUUUCUUUUCUUCACAUUUAAUUAUGCUUGGCUCGGGAAUGAUGACUGUCUCAGUAAGUCUUUUUCUGGUAAGAAAGCUAGUUGAACUAAUGCAUCAGCUCGUGUGUUUUGUUCCCGAGGAAUUUGCUUCACCUCACAAUUGAAGUCCCUUAACAACUCAUUAACUCGAUCAAGAUAUGCAAUCAUGUUGAAAUCCCGAGCUGUAUAGUUGCAAUUCACUUGAUUAACUACCAAUUGAGAGUCACUAAAGACAAGUAAAUCCUUUGCACCUAAGGCUCGAACUAGCCUAAGGCCAGCCAGAAGAGCUUUAUACUCUGCUUCAUUGUUGGUAGCAUUGAAGCCAUACCUAAGAGCGCAUCCAAUCUCAACAUUGUUUGGAGUGAUUGCUAUAAAACCUGCACCACAUCCUCGUUUACUAGAGGAUCCAUCGACAUAGAGAGACCAUUUAUCUUGAUGCUCCUCUUUAGGAUCAAGUGAUAUAAUAUCUCCUUCAGUAAACUCAGCAAUGAAGUUUGCCACUGCUUGCCCUUUUAAUGAUGUCCUAGGAUGAUAUAAGAUGUCAAACUCCCUAAGUUCAAUAGCCCACUUUGUCAUCCUUCCUGAAAUAUCAGGCUUAGCUAAAACUUGUCUAAUUGGUUGAUCAAUGAGGACGAUUAUGGUAUGAGCUUGGAAAUAAGGCCUUAACCUUCUUGCUGAAACAAUCAAGGCUAGAACAAUAUUUUCAAGACUUAGAUACCUUGUUUCUGCAUCAACCAACCCUCUACUUGUAUAGUAGAUAGGCCUUUGCACUCCAUCAUCUUCUCGGACAAGGAUAGAGCUAGUGGCAUGUUCAGACAUUGCAAGAUAAAUGAAGAGAGACUCGCAUUGGAUUGGCUUAACAAGCAAAUGAGGGCUUCCUAAAUAUUCCUUAAGCUUUUGAUCUUCACAUUCCUCAGUCCACUUUAUCUCUUUUCCUUUUCUAAGAGCCUUAAAAAAAGGAAGGCACUUAUCUGUAGCUCGAGAGACAAAGCGAUUCAGGGCUGCUACUUGACCCGUCAACCUUUGAAUUUCUUUAACAUUCUUUGGAGACUUCAUAUUAACCAAUGCUUGGAUCUUCUCAGGAUUGAUCUCAAUACCUCUUUGAUUUACCACAAAGCCAAGGAAUUUUCCUUACGACACACCAAAUGCACAUUUAGUUGGAUUUAACCGCAUCUUGUACUUUCUAAGGAUAUCAAAGGUUUCCCGGAAGUCUUUUACAUGAUCUUCAGGGUUAAGGCUCUUGGUGAGCAUAUCAUCUACAUAAACCUCCAUGGUAUGCCCAAUUUGUUGAACGAACAUACUGUUUACCAACCUUUGAUAGGUGGCUCCAGUGUUCUUGAGUCCAAAUGGCAUAACUUUAUAGCAAUAGAGACCUCGAUAUGUGAUAAAUGCGGUCUUUUCUUGGUCAGGUUCAUGCAUCCUUAUUUGAUUAUAUCCUGAGUAUGCAUCCAUGUAGCUUAGCAGUCCAUGCCCAGCUGUAGCAUCCACUAGUUGAUCAAUCCUCGGUAAAGGAAAACUAUCAUUAGGGCAAGCUUUGUUAAGAUCAGUAAAGUCUACACACAUCCUCCACUUCCCAUUAGCUUUCUUCACCAUCACAACAUUAGCUAGCCAAUCAGGAUACCUUGCCUCCUUGAUAAAACCAGCUUUGAGAAGUUUAUCUACUCAUUCCUUUACGGCCAGAGAUCUUUCGGCGUUCAGACUUCUUCUUUUCUGUCGAAUUGGUUUCAUCUUUGGGUUAGUACUUAAACGAUGUACCACUACCCAAGGAUCAAUGCCUGACAUAUCAUUAUGCAUCCAAGCAAACACAUCAUGAUAUUCUUUCAGAAAGCUAACAAGUUGCUUCUUCAGCGGAUCAGGCAAUCGACCCCCAAUCUUCACGAUUUUACUCAAAUCUUCACCAAGUGGAAAGUCUUCCAAGUCAUCAACUGGGCUCGCCCUUUGAUAGUCUUUUACUGUCCUAGGAUCAAGGCUUGUGAUUUGAAGAGUUUCUUUGCCCAUCCUGAACGCUAUCUCAUAACACUCCCUUGCUUCUUUUUAUUCUCCUCGCACGACUCCAACCCCAGCUUCAGUUGGAAACUUCAACGCAUAAUGAUAAAUUGAAGUUGUUGCUUUUAAAGCAUAAAGAGUCGGCCUUCCUAAGACAACAUUAUAGGAACUUGGUUGAUAAACCACAAUAAGGUUAACCAUAGUGGUCAUCUUAGUUGGGCUUUUUUCGAAAGACACUAUGAGCUCUAUAACUCUUUCAGGAACUAUACUUCCUCCUGCGAAACCAUGAAGUAGAGUCGUGUAAGGUUUUAGCUGUGAUCAUUCUAACCCCAUUCGAGCGAAGGUUGACAAGAAUAAAAUAUCAGCUGAACUCCCAUUAUCAAUAAGAAUCCGAUGAAAACUCCCAUUAUCAAUAAGAAUCCGAACCAUUGAUCCUUGAGAUUGAUUAGUCAAAUUAACCUCGGGACCAUUGGGUUCAUGUCUUGCUUGGCGAGCUAGAUUUUUCCUUGACUUCCUGGAGUCUCCUGCAGCCGGCCCUCCCCAAAUGUGAUUGACAUCAUACAUGCUUUCAUCACUAUCUUCCUUCUUUUUUCCUUUUCUCUUCUUUGAAGAUUCUAGUUGCUCACUCUUUACUCGAUCCUCGAGAUUUCUUACAUACUCCUGUAGUUGCCCUUGUCGAACUAGGCUUUCUAUUUGUUCCUUAAGCUCAAAACACUCGGAGGUGUCAUGCCCAUGAUCUUUAUGAAAAUGACAAUACUUGUUUGGAUUUCUUCGGGAUGGAUUUGUCCUCAUAGGAGGUGGGGUUCUAAACAAAGUUGGAUUUCUUACCUGCAUGAGAAUUUGCUCCCGAGGAGUAUUAAGUUCUGUAAAGUUAGUGAAUUGAGAGGCUAACCGAGGAUGACUGCCUCGGACUUCAGAGCGUUCCCCAGGACGAAAUUGGUCUCUUUUUAGAGAUGGAUCAGGUCUGACAACUCUUCUUUCUCUUCCAUCAUCUUUCUUUUUCUUUCCUUUGAUUGGUUCUCUUUUCUCUUGAUUUCUGUUCUUGAAUCUUUCUUCCGCAUUGGCAUAUUUCUCAGCUCUCGCAAGCAUCUCAGAGUAAGAAGUGGGUGGUCUUUUUGAAACUGACCACCAUAGCUUUCCCAUCCUGAGCCCUUCCAUAAUACCAGAAAGUGCUAUGCCAUCAUCAUAACCAUCUACUUAGGUGAUCUCAUUAUUAUACCUUCUGAUGUAGUCUCUUAAGGUCUCCCCUUCCUGUUGUUUGACGGUCAAUAGGUAAGUCACUGGUUUUCCUCUUUGUCGGGCACUUCGGAAGUGAGAGGUGAAUUCUCUACUCAAAUCUCCAAAGGAUGAGAUGGAGUGUGGCUGCAACAUUCGGAACCAUCUUCGUGCUGCUCCUACUAAGGUAAGAGGAAAAGCCCGACAAAGAAUUGCUUGUGAUGCUCCUUGCACUUCCAUAAGGAUGCGAUACAAUUCUAAAUGCUCAGUUGGAUCCCUCUGCCCAUCAUAAGGCUCCAUUCGGGGUAAAUGAAACCUAGGUGGAUAUUUUGCUACCAUUAUAUCAAAAGUAAAUGGUGGCUCAUGUUCUGCUGUUACAUCAUCAAGUGGACCCAUUUCUCGAACCAUUUGCUCAAGUCUCUGCAUUAUUUCUUGUAAUCCUCUUUUGACUUCCUCUCCUUGGUCUAAACCUUCUCUGGUCAUUCUCCUCCUAAAUCUUCUUUGGUUAAGGGAAUGCCUGAGAUCAUCUUCAUUUAACUCUUCUCUAGACCUUGUUCUAGAGGAGCCGGAAUCAACCACAUUACCUCUACUUGAGUUCUCGCCUUCCUCAGCUCGAGCUGGAAAUUGGCCGAACAUUCUAUUAAAGUUACGAGCCAACUGAUCAACUUGUUGUUGAAGUCGAACAACACGAGGCUGUCCUCGACGUCUAGCGUGGCGAGGUGGAUUCAACUGAGGAUCUGGAGGAGGAUGGAUAGGCACCACAUCAUCAUCAUCUAGGUCUCGUUGUCGUCUCCUUCAUCGGAAGUGAACAUCCUCAUCCACUCUGGAACUUUCAUCAUCAGCCUCAUAGUACUCAUUGUUAGCAUCCAUGCUCAUGGUAGGGCUUCCAAGACUUUUAUCGGAAGAUCCCCACAGACGGCGCCAAACUAUUGGUGCAAAUUUUGUCCCAACUUAUGAUAUAGAAAUUUUGACUGAGGACAACCCCCUUAGGACUUGGGUUCUUCUUUGUUAGAUUUUAUGAUGGUGAGUUCAUUAUUUGGGAUGAUCUUUAUGGGCCUUUAUAUAUGCUCUUCUGAGUCCACUUCCUUAGGCAAUCAGCAGGUCCUUGUCUUGUGAUACUCUACAAACACAAGGAAAUGAUCAGAGGGCCGGCUUUGCCGGCGUAAACCCUCCGAUGGUCAAGUCAAUCACCGGACUUUUAGAAAUAUAAAUUUAGAAAGAGAAAGAUUAGAGGGAGAAAGUUAGCAUUUUUCCCUUUUGAGUCUUUUUUUUUUGUCUUACCUUUUAGUGAGAAUGAAAGACAUAUUUAUCGACCAAACUGAUUUGACUUGGGUCCUCGUUAUUUUGAUGACAAAUGUCAUUGUUCUUGUGACAUUUAGUAACACUUGUCCUCUAGUGCCCAUGUGGAUUGACACAUGGAUAUACAAACUUGUCUACUGAUUAGAGGAAGGAACGUUUUAUCCUUAGGUUAUUUUUACUAAGACCUUGAGAUCAUAAGAGCUUUCAAACUUAGGAGGUUUGUUCUAGGAUAGGAGUCAAGAACCUCAGCACCUUUUGGACUUUAAAUCCUUGCUACCUAGUUGAUUUAUCCUAAGUGAUUUGUCUUAGGAUAAGAAUCUAGGACCUUGGCUCCUUUUGGGCUUUGAAACCUUGUUACUUAGGAGGAUCAUUCUAGGUGAUUUGUCCACCACUUCGUGGGCUUAAUUGGGAGGAAAUUUAUUAGAUGGGCCUUAUUAGACUUAUUUUAUUUUUGGUCCAACAGUAACUCUGAUAAAGAAACUUUUUUUCACCUACUGGUUGACUGUCCUUUUGCAAGAACUUGUUGGAUUCAAUCAAAAGUGGGCUUCUUUGGUAUCUAUUCAUCAUUCAAGGAUUGGCUUCAAGCUUUGUUUAGGAACUGCACUAAUGAGCAGUGUUGGAUUGCUGUUAUGGUCUACUGGAAGCUAUGAAGCAACAAGAAUAAUCUGGUUUGGCAGGGGAAAUGCGACACAGCAAAACAUAUUGUUAAUACAGCUAGUAAUUUUUUGUUUCAAUGGCAGUUAGCUAAAUCCUCUGUGAUGUUUAAUCAAGUCUCAAGUGAUCCAGGUGCUGGUGCUAUUGCUUGGUCUCCUCCUCGAGUGGGCUGGCUUAAAUGUAACACUGAUGCUGCAGUUUUUACUGAUGAGGGAAGAGUUGGGCUGGGCAGUGUUAUCCGUGAUGAAUCGGGGAAAUUUGUUGCUGCUCUUUGUUGUAAUAUCAGGGGAAACUAUUCUCCUCGUGAUGCUGAGGUCCUUAGCAUUCAUAAGCUCUCUCUUUGGCUGAAGUCUAUGAAGUUGUCAAAGGUUAUCAUUGAAACUGAUUGCCUUCAAGCGUUUUAUGCUCUAGUCGAUCGAAAGAGUCCUCUAAAUAGCUUUGGCUCAUUAGUUUUGGAUUGCAAAUGUAUUGCUGAAUCUAUAGGCGAUAUUGUUUUCUCUUUCGUCAAAAGAUCUGAGAAUUCUAUUGCUCACUUUAUUGCUAGAGCGGAAAAUGCUUUGCCAGGUCGUGAAGAGUGGCGUUCUGUGCCACCUUCUUAGUUAAUCUCGGUGCUGUAAUUGCUGGUUUUAUUGUUAAUGAAAUUGCACUUUCCAUAAAAAAAAAACAUUGAAUGUUAUCAAGAUGAUGACAUUAUCAUUAUUUUCUGUAAUUAAAAAUAUUGUAACACUACCGUAAUUAGGAUUUUAGACGAUCAUUUUCCAAGCAUCUCCAUCAAUGAAUUGGUUAUGAAGAAUCUCAAUAGUAAACAAAAGGGACAAUAACUAGUGGGACUCAAAAGACAAUCAAAUACGGGUAUGGAUAGAAAAGGCAAUAUUAUGACAAAAUCCAUUUGCUCUUCAUGCACCAAUCACAACUUUACUUUUUCUGCUUGUUAUUGACUUAACAUGAAAAUAAGAAAGACGAGAACUUCAUUUAAUGAGUUAUAUCACUGCAAACUGAAGAAAAAACAAAAAGUGGACUAAGCUGGCCUGCUUGCUUUCAUUAAAGAAAUGCAAACAAAUUGUAGUGAGGCCUCCAAAGCCGGAACUAGAAACAGACAGUAAUAUUCGAGAAUCAUCAAAUUAAACACUCAAAAAACAUACUAUUUUAUUUAUUUUAUUUGUUCAACAACACUCCUCACCGACAACAACUCUUAUUUUUCACUCUUUACACCUUAAAGAUUUUUGUUACUUCACUUGAUGCUUAAACCAAAGGGGAGAUGGGGUAUUUUUACAUAAAACAAACUAAUCACAACCAUUCAUUUAUUCAACUACUGUAUAAAUCCUCACCAUUCAUUAAAAACUACCACUCACCUAGUUCACCAACCACACCUACCAUACCUACCACAAGAAGCUUCUAUGUAUUUGAGCUUGAAUUUAUUCAUCUUAGAUCAAGUUUAUGAUCCAACACCCUCCCUUAAACUUGAUCCUGUGAUACCAAGCAAACUUCUAAAUUUUACGAAGUCUUCUUGCUUGAGCGGAUUGGUGAAGAUAUCAGCUCAUUGAUCUUGUGAUUUUACAUACUUGAUUUGUACUUCUUUUCUUGCAAUACGCUCUCUUAUGAAAUGAUAGCGAAUAUCUAUGUGUUUGCUUCGAUCAUGAAAGACUGGAUUCUUGGAUAGGGCAGUUGCUGAUUUGUUAUCAACAAAAAUCUCGCUUGGCUCUUCUUAUGGCAAACCCAACUCCUUCAGCAAAUUUUUGAGCCAAAUUGCAUGACAAACACUUGAUGUGGCAGCUACAUACUUAGCUUUACAGGUGGAUAGCGUGACAAUUGAUUGCUUCUUUGACAUUUAUUGGAAAGCAGUAUCUCCUAUGAAGAACACAAAUCCUGUGGUGCUCUUUCGAUCAUCUACAUCUCCACCCCAAUCACUACCGCUAUAUCCAACAAGCUUGUAAUAAUUAGAAAAUGAGUAUAACAAGCCGAAAUUAAUUGUACAUUUGAUGUAGCGAAGGAUUCUUUUUGCAGCUUUAAAAUGAGUGGUCUUUGGAUUCUCCAUGUAUCGACUCACAAGUCCAACAACAUAAAGGAUAUUUGUUCUUGUGCAUGUCAAAUAACAUAGGCUUCCGACCAAACUUUUAAAGAAUGUUGGAUCUAUAUCUUCGCCUUCAUAAUGUUUGGAUAACUUGACUCCGCAUUCCACUGGCGUGCUUAUAGGCUUGCAAUCAUUCAUCUUGAACCUUUUGAGAAUCUUCUUUGCAUAGCUUUCUUGGGAGAUAAAUAUGCCUUCAUUCUUUUGCUUGACUAAUGUUGAGGUAAUAUGUCAUCAGUCCGAUGUCAAUCAUCUCGAACUCUUCAAAUAAGCUUGGAUCACUUUCAGUGAAGAUGAGAUCAUCCACAUACAAGCACACAAUCAAAAUGUCUCCAGCUUUUUCUUUGACGUAGAGAGCAUGUUCAUAUGGGCAUUUGGUGAAGUCGUUCUCUUGAAAAUACUUGUCAAUUUUGCUAUUCCAUAUUGCUUUAACCCAUAAAGAGUUUUCUUCAAUCUCAAAAUUUUGUCUUUAUGUCAUUUCACCACAUAGCCUAACGGUUGUUCGAUGUAAACUUCUUCAAGGAAUCAAUUCAGGAAAGCAGACUUCACAUCCAUUUGAAAAAUCUUCCAUUUGUUCUGAGCAGUCAAAGAAAUAAUAAGUCUAAUAGUUUCAAGUCGAGCUAUAAGAUCAAAUACCUUGUCGUAGUCUAUGCCAGCCUUUUGACUAUAGCUUUUUAUAACUAGCCUCACACCUUGUCGUAGUCUAUGCCAGCCUUUUGACUAUAGCUUUUUAUAACUAGCCUCACACCUUGUCGUAGUCUAUGCCAGCCUUUUGACUAUAGCUUUUUAUAACUAGCCUCACACCUUGUCGUAGUCUAUGCCAGCCUUUUGACUAUAGCUUUUUAUAACUAGCCUCACACCUUGUCGUAGUCUAUGCCAGCCUUUUGACUAUAGCUUUUUAUAACUAGCCUCACACCUUGUCGUAGUCUAUGCCAGCCUUUUGACUAUAGCUUUUUAUAACUAGCCUCACACCUUGUCGUAGUCUAUGCCAGCCUUUUGACUAUAGCUUUUUAUAACUAGCCUCACACCUUGUCGUAGUCUAUGCCAGCCUUUUGACUAUAGCUUUUUAUAACUAGCCUCACACCUUGUCGUAGUCUAUGCCAGCCUUUUGACUAUAGCUUUUUAUAACUAGCCUCACACCUUGUCGUAGUCUAUGCCAGCCUUUUGACUAUAGCUUUUUAUAACUAGCCUCACCUUAUGUAUUUCAAUUUCUCCCUUCGCAUUUCUUUUCGUUUUAUAGACCCAUUUGACAUCGAUCACCUUGUGACCUUUAGGAAGAGUAGUAAGCUCCCAAGUAUCAUUCUUCACAAUGGCUUUAAGUUCUUUAUCCAUUGUAAUUCUCCACUUCUUAUCUAGUGCAGUUUCUUGGAAGUUGAUUGGCUCACAAUCAACAAAGAGGCAAAAAAGAGUGAGAUUAUCAUGUCUCUCAAUUACCUCAUAGAGGUAUUGAAGACUCCUUAUACAUUCUUCGGUUCUUUUAUUUAAGAAAGAUUGUAGUGAACCUCCACAUGUGGUUGAUGCUGGUGAGAUAGGUGGAGUAGUUGGCUCUUGUUGUUCUUCUACUUGUUUUAUUUGUGUAUGAUCAUAUUCUUCAAUGGGAAAUAAGUUGAAGUCAUCCACAUGAGAGCCAAAAUCCCAUUCUCCUUUUUCAUCAAAAACUACAUCCCGACUUAUCACGAUCUUCCCGUUGUUUAGAUUAUAAAGCUUGUAUCCUUUCGAAUUGUUGUCAUAGCCGAUGAAAAAUAAACUUCUCACUUUUGUGAUCCAGCUUGGUUCUACUUUCACCUGGUACAUGUACACGGGCAAUACUUUCGAAAACUCUUAGAUGGGUUAUGCCGAGCUUUCUUCCACUCCAAGCUUCUUGUGGCGUCUUGUCCCACACGCUUUUGUUGGAGAUUGAUUGGAUAAGUAGACUGCACAUACAACAACUUUAGCUCAAAAUUCUUUAGGCAGCCUCUUACUUUUAAGCAAGCUUUUUGCCAUGUCAAGGAUGGUUCUGUUCUUUCUUUCUACAAUACUAUUUUGUUGUGGGGAUUUUAGAACUGGUAAAGGGCAUCGAAUUCCAUUUGCUUCACAAAACUUUACGAAUUCUAUUUGCUUCACAAAACUUUACGAAUUCUUUGGAAGUGAACUCUCCACCUCGAUCAGAUCUCAUGGCUUUAAUGUGGUAUCUACUUUCUUUUUCUACUGCAGCUUUAAACUUCUUGAAAGCUUCAAAGACUUCUGAUUUCUGCUUCAAAAAAUACACUCAACUUUUUCUUAAAAAAACAUCUAUGAAGAGAAGGAAGUAAUUACUUUUACCAAGGGAGCUUGGCUUGAAUGGACCGCACACAUUAGUAUGAAUGAACCCGAGUGGCUUCUGAGCUCUUGAGUUUGAUUCCUUUGAAAAGCUCUUUCUGAACUACUUGCCAAGUAAGCAUCCUUCACAAAGUUGAUCAGGGUGAUUGAUGCAUGGUAAGUCUUUCACCAUGUUCUUCUUAGAUAGUAACUCCAGUCCUCCAAAGUUGAGAUGCCCAUAUCAAAGAUGCCAAGUCUAAGAUGGAUAUUUGUGACAUAUUUUGAGACAUUUUGCAACAUCAUUUUGAAUAAUUAAAGGAAACAUUCUAUUCUUCGACAUUUUUACCUUUGUAAUAAGAUUUCCUUUGUCAUCUCUUAAGAAAAGAUUACAAUCUUUUAAGUGAAUAUCAUAGCAUUUUUCCAAAAGUUGACCAAAAUUAAAGAUGUUUCUUUUUAUAUUGGGCACAUAGUAAACAUUCGAAAUUAUUUAGUGGCUACCAUUUUUUGCACGAAAAAGAAUGUUACCUAUACCCUUCACUGGUACUUUUGAAUCAUCUUCAAAAGCAACACUGCCAUUCACAGAUUUAUUUAGUUCCAUGAACAUGCUUAUGUUUCCACUUAUAUGAUUGCUAGCACCUGUGUCAAGAUAUCAUGUAUUUUCUUGACCUACACUUGUGUUAUUGCGUGCUAGUAAAAGUGUGCCAUCUUUACCAUUUUUCUCUUCUACAUAAUUCACUCUCUCAUUAAUUCUGGUACUUGGAGUUCUACAUUCUGAAGCAUAAUGCCCAAACUUAUGACAAUUAUACUUGGGAUUUGUGAUACCUUGAUCUUGGAUUGCCUCUGCCUUGUCCUCUGGUUGAGCUUUCUCCGUUGGCAUAAUUGGAGUUGUUGUUGUUGAAAUUCUAACCUCGUCCAUGACCACGACCUCUACCUCGAACAUAAUACCUUCUCUCAUUGUCGGAGCUUUCUUCUCUUUUCUUUGGAUUGAUUCCAUAUUGAGAAGUUGUUCUUCAAUUCCUUACUACUUUUUUAGUUUUUCUUCAUAGGCUUGCAACCUUCCUCGAAGUUGCUCGAUCGUCAUAUCCUCCAGAUCUUUUGUUUCCUCAAUUGUCACAACAAUAUGGUCAAACUUCAAGUAUACUGAUCGAAGUAUCUUUUCAAUGAUCCUUACCUGUUUUAACUCCUUGCCAUUUCCUUUUAAUUCAUUGGAAACGGUCACAACUUGAGUAAAGUAGUAAAAAAUUGACUCUGAUGACUUCAUGUGUAAGGACUCAAUUUCUCCUUGUAAUGUUUGGAGACGAACCUUCUUAACUUGCUCCGCUCCUUUGUAAGAAGUCUUUAGUUUCUUUCAUACUUCUUUUGAGGAGGUUACACUAGUAAUCUUUUCAAAAACAUAUUCGUCUAAUGAUUGAAAGAUAAGAUACUUUGCUUUAUUCUCUUUCUUCUUUAAGUCUUUUAAAUUCUCCUUCUGCACCACAGUUAAAGUGGUUUCAUUUUCUGGCACAAUAAAACAUUUCUCCACGACAUCCCAUACGUCAUGUGCACCAAACAGAGCCUUCAUUUUAAUACUCUAAUUGUCCAACUUACUUCCCUUUAAUUGUGGAGCUUGAAAUGACAUCAUACCAACAUUUGCCAUAACUCACAAAUUGAGUGAGAAUUUUGAGAUUCUGAAUGCACAGAUAGAUCCGGUACGUCGAGAAACCUUGGAAGGGACUUGAGUCAAUUUUCAAUCAACGAUCAAUUUUUGGUCAAUGGUCAUGUCGGUCAAUGGUCAACUAUAGUGUAGUUGACUUGGUUCGAUCCGGGUUAGUUCGGUUCUAGUUGGCUCGGUUCGACUUGAUUCGGUUCAGCUCGGCUCGGCUUGGUUCGGUUCGGCUCAACUUGGUUCGGUUGGUUUCAGGUUGGUUCAACUCGGUGAGUCGACUCAACUUCAGGACAUAAAACUUCUGGCAGUGAGUGUGGGUGAGUUCGGCCUCCGAUCGGGCUGAGUUUUGUGGCAUUACGUUCCUCUCAUCGAGAUCUUCCAUUUGAUAUGCUAUAUGAUUAUAUAUAGCAUCGAACACUAGCUCUAAUACUACUUUGUUGGAGAAUCAACAAAUGAUUAAACUAAUGUAUCAUGGGGCUAUAAAAGAAAGAGAAGAAGAAAAGCUUUCAUUGGAAAUUUUGGAUUCUCUAAGAUAUGAAACAUGAGAGACCUUGAAAAGAAAGAAAGGAAAAAAAAACCUAAAAUUGAGAUUUCUUAAAAAAUGGAAGAGUAAAACAGAGUUAAAAAAUGGGAGUAAAUUCUUAAAAAUAUACCAAGGAGGAAAAUAAAGACAUGAGAGAAACAAAUUUUAAUGGAUGCUCUUGUGGACGUAAAAGAAAAAUGAUCCCAAUGUUAGUUUAAAGACAAGUUUUGAUGGACACUCUCAUGUAGAAUCUAUUUAAUCACACACGAUGAGAUUGAGUUUUUAAAAAUGUUAUCAUAAAUGAAAUUAGGUUACUAGACUUCUCUCUCUCUCUCUAUACAUAUAUAUAUGUGUGUGUGUGUGUAUCUAUAAAAUUAUUCUCAGGUGCACGUGCCCUCAUUUUUUUUUUUUUUAAUGCGGACACUUUAUUAAACCACAUGAUUUAACAACGUGUCUGCAUAAAAAAAAAGGGGGCACUUGUAUGAGAGAAUGACUCUAUGUAUAUAUAUAAUCAUUUCUUACGAAGCAUAAGGCCUCCCCUAAAUCCUAAAACGGGCAAUAUCAAUACAGUGCAAAGAAACAAGUUGUAAUUACAUUUUUCUAAAGAAAACUAUGGGACAUGGUUUGAAUCAAGAUACUUGGGGUGCUUUUCGACACCUAAGUCACCCUUAACGAAGCUAGCUAAUUGGAGUCCAAUUUCAAUUAUAGAUGAAUUUAUCUUGCAAUUUCAGACUGCAAGAAAAAAAGGUUUUUAGAUCUUCCAAGGAAAGUUACGGAUGUGGGUUUUAAAUCAAGAUACUAAUUAGUAAUUAACCAGGCUAUACCAUCAUUGAAGUCUAAUUUCGAUUAUAUAUGUAUGAGUACUUCACUGCCUUCAUUAAUCUCAAACUCAUGUGAACUUGAUAGCAUCCAAACAAAUUACCAAAGCAUAAUUUUCUAAAUUGUUUAGAAGAUCACAGCUGUUACCAGUGAAUAUUUCUGUUAAAAGUUUAUGACAACAAAUUACUGCUAAUAAAUGAUCAUUUCGUACGUUUUCAAGCAUCUGCAGACUGCAAAACUAAAAAGCCAGCGUCUCAAAACAAUUGGGAAAAUAUUAAAAAAUAUAUGCCAAAAAAAAAAGAAGAAGCAUACUUAAGGAUCUUGAAAAACUUGUCAAAUUUUGGAUGCCACAGUGAAGAUAUUAAACUGCAAUUUUUUCUUUUUUUAAUAAUUUUUGCUUUGUCACAAAUGAGAUUGACUAACAUACCCUCGAGUAGAAUCUAACUACUGUACCACCAUUUGGAUGCUUAGUCGAUAAAAAAUAUCUUUGAAAAAAUUAGCGUUUUUUGUUUUCGACGUAUUUGUCCAAGAAAGAUUUUAUGUUUUGGAUUUUGGUCUUGUCAAUGGUGAGUGAGUACCGAUUUUCAAGUUUGUCUAUACGUUGAAUUAAUUGUAUGUUUUAUUAGUGGGGUGUAUAGCACAUACAUAGAGAGAGAGAGAGACGACAGCCUUGUGAAUAUCAUUAUGCUGCUUCCUGCAAAUCUUAUACGAUUGUUAUUGAAAUUUUGUACCUUGAUAAGAGCAUUCAUUGAUAAAUAUGUUUCAGUGUUAUAAGACUUUUGAUGAACGUCUAGGGAGUCAUCUUAAUUUGAGAUGUAUGGUACAUGCAUGAAACGUGUGUAGCAAUUGAACUGUAGUGAUACAACAUUAAUCAAUUUAACCCAUUGGAUACAAAAUUUAAGUUAUUAUAGACCAUGAUAGUGAUGAAUGCCAAUUCACAUCGAGCGGAAUCGGUAUUAGAAGUCAUGUAGAUUUAAAGAGAUUAAUAAGGUAAUGGGUUCGAAAAUUAAUUGCAAUUGACACAGUACUUAAAUCUGUAAGAAUUUGAAUGUGAAACUUUAUUUGUUUUGAUACUGUAUUUGUGAAACCAUUAAAAUUUUGUAAUAAGGACCAAAACUAGUGAAAAAUCUUAACUGAUAGAAGCUGAUUGAGGAAAAAAUUGAACACCACUAACACUGUCUCUAAUACUGUGUAAUUAUUGUUUCACUGAAUUACAAGCUUAAAGUAUUAAGCCAAUGCCCAAAAUUAUUAAUUUUAAACCAAAAAAAAAAAAAUCUAAUACCAAUGCCCAAAAUUAUUAAUUUUAAACCAGCUUAAAGUAUUAAGCCAAUGCCCAAAAUUAUUAAUUUUAAACCAAAAAAAAAAAAAGAAAAAGAAAGAAAGAAAGACGUACCUUACAGUUUUAACUUUAUAAAAAGUUUCGUUAGCCAAUAUAUAGAUUUUAUUUAUUUAUUUAUUGUAGAAGUAAGGGAUCCUGCUAUGUUGGUUAUGCUCUAACUUAGAGCAUCUCCAACAUAUCAAUUUCCAGAAGUAAGAAGUCAAGGGUUCAAUCCAAUGCGUAACUGAUUGGUCGUGGUUUUGUUCAAUAAUUUCGCAAAACAACAGAAAUGAAAUAAAAUUAUAUACCACCAUAAUUAAUUAAUCAACGGAUUCUGUUUAGAUUCUGUGCUUGAUUGUAUAUCAAUACCAUCAUAUUUUUAUCAAUAUUUUAAAUUCAAUUAUAUUGUUGUGGUCUGAAUGAUUUUUAUUUUUAAUAUUUUUACGAAUUUAUUGGUGUUCGGUUGGAUAAUAUUUAAAGUAAUAACAAACAUAGGUUUUAAUGGAGUGAAAUUGUAAGGGAUGGUAACUAAAUCUUGUUUCUUAUUGUUUAAUGAUAAAGACUGAAUUCAAUAUGAAGUGGUCUGAUAUUGUAAAUGCAUUGCAGGUAAAUUGAAAUUUUUUAUACGAUGGGAGGAAGUGCGAUUGAUGAUGAUUGGGAGCUUACUUCUCCAUCUAAUGGGGUGCGCACUGUGGUUUUUGUUGGCCGUACUGGCAAUGGCAAAAGUGCGACGGGCAACAGUAUUCUUGGAAGAAGAGCCUUCAAGUCGAGGGCUAGCUCGUCUGGUGUUACUAGUACUUGUGAAAUGCAGAGAACCGUGCUCAAAGAUGGCCAAGUUGUUAAUGUCAUUGAUACCCCCGGUAAUUUACUAAUGUCGUUGCCUAGAUAUUCCAUUUCCAUGCCUGUUGAUGUUGUGGUGGUAAGUAGAUUGAUGUUAUCGUAAUAAAAAAAAAAGGGUAGAUUGAUGUUAUGAGCAAUUGCAGGACUUUUUGAUUUUUCUGCUGGCUCUGAGUUUGUCGGCAUGGAAAUUGUCAAAUGUAUCGGUCUGGCCAAGGAUGGGAUCCAUGCAGUCCUUGUA
Molecule: long non-coding RNA, 123160 nt
Filed under: Citrus sinensis (sweet orange)
Lineage: Eukaryota; Viridiplantae; Streptophyta; Magnoliopsida; Sapindales; Rutaceae
Description: long non-coding RNA (CSIN_LNC002124)
Source: RNAcentral